Molecule: long non-coding RNA, 147699 nt
Filed under: Gossypium barbadense (sea-island cotton)
Lineage: Eukaryota; Viridiplantae; Streptophyta; Magnoliopsida; Malvales; Malvaceae
Description: long non-coding RNA (GBAR_LNC006431)
Source: RNAcentral
AAGUCGACAGCCUCCCUAACCUUUAGGGGUUUCAACUUUUCUAAAAUACGAAAUAAAGACUAGAUUGAAAAGACUUACCAUCGGUUCCUUCGGUUAAUGAUCCAAAUUAAUUUCUACUCAAUUCUGGUGCCGAUCUAAGCCCUCAAAUGAUAACAAAAGUCGAGCCUUCAGUGAUCUCACUAUUCGGCCAAGUCCCUAAUAGAGUGGGGUUUUCGGCUUUUGUUGAAGCUGUGUAAAGAAAGAUGAAAUAGAAGGGUUUUUCUAUGGCCUUGUCGACAGAACCUUGAGGUUUAUAGAACUAGAGAAUUGGUCAACAAUGAUGGAAAAGAUAAUAAAAUUGGCUAGGAGAAAUCGGUACAGAAGAAAGUAUAGUUUUCGGGAUUUCGGCUUUUUAUGGCAAUGGCUAUGAAGGUUUUAGAAACGUCUGAAGAAAAAGAUGGAGAUGCACAGGUGGUUAGAGAGAUUCGGCUAUGGAGGAAAAUAAGAAAAAGAAAAAUUUGAAGAGAAAAGGACAAAAGAAGGAAGAGGAGAAUGGUCAGCACACGGCACAACCUUCCCCCUCAUGCCGAAUUUAUACUGGCACUUAACCUUGCCGAAUUUUCCCAUGCUAGAGGCCCUUCGCCGGCCAAUUCCUGCUCCUUGAUCAGCUCCUAAAUCUUCUCCUUUAUCAGUUCCUAAAUCCUCUCCCUUAUCAGCUCCUAAAUCCUCUCCCUUAUCAGCUCCUAAAUCCUCUCCCUUAUCAGCUCCUAAAUCUUCUCCUAACAGCCUUUCACUUUAGUUCCACUGCUUACCUUUUCUGUACAUAAAAAAUUAAUAUCACCAAUUUUCUUACCUUGUGACUCGAACCUUUGCUCUCCUUGGUCAUCCACACGCCACCUCUCAAGCCCCCAAGUGACGCCACAAGCCAACUUACCACGGUCUUCUUUGUGUUUUAUUUUACCUAGUUAAUACCUUAAAGCCCAGCUAACCAGAACCCUCUUCUUCUAUAGAAUUAAAAUUAACUAAAAUUACCAUAUUUUAACUUAAACUUGCGCCUUCUAGAGACCCACUAACCUGAUUAAAUCUACGCCAAGCAGACAGAACACCAAAAUUUAAAAUUUGCCAACACUCACAGAAUUCCCGAAAAUUGGGGCGUUACAUGUAAGGAAAGAAAGAGGAGGGCGAUCACCUUCUCAUGCAGCUAAUGUGAGAAGAAGAAGAAGAAAAAAAAGUUUUCCUUUUCUUAUAAUUUGGUCAUUCCACCAAAAAUUUACCAUUUUCACCUAGAAAUCAAAAGAAUUUUCAUAGCCAUCAAGAGAGAAAAAUGACAAGAAGACUAUGGGGAGUUAGAAUAUCAAGUUAGAUGAAAGAAAUAGAAGCUAGAGGAGAGAGAAAAUAAAGUUAAAGAUUGAAGUCAAUUGAACAAGGUAAGAACAUUAAGAUUUCAAUAUAUUUUUAAGAUUAAUAUUAUUAAAAAAAACAUGGAAUUGAUGUUAAUGUAGAGUUUUCUUAUAUAUUGUCCUAUGUUCUUGAUAUGUUAGUGAAGAGAAAAUAAGAGAAAGUAAUGAGAAAUAGUGUAGAGAAAGAAAAUAACGGUGUUAUAAACAUGGUAAAUAAACAUCUUGCACUAAAACAGUUUUAGACAGCAGCAGUAGGCUAACUUUGAAAAAUCACUAAAACAUUGAAUUAAAUCUUAUUGAGUCUAGUUUCUUAUAGAAGAAACAUUGUAGGCAAUGAAGUUGUGAAUCAUGAGAUAUAAUAAAUUUUGUUAGACAAGGGCAGAAUGAUUUUGGGUUCCCCUGUUCUGAUUUUGUAAUAUCAUAAACAAUUGGAGAAAAAUAAUUAGGCUCUUAAAGUUAUAUUUUUAAAAUCCUGAAUGAGUCUAUUUUCAAUAGAAACAAACUAGAAAAUCAUCUUAAUCUUGUACAAUGAGAUAAUUAAUUUUUAGUAAAGAAGGGUCGAAAUUGUCAGACAGCAGAAUAAGGGUGACUUCAAAGAAUAAACUGUACUCAUUGGAUAAACCAAAAAUUCUGAAAAUUUUAUGGUAAGAAGAAAUGUAAGUAUAGUUUCAUGGAAAAUUAGCAGAACUUAAUUUCUAGUUCUGUAGCUCAAGAUAUAUAUAAUUUAGUUACUAUGACACAAAUGGACAGUUUUGAAUAUACAUAUAAGUAAAUAGUGAAAUUAUUGAUAAUGUUACUUGUAGCAUGUUAUAUAAAUUAAGGAUGUGGAAUGGAGAGGAGGAGGAGAAAAAUAUGUAUGAAUAUUCAGCUAGCAUGGCUAAUUUGUAUGUUUUAGGCUUAGGGACUAAAUUGAAUAAAAGUAAAACUUUAUGGGUAAUUUUGUAAAAAUGUUAGAAAUGACCAAUUUGUAUGAAAUGGAUUAUUUUAUUAUUUAAAAUUACAAAAUUGAAUGAAAUCAUUAAUUUAGCUCAAGAUCGGGGAAAAACAUGUUUUAAGGAUUAAAUUGAAACGUGUUGAAAUUAUGGAAAAUUCUGAUAUUUUAUAGAAUUCAUGGGUUGUUAUCAAUUUGUAUGAGAAUAACUGCUGGAAAUAAGAAUUAAAUUGCAAGAAUUUUUUUUAGCCUAAGGAUGAAAUCGUUAUUAAUUAAAAGUUUAGGGGUAAAAUGGUAAUUUUGUUUAGAGCAUUAAUUGAAUGUAUUAGAACAUGAAAUAAAUGAAAACGACGAUCAAAUUUAUUUAUAAAGAUCUGGAUGACUCGAAUACGAGACUUGAACGUGGAAAAGAAAAGAUAUCGGAUUAAUGAAAUUAUAAACAUGAACACGCAACGAGGUAAGCUAGUGUAACUUGAAUUGUAUUUUUAAAUGCAUGAAAUAUUGAUAUAAUGAAUCACCUGAUUUAUGUUUAUGGAGAAAUGGCAAGAGAAUGAUAUUUACCAUGACAUGUAAAUAUGUGAUUAUCUUUGAUACGUUGAUACAAGGAAAUUAAGUAAAUUGAGACGAGUAAUAAAUUCAAGUAAAACAUAUCGAAAAAAAAAUAAGUAUGUUAAGGGACAAUAUGUUUGAUUUUAAUUAGUUCCAAAUAUGAACGUUAGAUGAAAUGAAAUAUCUGAUAAAUAAAUCGGCAACUCCGGUAAUGCUCCAUAACUCUAUUCCGAUGACAGAUUCAGGUUAGGGGCGUUAUAGUUUUCUUGUAAAUACUGUUCCUUGAUGGAUACAUACGAACUAAUCUUACAUUAGACGAAUUUCCAUUCUAGGUUUGAUAACUAUCAGACUACCAUUCAGAUCAUAUCUUGAACCUAAACCCAAAUCAAACGUAAAUUGAUGAUGAAGCAUUUUAGACCAUUCGGAAGAAUUUAAAACACAUUUGUUAAUGACACAAGAACGCCCAAACUAACAAAUGAUUCAAAUUCCAAAAACCUUAGAUCGAGAUAUAAUACUAUUCAGAUAUGGCGGAUACCAGAUAACUCAGAUUUCAACCUUAAUUAGCCUAGACAAACUCAAAACAAUGAAUACUUAUACCUUUCAUAACUACGAAUAUGCCCGUAUCCCAUACAUAUGGACUUCUAUGGCAGAUUAUCUCUUUAGAAAUAUGAUACAUACUUUUAUUUCGAAACCAUCCUUUAAGACUCAUUCAAAUUCAUCACAAAAUUAACUAACAAAGUCAACUUCAGAACAUCUCAGGUCAUUAUGAUAAAAUCAUCUAUAGGGGAGAUCUUAGAACUUACCACCUGAGUGAAUAACCAGAUUUUCCCACGUCGGCAUUCCUGAAUAUGCCACCUAGGCAUUGCGUAGUUUGCCACAAAGGCGACGCAAAGCAUGCCUCCAAAUCUUAGUAGACCAUGCCACAUAGGUAACACACAGAAUCACGUAUUUACUGUCCCUACAGACUUUCACAGAAGGUGUCAUGGGUUUUUCCCACAUGACUUAAACAUUUUCCCAUAUCGUGAUCUACUAAUCCAGUCUACAUACUACUAAAGACAUCACCAUGAGCAUUUUUAUAGUCAUACAAUACCAUAGGUCUCCACCACAUGGCCUCAUACAUAUUUUCAUACCAUGAUCUAUAUGUCCAGUCUACAUUUCAUUGAAGGCAUCACCAUGAAUAUUGUCUUUAAACAUGAUUUUUCUUUCUAGUUAGCAAUAUUUCUUCCAUACUAGAUGCGUCACAAAUGGAUAUUUGUUUAUCCAACACAGAUUACACUACCCAAUUCAUUUUUUUACCUUAUUUGUCCAUAUUCUCUUAAUAAAAUUCACCUUGAUCUACCAAUUUCAAUUAUGACUAUAUAUCACAUCAUUUCGAUCAUACAUUAGUAAUUUUAUCUCCAAAGUGAACAUGCAACAUCAUUACUUCGAUUCAUUUACAUACCACUUGUCCUAGAUAAUUUCCUCAUAUGUAUUCUAAGUUGAACAGUCCACAACAAGGUAAAGACUUGAUAAACCGUAAUUUAUACAUAUUUCUAUCCCAUGCUUAGCACAUUUUAUGGAUGAUUUUUCCUUGAAAUUGGUGAAUCUGAUGCUCCUAAAGCCUUAAUUUCAUAUUUUAUACUUAGGUGAGAAUAGGAGAGUGAAAGAAACGAGAAACGGGCCAAAAACGGAGAAAAUAGACCAACGUACGAAAUUAAAACGGCUUGGACUUCCUCACACGGGCAGACCAUACGGCUGUGUCAAUUUGGCAAAAUAGAAACACGACUCACACAGGUAGACCACACGCCCGUGCCUAUAUAUCAGGCUAGACCACAGCCUGAAGUAAUCGCACACGGGCAUGUCACACGGGCGUGUCCCUGUCGAGCCCACGUUUAGUCCAAUUUGGAAAAGGGCAAUUUUGAGGGCUCUUAGGCAUCCCAAAGCCUAUAAAUACACCUUAGAAGAGGAGAAUAGGGGGAAACAAAGGAGGAAGUAGGGAACUGCUCAAGGAAAGCCGAUUGAUCCAUCUUAGAAGCCAGAUUCAUCAUCAAGACUGAAGAUCUCCCCUCAAUUUUUCUUCAGGAGUUUUGGGUUUUUCUUUAUGUUUUUUAUUCAUUAUUCUUCUGAGAUGUUUACCUUUUUAGUUAUGAACUAAAACCCCUAAAUACCUAAAGGGAAUGAAACCUAAGACAGAUCUUGUUAUUAUUAUCUGAAUUUUAUGAUAAAUAUUUGACUUGUUCUUAGUUAUGUGUUCUUAAUUCUUGUUUUGAUAUUCUAGGAUAUUGAUUCAAGUUAAGCUCUUAUUCAGAGGAGGAAUAAACCCUGUCUAAGAGUACAUUUAUCAUAAUUAAGCGAAGUUGAUUGCGCGCCUAGAGAUAGGGUGACAAGAUUUUGCCAGAUUAGGGUGAAACCUAAUAAGGGGAUCCAUAGAUCGAGUUAAUGCAACCCUAGGGAGUUAAUCAGAAAGAGAUUUCAAUUAUUCAACCUAGGGUUAGACAUUGUUAGUCUCAAGAGAGAUAAUAAUAUAACUUAGGGAUUUCUACGAAUCAAGUCAAAUGAAUAAAUCGUUCGAUUCAGAGUCAAAUAACAAGUGAAGUCUAGGUGGAUUUUUCCUUAGGUAUUGUCUCAAUCAAUCGAGUUUUCCAAAAGUACUUUCCCAAUUCUAUUUUCUGUGAAUUCUUAGUUUAGUUAAUUAUUUAGUUAAAACAAACCCCAUUAUUCUUAGGCUAGAUAAUAAAAAGACAGUCAUUACUAGUACUUUUAGUUCCUUCGGGUUCGACAAUACGGUCUUACUAAAGCUAUACUACUGUUAGAUAGGUACACUUGCCUUCAUCGUGAUAAUAGUUAGUUUCAAGAACGAUUCAUUAUAAAUAUUUAAAACCUGUCACGAAUAUCACGCAUCAAGUUUUUGGCGCCGUUGUCGGGGAACUAAGAUAUUAGGAACACUCGAUUUUUAUUACUUUAGCCAUUUACUUUUACUGCAAUAUUUACUUUUACUGCAAUUUAAAUUUUACUCUAAUUUUUAUUACUAAUUGUUCUUUUUCCCUUUUUCUGGCAGGUUCUUAUAGUUUAUGACUAGAAGAAACCCGUCAGGACCAUUACUUUUUGACAGUGAGAUCGAUUGCACAGUUCGCAGAAACCAAAGAGAAAUAAGGAGAAGCUUAAGAUACACAGAGAACGAGCAAGAGGACAAUAUUCAAACCACAAUCGAGGAGAUGGCUGAAAACCACGAAAAUCUGCUACCUCCUGCAAUUGUUGUUAAUCAAAAUCCUGCUCUGCGCACUAUGUAUGAUUAUGCUAAACCUAAUUUAAUAGGAACUGAGUCAAGUAUAGUUAGACCUGCUAUUGCUGUAAAUAAUUUUGAACUGAAACCUAACACAAUUCAAAUGAUACAAUAGUUUGUUAAGUUUGAUGGUUUGCAGGACGAGGAUCUCAAUGCUCACUUGGCAAAUUUCCUAGAAUUUUGCGAUACCUUUAAAAUUAAUGGCAUUUCUGAUGACACCAUUCGCCUUCGGUUGUUUUCCUUUUUAUUAAGGAAUAAGGCUAAAUAAUGGUUGAACUCGUUACCACGAGGGUCAAUCACUAUUUGGGAACAAAUGACCAAAAAUUUUUUAUUAAAAUAUUUCUACUGGCUAAAACAGCCAAAUUACGUAAUGAUAUCUCUUCUUUUGUGCAGAUGGAUUUAGAAACACUCUACGAUGCAUGGGAGAGAUAUAAGGACCUUUUGCGAGGAUGCCCUCACGAUGGGUUACCACUCGAGCUACAGGUUCAAAAUUUUCAUAAUGGCCUGAAUCCUUCGACUCAACAAAUGAUUGAUGCAACCGCUGGAGGAACUAUCAAUAAUAAGACACUUAAGGCGGCUUAGGAAUUUAUUGAGGAGAUGUCACUGAAUAACUAUCAGUGGCAAGUUUUGAAAACAAAACUGACGAAAGUAGUCGGUGUUUUCAACCUCUACGCGGUUACUAUGCUAUCUAACCAAGUAGAACUCUUAAAUAAAAAGAUUGACGGUUUGUGUGGUUCUACUCAGGUACAUCUAGUGAUGAGGUGUGAUUCAAAUAGAAGAGGAGCAUGCAUAGAAUAUCAACCCUUCAACCCUAGCAUCGAGGAGGAACAAGUCCAAUAUAUGGGUAACAAUAACUCUAGAUCCCAAAAUAACCCAUAUAGCAAUACUUACAAUGCAGGUUGGAGGAAUCACCCAAAUGUUUCAUGGGGAGGCCAAGGAAAUUAGAAACCACCAUCCCCUCUAGGCUUUCAGCAACCACCAUACCAGCAGGAGAAAAAGUUGAACCUUGAGGAGAUGCUAACCAAAUUCAUCUCGGUGUCUGAGACUCGUUUUCAGAAUACCGAGACGACACUCAAAAAUCAACAAGCAUCGAUCCAAGGACUCGAAACUCAAAUUGGACAGCUAGUUAAGAUGAUUUUAGAAAGAGCACCAAGAAAUCUACCUAGUAACACCGAACCCAAUCCAAAAGCACAAUGAAAGCAGUUACACUGAGGAGUGGGAAACUGUUAGCUAAAUCGGAAAAGAAGCCACAACAAGAAGCUGAUAGAAGAAAAUGAGAGGAGAUAAAACCCAAAAGCAAAGACAAUCCAAUGUCGAAGGAAUAUAAACCACCAAUUCCAUACCCAGAAAAGUUGAAGAAAGACCGCAUGGAUGCACAAUUUGGCAAAUUCCUUGAACUUUUUAAACAACUACAUAUUAACUUACCUUUUGUGGAAGCUAUAUCGCAGAUGCCUACAUACGCAAAAAUUUUAAAGGAGCUCCUAACCAACAAAAGGAAGUUUGAAGACUUAUCUACAGUGGAACUUAACGAGGAAUGCUUGGCUAUACUCCAAAACAAACUGCCAACCAAACUAAAAGAUCCAGGAAGUUUUACUAUACCUUGCUUAAUUGGUAGUUUUAACGUUGAUAAGGCACUAGCUGAUUUAGGUGCUAGCAUUAAUUUGAUGCCAUAUAAAAUGUUUAAACAACUUGGUCUUGGGGAACCUAAACCCACUAGGAUGAGUAUUCAACUAGGCGAUAGAUCUGUUAAAUAUCCUAGGGUUAUUAUAGAGGACACACUUGUAAAAGUAGAUAAAUUUAUAUUCCCUAUUGACUUCGUUGUGCUUGAUAUAGAUGAAGAUGUUGAAGUGCCUUUAAUCUUAGGGCAUCCAUUUUAACCACUGCUAGGGCUGUUUUUGUAACACCCCAAACCCAGCUUAGAAGUUUGGCUCGAUUCUAGCGUGUCACAUUGAAGUGUUUUUCGAAAACCAUGUUUCCAUUAAAAACCCUUCUUAAUAAUUAAAAACUUAUACCCUUUUUAAACCUUGUUAGAAAACCUUAGCUAAAUAACAUUCUUAACAACUUUGUAAAAAUCUUGGUAGUUGUAGAAGCUUAAUUUAAAACUAAUUACGGAUACGUGAUGUUUUGAACAACAGUAGUUGCUUUGGAAAACCGUGUUCUAAUACUAGCAAUUAUAAGAACAAUAAGUAAAAUUUCAAAUUUGAAAUCCAGAAAAUUACAACGGCUUUACUACAACCCACAUAAAACAUUUAAAAGUAAUAAUCAAAACUAUAAAAUAAAUAGUGUGUGUGGCUUCCUCCGAGCCCCUCGCAGCUCCGAUCCGUCUAAGGCUGGAAAUUACCUGAAAGGUUAAUAAAUGGGGUGAGUUUACGAAAACUCAGUGUGAAAUCCUCUACUAUAAAAAGGAACAGUUAGUCAUAUAAUAGAAUUAAAAGUCUGGCCCUAGCCUUACUUACAGUUUCAGUAUCAAUUGGGCCUUAGCCCACUAUAACAGAUAGUACCAGAUCGGCCUUAGCCCAUUACAGAAUAAGAAACAUUAUCAGAACUAGAAUCAAAAUGAGAAUUACAAUCAGAAUCAGGUGACAGAAUCAGAAUCAAAAUCAGAAUCAGAAUUUGGUGACAGAAUUAGAAUCAGAAUCAGUAUCAGGUAAUAGAAUCAAUAUCAAAAUGUGAAUGCAAUCCCAACCCAAUCCAGCCGUAUACACCCUCAUACCAACCUUACACCAUGUGGGGAGACUACAUGACCCACCCAACCGCUACACAGCACAAAAAUUGCAGCGAAGCUGCCAGAUAUUGUGAUGAAGUCACCAAAUACAGAUAUUGUGGCUAGGCCACCAGAACAUAUAUAUAUAUGUGGCGAAGCCACCAGAUUGCAGCGAGGCUGCCAAAACGCUUCCUCCAUCAAUAUAACCCAUAUCCCAUACAACAGAUAUAUAUGUCAUGGCAUACAACAUACAGAAUCAGAAUAUCAUGCCCAUAUUUGAAUCAAACAGUCACAGUCAAGUCAUUCAUAUCACCAAUAUAUAUUCACAAUCAAAUCCGUCAACCACACAGUCCAAGUCAGUCACUUACCCACAAGGGCAAAACAAUCAUUUAACACCCUAGGGGUAAAAUGGUAAUUUUUUAAAUCGAGGGUAAAAUAGUAAUUCUGUAAAUCGAGGGCAAAAUAGUAAUUCUAUAAAUUGAGGGUAAAACAGUAAUUCUAUAAAUCAAGGAUAAAAUAGUAAUUUUUUAAAUCGAGGGUAAAACAGUAAUUUUGUAAAUCGAGGGUAAAACAGUAAUUCUGUAAAUCGAGGGUAGUUUGGUAAUUUUACAAGUCGAGGGUAUUUCAGUAAUUUUACAGGUCGAUGGUAUUUCAGUAAUUUCACAAAUCAGAGGUAUUUUGGUAAUUUUACAAACUAGUGGUAUUUUGGUAAUUUUACAAACCAGUGGUAUUUUGGUAAUUUUAUAAACCAAGGGUAUUUUGUUAAUUCUACCGUACAGGGGCAUUUCAGUAAUUCUACCCUACAAGGGUAGUUCAGUAAUGCUAGCCUAUAGAUAUGAGAUUCACAUAGUCCAACCCAAUAUUUACUACACAAUCAAACAACUUAUCCAAUUGGGCCUGUAAGCCCAUUAGGCCCACAUGGCCCCUUUCGGCCCAUGCGGCCCGAAGUAGCCAUCCUACAGCUAGAGUAGUAAGAAACACACACCUGAUAGGAGACUGGAGUUAAUCCGCGCUCUGAGCACUCUUAGCCGACGCCCAACCCAAACGAGCACGUCAUAAAGCAAAAGGGAUCAGCCAAGAAAAGUACCUUUACUCUCCUCAUGGUUCUCUUUAUUUAAAGCCAGCUCUCCAUCUACUCUUAUGUUAGCUUCCCGAUAUGGGAUCCCUCCAUCACAAGAGUUUAAAACCAACACCAACUCUUGCCGUCCCAACAUAGCAAAAUAAAUGCUCUUUGAUUGCCAUGAGUUUCAAACCCUGGACUCCUUGCCAACUCUAUGACACCACCUUCCUGCCUCUUAUGUGGCGCUACUUUGCCACUAGACCACAAGGCUUUUUGUGGCUCAAUUUCUCCAACAAUAUUCUUAAAGCCUACCUACUACACCCAGGUUUGAUUCACCUUAAACCAAAAUUUUUGCUAGAGUCCAGAUUUGAACCCAGGACUUCUCCAACAAUUCUCAGCACACUUAACCACUAAAACAAGCCUUCAUUAACGAAAUUUACAUGCACAACAAAAUAUUAUAAGCUGCCUUCAACUGCUCCUAUGCUCAAGGCCCAAAACUUCUAGGCCCAAAUUUAGGGUGUUACAACUCUACCUCCCUUAAAGAAAUUUUCUCCCCGAAAUUUCCAUCUAACAGGGUAGUCGUGUAACAUCUACCCACUACGCUACUAUUGCGCACUCUGAUCCUACUAUCACUAUCACACUUCAACUAGAACUUGAAACAUCUCAUACAUACAACACUUAUUCACUGAAGCAGACACAUAUUUAUCACACAUAUAUAAAAUUUCCAUAUCCAAACAUCAAAUCCACAUAAAAUAAAUACCAAAUUUAAAUUCAGACCAAUAUUUAAAGAAUCCACAGUAUUUUAAUUUCUAGAUAGACAACAGUAUUCAGAAGACUUACGGAUUCGGCGCCGGAGACUCGGUGUGCCACACUUUUUAAGAGAAAUACUUCAAACUAACAUGUGGUUGAAAGUAAUUUUCUGAAAUUCAACCUUUGAAAACCCAAUCCACAGCCGAGUUGUUGCAACUUGGCUCUGAUACCACUAAAUGUAACACCCCAAACCCGGCCUGAAAGUUUGGCUCGAAUCUGGCGUGUCACAUUGAAGUGUUUUUCGAAAACCAUGUUUCCAUUAAAAACCCUUCUUAAUAAUUAAAAACUUAUACCCUUUUUAAACCUUGUUAGAAAACCUCAGCUAAAUAACAUUCUUAACAACUUUGUAAAAAUCUUGGCAGUUGCAGAAGCUUAAUUUAACAAUAAUUGCGGAUACGUGAUGUUUUGAACAACAAUAAUUACUUUGGAAAACCGUGUUCUAAUACUAGCAAUUAUAAGAAUAAUAAGUAAAAUUUCAAAUUUGAAAUCCAGAAAAUUACAACGGCUUUACUACAACCCACAUAAAACAUUUAAAAGUAAUAAUCAAAAUUAUAAAAUAAACAGUGUAUGUGGCUUCCUCCGAGCCCCUCGCAGCUCCGAUCUGUCUAAGGCUGGAAAUUACCUGAAAGUUUAAUAAAUGGGGUGAGUUUACGAAAACUCAGUGUGAAAUCCUCUACUAUAAAAAGGAACAGUCAGUCAUAUAAUAGAAUUACAAGUCUGGCCCCAGCCUUACUUACAGUUUCAGUAUCAAUUGGGCCUUAGCCCACUAUAACAAACAGUACCAGAUGGGCCUUAGCCCAUUACAGAAUAAGAAACAUUAUCAGAACUAGAAUCAGAAUCAAAAUCAGAAUCAGAAUUAUGUGACAGAAUUAGAAUCAGAAUCAGUAUCAGGUAAUAGAAUCAAUAUCAGAAUGUGAAUGCAAUCCCAACCCAAUCCAGCCGUAUACACCCUCGUACCGACCUUACACCAUGUGGGGAGACUACGUGACCCACCCAACCGCUACACACCACAAAAAUUGCAGCAAAGCUGCCAGAUAUUGUGAUGAAGUCACCAAAUACAGAUAUUGUGGCUAGGCCACCAGAACAGAUAUAUAUAUGUGGCGAAGCCACCAGAAGCGAGGCUGCCAAAACGCUUCCUCCAUCAAUAUAACCCAUAUCCCAUACAACAGAUAUACAUGUCAUGGCAUACAACAUACAGAAUCAGAAUAUCAUGCCCAUAUUUGAAUCAAACAGUCAAAGUCAAGUCAUUCAUAUCACCAAUAUAUAUCCACAAUCAAAUCCGUCAACCGCACAGUCCAAGUCAGUCACUUGCCCACAAGGGCAAAACAAUCAUUUAACACCCUAGGGGUAAAAUGAUAAUUUUUUAAAUCGAGGGUAAAACAGUAAUUCUGUAAAUCGAGGGCAAAAUAGUAAUUCUAUAAAUUGAGGGUAAAAUAGUAAUUCUAUAAAUUGAGGAUAAAAUAGUAAUUUUUUAAAUCGAGGGUAAAACAGUAAUUCAGUAAAUCGAGCGUAAAACAGUAAUUCUGUAAAUCGAGGGUAGUUUAGUAAUUUUACAAGUCGAGGGUAUUUCAAUAAUUUUACAGGUCGAUGGUAUUUCAAUAAUUUCAUAAAACAGAGGUAUUUUGGUAAUUUUACAAACUAGGGUAUUUUGGUAAUUUUACAAACCAGUGGUAUUUUGGUAAUUUUAUAAACCAAGGGUAUUUUGUUAAUUCUACCCUACAAGGGUAUUUCAGUAGUGCUAGCCUACAGAUAUGAGAUUCACAUAGUCCAACCCAAUAUUUACUACACAAUGAAACAACUUAUCCAAUUGGGCCCGUAGGCCCAUUAGGCCCUCAUGGCCCCUUUCAGCCCAUCGCGGCCCGAAGUAGCCAUCCUACAGCUAGAGUAGUAAGAAAUACACACCUGAUAGGAGACUGGAGUUAAUCCGCACUGUGAGCACUCUUAGCCGAUGCCCAACCCAAACGAGCACGUCAUAAAGCGAAAGGGAUCAGCCAAGAAAGGUACCUUUACUCUCCUCAUGGUUCUCUCUAUUUAAAGCCAACUCUCCAUCUACUCUUAUGUUAGCUUCCCGAUGUGGGAUCCCUCCAUCACCAGAGUUUAAAACCAACACCAACUCUUGCCGUCCCAACAUAAAAUAAAUGAUCUUUGAUUGCCAUGAGUUUCGAACCCUAGACCUCCUUGCCAACUCUAUGACGCCACCUUCCUGCCUCUUAUGUGGCGCUACUUUGCCACUAGACCACAAGGCUUUUUGUGAGACAAUUUCCCCAAGAAUAUUCUUAAGGCCUACCUACUACACCCAGGGUUUGAUUCACCUUAAACCAAAAUUUUUGCUAGAGUCUAGAUUUGAACCCAGGACUUCUCCAACACUUCUCAGCAUACUUAACCACUUAAACAAGCCUUCAUUAACAAAAUUUACAUGCACAGCAAAAUAUUAUAAGUUGCCUUCAACCGCUCCCAUGCUCAAGGCCCAAAACUUCUAGGCCCAAAUUCAGGGUGUUACAAUUAUUGAUGUAGGUGAUGGUAAAAUGGUACCUAGAGUAGGUAAUGAAGAAAUCGUUUUUAAAAUUUAUGAUGCCAUGAUAUUUUCUAGGGAACAGGAUAACUCAUGUUAUUUUAUUGACUCUAUUGAUCAUGCUGCUCAAGAUUCUUUUCAGGAAAUCAUACAUAAAAACACGUUGGAACUGUGUCAUGCCCAAGGAGAGGAGAUAGAUGACGAUGACUCCGAGACAGGUAAAAUAAAAGCUAAACUGAACUUCAAUGAAUCUUCCCAAAGACAAGUAGAAUAUGAUGACAUUAAAAGGAACGAUGAUUUUAAGAAAAAACCCUUUAUUGAAGAACGUCCCAAACUAAAACUCAAACAGUUACCAAAUUACUUGGAAUACGCAUUCCUUGGAAAUAAUUCUACAUUACCAAUUAUUAUUGCAUCUAACUUGCAACCCAAGGAAAAAGAGGAAUUAAUCCAAGUAUUAAAAGAACAUGCAAAGGCCAUAGCUUGGAAAUUUUCUGACAUUAAAGGGAUCAGCCCUUCUUUUUGUACCCACAAAAUUUUAAUAGAAGAUGAAUAUAAACCAUGUGUGCAAGCUCAAAGACGACUGAACCCCAACAUGAAGGAAGUUGUUAAAGCCGAGGUAAUUAAACUUCUAGAUGCUGGAAUUAUUUAUCCUAUUUCUGAUAGUUCUUGGGUAAGUCCAGUGCAGGUUGUUCCUAAGAAAGGAGGCAUGACUGUGGUAGCCAAUGAGAAGAAUGAACUAAUUCCAACUAGGACAGUCACAGGUUGGAGAGUUUGCAUUGACUAUAGGAAGCUAAAUGAUGCCACGCGAAAAGAUCAUUUCCCCUUGCCAUUCAUUGACCAAAUGUUGGAAAAACUAUCAGGGCACAUGUACUACUGCUUCUUAGAUGGACUAUCUGGCUAUUUUCAAAUCCCAAUAGCUCUUGAAGAUCAGGAAAAAAUGACAUUCACAUGUCCAUACAGUACAUUUUCUUAUCGAAGAAUGCCUUUUGGAUUAUGUAAUGCUCUUGCUACAUUCCAACGCUGCAUGAUGGCCAUCUUUGACGAACUCGUAGAAGAUAUCAUGGAAGUAUUUAUGGAUGAUUUCUCGGUAUUCGGUAACUUUUUCCAUCUUUGCCUUAAAAAUUUAAAACGAGUUCUAAUAAGAUGUAAGGAAACGAACCUUGUACUUAACUGGGAAAAAUGUCACUUUAUGGUUCAAGAAGGUAUUGUGCUAGGACAUAAAAUUUCUACUAAAGGGAUUGAGGUUGAUAAAUCUAAAGUCGAAAUCAUUGAAAAAUUACCUCCUCCUAUUUCGGUUAAGGCUAUUAGAAGUUUUUUAGGACAUGCUGGGUUUUAUAGAAGAUUUAUUAAAGAUUUUUCUAAAAUAGCUAAGCCUUUGACAAAUUACUAGAAAAAGAUAUGCUCUUUAAUUUUGAUCAGGAAUGUUUAGAAGCAUUAAAUACUCUAAAGGAUAAAUUGAUUAAUGCUCCAAUUAUAAUAGCACCUGAUUGGAAUUUACCUUUUGAACUAAUGUGUGAUGUGAGUGACUUUGCAGUAGGUGCAGUUUUGGGACAGUGAAGGGACAAGCACUUUCAACCUAUUUAUUAUGCUAGCAAAACUUUGACAGCUGCACAAGAGAACUACACCACCACGGAGAAAGAAUUGUUAGCUGUGGUUUUUGUAUUUGAUAAAUUCAGGCCAUAUCUAAUAUUGUCUAAAGUUGUCGUUUAUAUUGAUCAUUCUACCCUUCGCUAUCUGUUAACUAAGACAGAUGCAAAACCUCGACUCAUUAGAUGGAUUUUGUUAUUGCAGGAAUUCGACUUGGAAAUUCAAGAUAAGAAAGGAAUAGAAAAUCUCGCAACUGAUCAUUUAUCCAGGCUUGAAAUUUCAAGUACUAAAGAGCUAGAUGAAGUGGAAAUAAAUGAUUCGUUCCCUGAAGAACAAUUUUUUGCUAUUUCUGACUCGGAGGUACCUUGGUUUGCAGACAUAUCAAUUUUUUUAGCAGCUAACGUUAUCCCAAAAGGGUUGACACAUCAGCAAAAGAAAUGAUUCUUUACUGAUGUGAAAAACUACUUUUGGGAAGAUCCUUUUCUUUUCUGUAUAUGUACAGAUCAAGUCAUUCGGUGAUGCGUUACAAGAACAGAAACAUUAAAAAUCUUGGAACACUGCCACUCAAGACCAGCUGGAGGACAUUAUGGUGGAAAUAAGACCGCACAUAAAAUACUUGAAUCAGGUUUUUAUCGGCCCACCUUAUUCAAAUAUGCCAACAGGUAUGUUAUUUCUUGUGACAAAUGCCAAAGGACAGGUAAUAUCUCUAACCGUGAUGAAAUGCGUCAAACAUAUAUGCUUUCAUGUGAAAUAUUUGAUGUUUGGGGUAUCGACUUCAUGGGUCCAUUCCCUAGUUCAUUUGGAAAUAAAUACAUCUUAGUAGCUGUCGAUUAUAUGUGUAAAUGGGUUGAAGCCCAAGCUUUGCCCACAAAUGAUGCUAGAGUAGUGGUAUGUUUCCUUAAAAAACUUUUCUCUCGAUUUGGAACACUUAGAUUAAUUAUCAGCGAUAGGGGGACUCAUUUCUGUAAUGCCCAAAGGACCCUCAAGAAAUAUAGAGUUUACCACCGAACAGCUACCCCUUACCACCCUCAAACUAGUGGCCAAGUCGAAGUGGCAAAUUGAGAACUUAAACGUAUCCUAGAAAAAAACGGAAGGAUUAAACAGGAAAGAUUGGGCAAUGAAAAUAGAUGACACAUUAUGGGCCUAUAAAACUGCUUUUAAAACCCCCUUAGGAACAUCACCAUACAAACUCGUUUAUGGAAAAAUUUGUCAUCUACCAUUUGAGUUAGAACACAAAGCAUUCUGGGCUAUAAAAUUUCUAAACUUUGAUCCCAAACUUGCAGCUGAAAAUAGGUUGAUGCAGUUAAACGAGUCAGACGAAUGGCGAACCUAUGCAUAUGAAAAUUCAAGACUAUACAAGGAAGCAACGAAACGACGUCAUAAUGCUCGGUUAAAACAAAAUAAACAAUUUGAAGUUGGAGAUCUUGUACUAUUAUAUAACUCGAGACUCCAAUUGUUCCCUGGGAAGCUUAAAUCACGAUGGUCAAGUUCGUUCAUAGUCAAAACAAUUUUUCUAUACGGCACCGUAGAAAUAAGUCACCCUUCGUAAAGUACUUUCAAAGUAAAUGGACAUCGCCUCAAACCUUACAAUGAUGAGAAAGUUAAAGAUGACAGGGAGGAGCUACGGAUCCACGAAUCUCCUUAAGUACACUCACAUGGUAAAGUCUAGCUUAGACUUUAAAUAAGCUCUUCUCGGGAGGCAACCCAAGCACUAACAAUAUUACUUUCUUUAAAUUUUAGUUUUUAAAAUCUAACAUACUAACCAAAUCAUUGAACACAGGCUUUUUAUAACCACACUGCCAGGCACACAGGCGUGCCGUAUGCUGUGCACAUACCAUGGGAUGUAACACGGCCAUGCGAUACGGCUGUGUAAAAACAGUGAAAAAAACUUUCUUGUGAUAAGUAGCCACGGCCGUGCGACAUGGCCAUGGGUGAAACUGCCAAAAUAACACGGGCGUUAGCAUGCCCCACGGCCAUGUGCCCCAAUUUCUCUAUAAACACCUAUUAUUUAUUUUAUUUUAUUUUUAUCCUUGUAUUUUGAAAUUAUUUUUUUAUUUCCUUUUAAUAUUAUUUCAUCCUGAGUUUUUACAAUUUUUAUUCUUCAGCUAUUUCAUUACGAGUAAUUAUGCUUCAGUAUACCUCUUAAAAAGUUCCUGAUUUUAUCACAGUUAUAAAGAGCUCCUCAGCUCAUCAUCACAUAGGAACUAAAAAAUCAACUAGGAAAGGUUUUUCACGACCAUAGCCAACUUGAGAUAUAAUAUUCUUUUGGUGCAGCAUUUGUGGAACCCAACCUCUACCACCAGCGGAGUAUCUUCCUCCACUCUCACGCUUAUUAUUAUCCAAAACACCAAUUCAAGGAGUUCAUUCAUCAUUCAAGAAGUUUCACUUCUCUCCCUAUCUUAUGAUUCUAAAUCUAUCUUUUUCAAUAUAUCUACCUUUGUACAUUGAGGGCAAUGUCCAUCUUAAGUGUGGGGGGUCUUUUAUAUCUUCAUAAGAAAUCCCUGAAUUUUGUCUUAUUCUCAUGUGAUCUUCUCAUGCCAUGAUUAAAAUGGAUUUUGAUUAAUUUAUGAUUUUUAUUGAUAUGUCUUGAAUUAAAACAUAGGCAUUUAUGCAUUGAUGUUUAAGCUUUAAGACAUUAGAGAAUCAAGCAUGAUAAGUUGAUUUUUGAUGAAUUAAAACUUUCAGGUUGUUUCCCCAAGUUUAGGUAUUAUUUUGAGUUGGAAUUCACAAGUUUAAACAUAAAAAAACCAUAAUUUUUGUGAGAUCUUGAGCCUUUAGAGCAUUUAUUAUUUCUUUCAUGCUCACUUUCAUUAUGAGUGAGUCAGUAUUGAAUUGUUAUUCUAGAACUUGCUUCAUUAUGCAUGUCAAGACCACACCAUUUGAUUUGAUAUGUCAAAAUGAUAAAGGCACUUAGGUUUAACCCACUCACUCCAUUAAAGCCUACAUUUACAAUUAACCCUUAGUGAACCCCCUUGAGCCUAACAACCCAUUCAUUAAUUUACCCUCAAUAUUAACCCAUAACUCAUUAUUGUUGAAAUCCCCUAAAUUAAUUCGAUCCCUAUUUUUGUCGAGAUUUGAGUUGGAAUAGUUUCUUAGCUAUGUUUUAUUCUAUUUUGUAAUUUGACUUGUUCUUAAAAAAAACAUGUAUACAUAUUAGUAGUAGUGAUCUUCUGAGCUAAAGAAGUUAAAUUCCAUAUUCUGAGAAAAAGCUCUCUUGUACGCAAUUGAUGACUAGUCAUUUUUCUAGUUAGGCAAUUUUUCAAUUCAAUCUCGAUUCUAACCCUUUCUUUCAGCUUGUGACCACACCCUCUAACCAAAGCCACGUUACAACCCUCUGAAGAACUUUUGAUUGAUGUUUCAUCUCAAUUUAUAGUGGUGGAGAUUUGAUUUUCAUGCAAGCCUAUGGUAAUGACUUUUCAUUAUUGACUAUUGAGUGCUUCAUUUAAUGUCUUUAAACACCUCGAGUGAUUUCAGUGAAUCUUUAGUGAGGAUGUGAAACUCUGUGAUAUUUUGAAUCAAAGGUAAUUACUUGGAUGAGGGGAGACACCCAUGUUUUCAUAAUAAAAUGCUCAACAAUGUUUGAAACUUUAAUGUUCUUUCAGUUGAAUUUUCAAUGUAUGAUUACCUAUGGAUUAUUUUGAGAUAUUAUCGAUGGAAAUUAUAAGUUGAGAAUAAUUUAUUUUGAUUAUGAGUUGAGGAUUUUCUUGAGGACAAGCAAAUGCUUAAGUGUGGGGGUAUUUGAUAAACCGUAAUUUAUACAUAUUUCUAUCCCAUGCUUAGCACAUUUUAUGGAUGAUUUUUCCUUAAAAUUGGUGAAUUCGAAGCUCUUAAAGCCUUAAUUUCAUGUUUUAUACUUAGGAGAGCAUGAAGAGUGAAAGGAACGAGAAAUGGGCCAAAAACGGAGAAAAUAGGCCAACGUACGAAAUAAACACGGCUUGGACUUCCUCACACGGGCAGACCACAUUGCCGUGUCAAUUUGGCAGAAUCGAAGCACGACUCACACGGGUAGACCACACACCCGUGCCUAUUUAUCAGGCUUGACCAUGGCCUGAAGUAAUCACACACGGGCGUGUCCCUGUCGAGCCCAAGUUUAAUCCAAUUUGGAAAAGGGCAAUUUUGAGGGCUCUUAGGCAUUCUAAAGCCUAUAAAUACACCCUAGAAAAGGAGAAUAAGGGGGACACAGAGGAGGAAGCAGGGAACUACUCAAGGAAAGCCGAUUGAUCCAUCUUAGAAGCCGGAUUCAUCAUCAAGACUGAAGAUCUCCCCUCAAUUUCCCUUCAGAAGUUUUGGGUUUUUCUUUAGGUUUUGUAUUCAUUAUUCUUCUGAGAUGUUUACCUUUUUAGUUAUGAACUAAAACCCCUAAAUACCUAAGGGGAAUAAAACCUAAGACAGAUCUUGUUAUUAUUAAAUGAAUUGUAUGAUAAAUAUUUGACUUGUUCUUAGUUAUGUGUUCUUAAUUCUUGUUUUGAUAUUCUAGGAUAUUGAUUCAAGUUAAGCUCUUAUUCAGAGGAGGAAUAGACCUUGUCUAAGAGUACAUUUGUCAUAAUUUAGUGGAGUUGAUUGCGCACCUAGAGAUAGGGUGACAAGAUUUUACCGAAUUAGGGUGAAACCUAAUAAGGGGAUCCAUAGAUCGAGUUAAUUGAACCCUAGGGAGUUAAUUAGAAAGAGAUUUAAAUUAUUCAACCUAGGGUUAGACGUUGUUAGUCUCGAGAGAGAUAACAAUAUAACUUAGAGAUUUCUACGGAUCAAGUCAAAUGAAUAAAUCGUCCAAUUCAGAUUCAAAUAACAAGUGAAGUCUGGUGGAUUUUUCCUUAGGUAUUGUCUCAAUCAAUCGAGUUUUCCAAAAGUAAUUCCUCAAUUCUAUUUUCCAUGAAUUAUUAGUUUAGUUAAUUGGUUAUUUAAAACAAACCUCAUUAUUCUUAGGCUAGAUAAUAAAAAGACAGUCAUUACUAGUACUUUUAGUUCCUUUGGGUUCAACAAUCUGGUCUUGCUAAAGCUAUACUACUGUUCGAUAGGUACACUUGCAUUCAUCGUGAUAAUAGUUAGUUUCAAGAACGAUUCAUUAUAAAUAUUUAAAACCUGUCACAAAUAUCACGUAUCAAAACUCACCUUAAAUUCACCAAGAUUGCAGCUUGGAGUUCCAAAACUUGAACAUCCUUCUUGAACUACCAGCAGCAACUGCUUAAACAACAUAGAACCACCAUUAGAACCCAUUUACAGACAAGUGACUAGUAUCUUAAUUACAAACAACCCUAUGGAGAUUUUCUUAAUCACAACUCAUUGUUCAUAAGUUUCUUGAUACCUUUAUUAUUUUCAAAGACAUAACAUGCAGAGCUAUCGAGCUUACCCUGAGGUGGAACAUCCACUCAUUAAUUUAAAAAUCUGUAGUUUCCAGAGAAGAAAACAUAUAAGUUCUAAAAGGAAGAACUAGAAAGUAGGAUUAAAGGAAGAAAAACCAUCCCGACUAAUCCUUCUCACAAUAUAUAUAUCCAGUGUCCCCUUAGUGGAACUCGACAAGUGUUAAUUGUAUCCAGAGUUUGUACUAAUAAAUGGCCUACAAAGUUCGAAAUAAAUAUAAAUGAGGAUCUUGUACAAAUAUUACUUGACCAGUCAAUUCAGUUGGCUCCCAACCAGGUCAUAUUACAAAGCCCAACUACGAUAGUACUCAAACAAGCUAGGCGUACUGUACAUUUGGCGGUAACUUUUACUAGGCUUACUCUUUGCUUGACACAUCCUUUUCUUAAAUAGUACGAUAACCAGAGAUAGAAUCUUUAAUUAACUUACAUGAUGGGUACCUUACCCUAAAUUCGUAUUCGCCAAAAAACUACAAAUGGGCAAACUACACUAUGCCAAAUAGGUAUCUUCACAUCUACAUUUCUUCAAAUCUAGUUCGCUAGAUUUGGGUUGUGACAACUCUUGCCUCUUAGAAAAAAAUUGUCCUCGAAUUUUUUUAACUUAAAAUUUUCCACUACAUAGAAUGCAUAACUAACUGUCUGCACCGACAAAUAAACCUAUUUGGCGAAUUACUCCACAAACUCAUAACAACUUCUCUUCAGUGAUGUAUACUUUAGGGUUCCUCUAUCGGUAAGAAUGCCAACAUUCUACUCAAAUUUAUAGAUUCAAAACUUGGCUUUUACUCUUAAAAUUUCAAGCGUUACUUAACUUACUCUUUAACAGAUGUCAAAUUUAUAUUAGAGAAUAUGAACAAUUACCACGAAUUAAACUUCUUGCACACGUUUGUUUCUCAAUAAAAUUAAAACUUAAACACCCUUUUUAAAACUCUUUGUUGCAUAUCGGAACCCUAAUUUGUUUUCUAUUUAAGCUUUCUACUUCCUUCGUCUUUAGUUCUCCUCUUACUCAAAGGUAAUCUUUGUUCUUCUUUUCUUUUUAUUUCAUUCAUACAAAAUGGUCAGAACCACCACACAAUGGAGGGGCUGAGGCCAGACUAAAUGAAAUGUCAAUCUCCAAAAUCCAACUAUCUUCAAACUCAAACGUUUUGAUAUAGGAUUGUAGCGCCACCGAAUAUGAAUUACAUUGGUACCUAGGAGCCUGAGACAUUUUUUAUCCCAACUUUACUUUAUGAUUUCCGACGAGGAUGAGCAUGUCCCCUGAGCGAUAAUUCCAGAGGUUUUAUCAUUCCUUUUAAUUUUUUUAGAGGUUAACUUCCACCUACCACUGAAUCUUUUCUUCUGCAUAGUGCUGAAUGAAUACGACAUCGCCCUAGGGUAGUUAUUGCCCUAUCCUGGAGGACACUAGUGACUUUCUUCGUUGACUAUUACAUGCAUAAUGAGCUUCCAAAGCUGGGAGUGUUCCAAAAGUUUUACCAGUUGAAGAUAAAAAUAAAAGGAAUUUUAAUUGGUAAUGCUCACUUUAGUAUAUGUCCAAGCUUCGAGCCUGUAAUAGUCCAUUUUUAAGUCAAAUCAAAAUAGUGGUUUCGAGACCGCAAGUCCAAAGUGAAAAUAUUUAUUUUAUUAUUAUUUUAAUUUCUACAGCAUGAUAGUGGAGUCAUAUGAAAAUUUCGUUAAGAAAUUUUAUCGUUUGCAUACUCAAUUUGAUAAAAAGGACUAAAUCGUGUAAAUUGCAAAACUUAAGUUAAAUCUCAAUGUGAUUAAAUGGUUGAGGGUUUUAUGUUGCAAUUAGACCAUAUAAAUUGCUAGUGGAAUUUUAUGACCAUUAAAAUGAAAUUAUAAAGGUUAUAAGAUAAGGAUAAAUUAGUAAAUAACCAAAUAACUUAAAAUUAAAAUAAGUAAAAUUAAAGUACCAGCUUUCCAAAAGCUAAACACCACCAAAUUUGAAGGUUAGGAAGCCAUGGUUAGGGCUUGAAGAAUUUGGCCAACAAUUCUAGUGCAUGUAACUGCAAUUUUAUUGUAACGCCCUAAUUUUCGGGUUUUCUGUGUUUCUGUGAUUUUUCAAAUUUGUGUGUGUUCUGGUUGGUUAAAAUAUAUAUUUUAGUAGGUUAGUGGGCCUUUGGAAGGCCCAAACUUAAGUUAAAUCCUUGGUAGUCUUCGGAAUUUUAAUUUUAUGAAUAAGUAAUGCAAUUAGCGUUUGGGCUUUUAAGACUAAAGGGGUAAAAGAUGACACAAAAAGGAGUGUGGUGUAGUGGCAAGGUGGCGGAACUUAGGGGACAAGGAAGUGACGCCAUAGAGGAAGCAAGGGGUCCAAGGUUCAAGUCUUGGCUCUUGCAAUAUAUUUUGGUUUUUCUUUUUAAUAAAUCUAGAAGCAAGUAGGUGCGCUUUAAAGUUUAAUGUGUUGGAUUUAUGACACAAAUGAGUUAAUGGCCUAGUGGUGGUGGCGUGAGUUGGCAUGUGAGAGGACUUUGGUUCGAAUCCCUUGGCAUGCAAAGGUUGAUUAUUUUGCUAUGUUGGGACGACAAGAGUUGGUGAUGGAGGGAUCCCACAUCGGGAAACUAACAUAAGAGUAGAUGGAGAGCUGGCUUUAAAUAGAGCAAACCAUGAGGAGAGUAGGCAUACCCUUCUUGGCUGAUCCCUUUCGCUUUGUGACGUGCUCUUUUGGAUUGGGCGUCGGCUAAGAGUGUUUGGAGCGUGGAUUAACUGCAGUAUCCUAACAGGUGUGUAUUUCUCAUUACUCUAGCAGUAGGACGGCUAUUUCGGGCCGCGAUGGGCUAAAAUGGGCCAUGUGGUCCCGAUGGGUUAGUAGGCCCAAGUGGAUAAGUUGUAGAAUUACUAAAAUACCCCGGUAGGGUAGGACUACCGAUUUACCCUUGGAGGGUAAAAUGACUAUUUUGCCCAUCGUGCGUAAAUGACUAACUUGUGUGAUGAUUGGGUUAGUUGACGUGGAUUUAUGCUAGUUAUUGUUAAUUCGUAAGUCUAAUGUGUUAGUGAUCAAUUGUAGGAUUAUCGCGUGGGAGAUAUCGUCAUCAAUCAUCAUCAACCAGGUGUGUAAACGACACCCUCCCUUAGACUGAAUCGGUAAAAGCCGAAAUACUGAAAUAUUGGUAUUUUGUGAACUCACGAGCGUGCGAGCGCUCGUGAGACAGUUAUUAAUGAAUAUGGUGCAUUUGGAUGAUUAGAGUGCAGAGUGUGCAUUUUCGUGCACAACGGUAUUUUUGGGCUUAAUGGGUGAAAACGGGCCAAUGGGCCAACGGGCCCACUUUGGUAAAAAGACAAGGUAAGUACUUCUGAUUACUUGGUAAACGUUAGAAUGAGCAUGAAACCUUAGCAAUAGGUAAUAAUUACUGGAAUACCCUUAUGCAUGCAAAAUUAUGAUUUUACCCCUAGGGUUUUUUUUCUGAAAAGCAUGAUGUUCUGUUUCUGUAUACGUAUGCCAUGACAUAUUAUUUCUGUUGCAUGGGAUAUGGGUUUAUAUUGAUGGAGGAAGCAUUCUGGCAGCCUCGCUGCAAUCUAGUGGCCUCGCCACAUAUAUCUAUUUUGGUGACUUCGUCACAAUAUCUGGUAGCCUCGUUGCAAUCUGGUGGCUUCGCCACAUAUAUAUAUCUGUUCUGGUGGCCUAGCCACAAUAUCUGUAUCUGGUGACUUUGUUACAAUAUCUGGCAGCCUCGCUGCAAUUUCUGUGGUGUGUAGCGGUUGGGUGGGUCGAGUAGUCUCCCCACAUGGUGUAAGGCUGGUACGGGGGUGUUAUGGAUGGCUCUGGGUUGGGAUUUCUGCAUUCAUGAUAUAUUUGUUCUGUAUAUGCUAUGGGCCUAUGGGUUUCAUUCUAAUUUCUGCAUUGGCCCAAGGCCCAGAUAAUUCUGACUCUGAGGUUUGAUCUGUUUUGGGCUAUGGUUGGGUUAUGUUACACACUGAGUUUACCGAACUCACCCUUUAUUUUCAUCUUUGAAGGAAAUCCCCAACCAUAGUGGGCUUGGAGCUGUGAGGGAUUCGGAGUGGCUACAUCAUCUGCAAAGUUGGUUUUUCUAAGUUAGUUUAUUUUUAUUAUUUUUAUAUUCUGAUUUAAUUUUGGGUUUUAAGUUGUAAUAAGGCCGCUAUUUAAAUUUCUUUUUUUCGCUAUGGUCUUAUUUUCUGAUUAUAUUUAUACUAUGACGAAACUGCUAGUGUUAGGCUGCGUGGGUUUUUAAAAUUAAUGAACGUUUUCAAGACUCAACAAACACAACAAAUGGAUAGCCUAAAGAUUGAUAAACCGGCUUUUCAUUCAACCGCUAUUUUUACAAAGACCAACCCAACCACUUAAACCAGCGAAUGCAUACUAAGUCGUAAGUCCAUAUGACACGUCAGAUUUGGCCAUACCAUCUGGGCCGGGUUUGGGGUGUUACAUUUGGUGGUUUCAGAGCCAAGUUGCAACAACUCGGCUGUGGAACUGGUCUAAAAAUGGGAGUUUGUAAAGAAACACUGAAUAAAAGAUUUCGAAAAUCUUUUUUUUUUUGAACUUGAUUAUAAAUUGUUUUCGAGAAUGUUUCCAAUAUUUUCUCUUUACAAAUAAAUGAUUUUAAAGAUUAAAAUCGGUUUUCUAAAAUUAGGUUUUUUAGAAGGUGGCACACCGAAUCUCCGGGCCAAGUCUGUAAGUUUUCUGAGCCUUUCUGAUUGUUUCAGAAAUAUCUGUUAUAUUCUUAUACAAAACCUUAUCAUGGUACUUUAGUUAGGGUAACACUGGAACUAUAGAAACUCUGAUAAGUAGACUGAGACUGUAGCUAGGCUACCGCAAAAAGAAACAAACUCAAACUCUGAAUUACUUUUAUUCAUAAGACAUCUGUAAUAAACACUGAAAUAUUAAACUGAUUCAUAAAAUUCUUAAUCAGAUAAUGCGAAAUGAGUACACGAGCAGCUCAUGGAAGAGGCCGUGGACGUGGCCGAGGUAAUGCUUAGGCUGAAUCUUCGUCUUCAGGACAUGUGCCAGUAGCAGAUGCACCGGUACCAUCGGCAACGGAGGUAGAGUCUCAUGAUCGAGGUACCAGGGACGAUGCUUUGUCCCAGGUAAUGCUCUGAGUUUUGGAAAGGGUUGCUGGGGCAAGUAUGGGAAACAGAAUUCGGGGGUCUAUUUUUGAGCGGCUCCGGGCUAAUGGAAUAGAGAUAUUUAGGGGCGUAUUUGGUGUAGCUCCAAAUGUGGUUGAGUAUUGGUUAGAAGCCACAGAGUGGAUUAUGGAUGAUCUGGACUACUCUGUGGAGCAGAAGCUGAAGGGAGCCAUAUCGUUACUCAGGGAUGAGGCUUAUCAGUGGUGGCUCACGGUGAGAGAUGGAACUCCUGCUGACAGUGUGACUUGGGAGCUGUUUAUGUAACAUCCUGAUUUUGGGCUUAGUCGGAAUAGUGGUUUCAGGACCACAAAUUUGACGAGGAAAAUUUUAUUUUUAUUAUAUUUUUAUGGUCUACGAUUUCACGGAAUGAUUUCGUGAAAAUUUCGUUCAAAAAUUUCGACGUUUGGGCACUCAAUUUGGUCAAAAGGACUAAAUUGAUAUCAUAUGAAAUGUGGCUACCUAUCAAAUGAUUAUUUGAUGUAAAUUAUGAAUUUAAAUUGAUUAUGGACAAUUUAGUAAAAUGUUGAAAAGUGUGGAAUUUCCCGGUUUAACUUUCAGAAUAGAAACGAUACCAAUGAGCUAUUGUGAGGUCACGUGUGUAGUACUAAGUGCAGGCUACUACGUGUACCAGAUAAUUGGUCGCAUGUGUAGUACUAAGUGCAGGCUACUAUACGUACCUGAUAACUUCGAUCACGUGUGUAGAGGCUACUACGUGUAUCAGAUGGUUAGGUCACGUGUGUAGUACUAAGUGCAGGCUACUACGUGUACCGAAUAAUUGGUCGCAUGUGUAGUACUAAGUGCAGGCUACUAUGCGUACCAGAUAGCUUCGGCUACAAGUGUGGAAAUGAGAAAAUGUGCAGGCAAUUGUGUAUCUAUUAUUAUUCCGAUGAGUUCAACGGGAAAUCGAUUAAGUGAAAAUAAAUGUGACAGUGAUUAUGUGAUGAACAAGUGCAAGUAUAUUUUUAUUUGAAUUCAUGAGCAAUAUGCUCGAUAUUUGAGCGAACCUCGGUAAAAUGGAAGGGAUUAAGUGAAAUUGUGCAAAAGUGAACUUUAGUAGUAAAACAGUGUUGGACAGCAACAGUGCAUGAAUUUGAAAAUUUACCAAAAAUUGUGUAAGUUGAAUUAAAUUUCAAAUAAAAUAUGUAAUUAAAUUUUAUUGAGUCAAUUUUCACAUAAAAUAAACAGGGGAAGCAAAAGAAUUCCAUAUUAUGUGAUAUUUGAAUUCUUGUGAGACAGUGUCUGAAUGAAUUUGAGAUCCCUUGUUCUGGCUUAGAAAAAUUGUUAAAAAUUAUAGAAAAAUAAUUUUGGGGUAUAAUUUAUAUUCCUAGAAUCUUGGGUGAGUCUACUUUUAAUAAAAACAAAUUAGAACAUCAUCCGAGUUUUUUACUAUGAGAUAAAUAAAUUUUAGUGAAGAAAGGUCGAAGCUGUUAAACAACAAAAUAGGGGAGAUUUUGAAUAAUAAACUGUACUUAUUUGCUGGACUAAAAAUUCUGAAAAUUUUAUGGUGGAAAGAUAUAUGAGUCUAGUUUUUUUGAAAAUUUACGAAUCUUAAUUUGGAGUUCCGUAACUCUAAAUAUAAAUGAUUUAGUGACUAUUACUCAAGAAAAUAGCUUAACCAGAACAUGUGUAAAUGUACAAAUGAGUUAGUUUUAUUGUGGGAAGCAUGUUAGUAAAUUGCUUAUUAUUAUUUCAUGUCAGCUUACUAAGCAUAAAACUUACCACCCUCCUUUCCAUUUCUUUUAGUGUUUUCAGGUUAGCUCAGGGUUGGAGACCGUUGGAGGCAACAUCACACUAUCAAGCCAACACUUUGACAGUAUAAACACAUAUGCUAGAUUUAUCAAGUGAGUGGCAUGUAUAGGGACCUAAUUUUAUAACAUGUGUUAUUAUUAUUUGGCCAAAUAUAUUGGUCUUUAGUGAGCUAAUGAUUCUGACUUAUAAAUCUAGCUAUUUAUGUUAUGUUUGAUAUUAGUGAUAUGCAUAUGCUUGGUUGUCAUGCAUGGUUGGUAAUAAGUUGUUUAAGUUGUUUAAUUGAUGAAUUAAGUUUAGAAACACUUCGUGCUUGACUCCGGCGAUGGUCUUGGGUACGGGGGCGUUACAGUUUAAGACAGACAGCCUUCAAAGGAAAGUAUGGUGGGGCUAGUUAUGUGGACGCUGGCCGGAAAGAAUUUCUGAACCUGGUCCAAGGGAGUAAGUCAAUGGCUAAGUAUGAGUCUGAGUUUCUGAGACUGAGCCGGUAUGUUUCUGGGAUUGUCGCUAUAGAGUAUGAGCGUAGCGUACGCUUCGAGGAUGGUCUGAGAGAUGAACUUAGGGUGCUGAUUGCUCCGCAGAAGGAGCGUAACUUCGCUGCUUUAGUAGAGAAAGCUAAGAUAGCUAAGGAAGUGAAGCAUACAGAAAGACAGAAUCGUGAAAAAGAUCGGAACCGUUUUAGGAGAGAUUUAGGACUUUCAGGUGGUAUGAACAGGAAUGUUAAGAGAGCAAGGGUAAUGGAGCCUGUUCGAGUAGUACCGAUGAAUGCUGUUAGACCGCAGGUGUAACACCCCAAACCCGACCAGGAAGUUUGGCUUGAAUCUGGUGUGUCACAUUGAAGUGUUUUUCGGAAACCAUGUUUCCAUUAAAAACCCUUCUUAAUAAUUAAAAACUUGUAACCUUUUUAAACCUUGUUAGAAAACCUCAGCUGAAUAACAUUCUUAACAACUUUGUAAAAAAUCCUGGCAGUUGCGGAAGCUUAAUUUAAAAACAAUUGCGGUUACGUGAUGUUUUGAACAACAGUAGCUGCUUUGGAAAACCGUGUUCUAAUACUAGUAAUUAUAAGAACAAUAAAUAAAAUUCCAAAUUUGAAAUCCAGAAAAUUACAACGGCUUUACUACAACCCACAUAAAAACAUUUAAAAGCAAUAAUCAAAACUAUAACAUAAAAAGUGUGUGUGGCUUCCUCCGAGCCCCUCGCAGGCCCGAUCCGUCUAAAUCUGGAAAUUACCUAAAAGGUUAAUAAACGGGGUGAGUUUACGAAAACUCAGUGUGAAAUCCCCUACUAUAUAAAAGGAACAGUCAGUCAUAUAAAAGAAUUAAAAGUUGGCCCCAACCCUACUUACAGUUUCAGUAUCAAUUGGGCGUUAGCCCAUUUUAACAGACAGUACCAGAUGGGCUUUAACCCAUUACAGAAUAAGGAACAUUAUCAGAACUAGAAUCAGAAUCAGAAUCAGAAUUAGGUGAUAGAAUCAGAAUCAAAAUCAAUAUUAUGUGACAGAAUCAGAAUCAGAAUCAAUAUCAGGUAACAGAAUCAAAAUAAGAAUUAGUAUCAGGUAAAAGAAUCAAAAAUCAGAAUGUGAAUGAAAUCCCAACCCAAUCCAGCCUAUAACCAACCGCUACACUCCACCCGUACCAGCCCUACACUCCAUGUGGGGAAUAGCUCAACCCACCUAGCCCUACACUCCACAGUUGCAACAUUGCUGCUCAGUUAUCAGAGGUAUUUACCCUACAGGGGUAUUCCGAUAAUUCUACCCUACAGGGGUAUUCCGGUAAUUCUACCCUACAAGGGUAUUCUAGUAAUUCUACCCUACAGGGGUAUUUCGGUAAUUCCACCCUACAGGGGUAUUUAGGUAUUUCUACCCUACAAGGGUAUUUCGAUAAUUCUACCCUACAGGGGUAUUUCGGUAAUUCUACCCUACACGGGUAUUCCGAUAAUUCUACCCUACAGUGGUAUUUCAGUAAUUCUACCCUACAAGGGUAUUUCGGUAAUUCUACCCUACAGAGGUAUUGCGAUAAUUCUACCAUACAGGGGUAUUUCGGUAAUUCUACCCUAUAGGGGUAUUGCGAUAAUUCUACCCUACAGGGCUAUUUCGGUAAUUCCACCCUACAGGGGUAUUUCGGUAUUUCUACCCUACAAGGGUAUUUCGGUAAUUUUAUAAAUCGAGGGUAAAAUGGUAAUUCUGUAAAUCAAGGGUACUUUGGUAAUUUUACAAGUCGAGGGUAUUUCAAUAAUUUUACAAGUCGAGGGUAUUUCAGUAAUUUCACAAAUCAGAGGUAUUUUGGUAAUUUCACAAAUUAGGGGUAUUUUGGUAAUUUUACAAACUAAGGGUAUUUUGGUAAUUUUAUAAACAAAGGGUAUUUUAGUAAUUUUACAAACCAGGGGUAUUUUGGUAAUUUUGUAAACCAAGGGUAUUUUGGUAAUUUUACAAACCAGGGGUAUUUUGGUGAUUUUAUAAACCAAGGGUAUUUUAGUGAUUUUACAAACCAAGGGUAUUUUGAUAAUUUGGUAAACUAAAGUAUUCUAAACAGGGAUAACAAUACGAAUGGCCCUAAAGCCUUUUCUAGGCCCAAAUGGGCCCACACGCUCGUGUGGCCCUCUUAGCCCAAAAUCUAGCCACAAAUAUGAGAUUCACCUAGCCAGUCCAAUAUUUACUACACAAUCAAACAACUUAUCCAAUUGGGCCCGUAGACCCAUUAGGCCCACAUGACCCCUUUCGGCCCAUCGCUUCCCGAAGUAGCCAUCCUACAGCUAGAGUAGCGAGAAAUACACACCUGAUUGGAUACUGGAGUUAAUCCACGCUCUGAGCACUCUUAGCCGACGCCCAACCCAAACGAGCACGCCAUAAAGCGAAAGGGAUCAGCCAAGAAAUGUACCUUUACUCUCCUCAUGGUUCUUUAUAUUUAAAGCCAGCUUCGCAUCCACUCUUAUGUUAGCUUCCCGAUGUGGGAUUCCUCCAUCAUCAGAGUUUAAAUUCAACACCAACUCUUGCCGCCCCCUGUUAGCAAAAUAAAUGCUCUUUGCUUGCCAUGGGAUUCGAACCCAUGCCUCCCCUUAAAUGCUCCACACGCUACUUGCCACUAAGCCACAAGGCUUUUUGUGUCACAAUUUCUCCAACAAUAUUCUUAAGGCCUACCUACUACACCCAGGGUUGAUUCACCUUAAACCAAAAUUUUUGCUAGAGUCCAGGUUUGAACCCAGGACUUUUCCAACACUUUUCAGCACACUUAACCACUAAAACAAGCCUUCAUUAACGAAAUUUUCACGCACAACAGAAUAUUAUAAGUUGCCUUCAGCCGCUCCCAUGCUUAAGGCCCAAAUUCAGGGUGUUACAGCAGGGUUGUAGAAAGUGUGGGAAGAUGCAUAUGGGCAAGUGUCAGAAACGUUCUGGUGCUUGUUUCCGAUGCAGAUCUAUGGAGCAUAGGGUUAAGGAUUAUCCCCAAGAACCAGAUCAGGUUCAAGUUUUAGAGCAGAGGGUUGCUCAACCAGUGAGGGGUGGACCAUAGUUUCCGAGAGGACGUGGGUAAGGCAGAGGUGGUAAUGGAAACGGUCGAGGAAGAGGAGCACCUGGCAGGGGUGUUGGAUUUCCUGAGGCUCGUCGCCUAGAGGAGGGUGAUGCACCUGACGUCAUAACUGGUACAUUUCUGAUUUCCAGUAAGCCAUACACUGCGUUGAUAGAUGUUGGAUCUACCCAUUCAUAUGUUGCAUGUACUAUAUCUGGGUUGCUGGGUGUGCGCUCUGAGGAGACCGUGAGUAGGGUAUCUAUACUAAGUCCUUUGGGUCACUCGGUUAGGUUAGAUAAACUGUAUAGAGAUGUGCCUAUAGAAACUCAAGGAAAAGUUUUCUCUAGAGAUCUGAUGGAGCUACCUUUCAGAGAAUUCGAUCUCAUUUUGGGAAUGGAUUGGCUUGUUAAGCAUAGGGCUACUCUGGAUUGUGCUAUUAAGCGAAUAAUGUUAAAGACCACAAAGGAUGAGGAGGUUUUGGUGAUAGACGAGCGUAGGGAUUAUUUGUCUAAUGUGGUGUCGACAUUGAGAGCCAAGAAGUGGAUUCGAAAGGGAUGUGAGGCUUAUUUGGCAUUUGUAAGCCAAUCGAAAACUGAGGAUCUGACAGUGGAUAAAGUUAGAACCGUCAAGGAUUUUCAAGAUGUUUUUCCAGAGGAGCUUCCAGGUUUGCCCCCGAACCGAGAGGUUGAGUUUGGAAUCGACUUGUUGCCUGGAACGGCACCGGUGUCCAUUGCACCUUAUAAGAUGGCACAGAAGGAGUUGGUGGAGCUGAAAGCCCAAAUUCAAGAGUUAUUGGAUAGAGGCUUCAUUAGACCAAGUGUGUCUCCGUAGGGAGCACCAGUGUUGCUCGUAAAUAAGAAAGAUGGGUCAAUGCGGAUGUGCAUUGAUUAUCGGCAGUUGAACAAACUAACGAUUAAGAACAAGUACCCACUACCGAGAAUCGAUGAUUUAUUUGACCAACUUAGAAGAGCUUCAGUAUUUUCCAAGAUUGACCUUCGAUCUGGGUAUCAUUAGUUGAGGGUUAAAGAGGUGGAUAUUCACAAGACGGCAUUCAGAACUCGGUAUGGCCACUAUGAGUUCUUGGUUAUGCCAUUUGGGUUGACGAACGCACCUGUGGCAUUUAUGGAUCUGAUGAAUCGAGUGUUCCAGCCAUACUUGGAUCGAUUCGUGGUCGUCUUUAUCGAUGAUAUUCUGUUUUAUUCUGAAAUUGAGGAUAAGCAUGAUGAGCAUCUUCGUAUUGUGUUGCAAGUGCUGAGGGAGAAGGAGCUUUAUGCGAAAUUCAGUAAGUGUAAGUUCUGGUUGAGAGAGGUAACUUUCUUGGGGCAUGUUGUCUCUGCUGAAAGGAUCAAGGUGGACCCUCGAAAGAUUGAAGCGAUUCUAGAAUAGAAGCCACCGAGGUCAGUGUCAGAAAUUUGAAGUUUUCUAGGUUUAGCUGGGUACUAUAGAAGGUUUGUGGAAGGAUUUUCUGUGAUGGCAGCGCCUUUUACAAAGCUUAUAACAAAGGGAGUACCGUUUGUUUGGACUGAGAAACAACAGGAAUUUUUUGAGAAGCUGAAGAAAGUUCUGACUGAGGCACCUGUACUGAUUCAGUCGGAGUUUGGAAAAGAUUUUACCGUAUGCAGUGAUGCAUCACAUGUAGGGUUGGGCUGUGUGCUGAUGCAAUAGGAAAAAGUGGUUGCUUAUGUAUCGCGAUAGCUUAAACCACAUGAAGUUAACUAUCCUACUCAUGAUCUGGAGUUGGCAGCGGUAAUUUUUGCGCUUAAGAUUUGGAGACAUUACCUGUACGAAGAAAGGUGUAUUAUAUACAUAGAUCAUAAGAGUCUUAAGUACUUGCUGACUCAGAAGCAGCUGAAGCUUAGGCAGCGGAGAUGGAUAGAGUUGCUUAAGGAUUAAGACUGCACAAUUGAGUAUCACCCAGGCAAAGCUAAUGUGGUGGCUGAUGCCCUAAGUCGUAGAACUGUAUCUAAUCUGAGAGCCAUGUUUGCUCGUUUGAGUCUGUAUGACGAUGGUAGUCUGUUAGCAGAACUGCAAGUUAGGCCAACUUGGGUGGAUGAGAUUAAGGAAAAACAGUCGAGGGAUGAGUCCCUGGUUUCUCGAUUCUGGCAGUUUAAGAAUGGGGAUACUUCUGAGUUCGAACUGAACAGUGAAGGAGUUCUAUGUUACCGAGGUAGAGUUUGUAUUCCGAAGGAAUCUGACUUGAGGCAAGCAAUUCUGAAAGAAGCUCAUAGAGGUCUGUGUGCUAUGCAUUCUGUGUGCUGUGCAUCCUGGAGGGAGUAAAAUGUAUCGCGACUUAAAGAAGUUGUAUUGGUGGCCUGGAUUGAAGCGAGAGGUAACGAAAGUUGUGGGAAAAUGUCUGACUUGCCAGCAAGUGAAAGUUGAACAUCAAUUACCUUCCGGACUUUUGCAUCCAGUGAAAGUACCAGUUUGGAAGUGGGAGAGGGUAACCAUGGAUUUUGUGAGUGGGUUACCCUUGACACCAUCGAAGGACUCGAUUUGGGUAAUUGUGGAUAGGUUGACCAAAUCUGCUCAUUUCAUACCUGUCCGCACUGAUUAUUCACUUUAGAAGUUAGCCAAAUUGUAUGUGGCAGAAAUAGUACGACUUCACGGAGUACCAGUGUCGAUUAUUUUUUAUCGAGAUCCUAGAUUCACAUCUCGGUUUUCGCAAAAGUUGCAUGAGGCGUUGGGUACGCGGUUGAACUUUAGUACAGCCUUUCAUCCUCAGACUGGUGGUUAGUUGGAAAGGGUUAUUCAGAUUCUGGAAGACAUGUUGAGGGGAUGUGUUAUCGACUUUCGAGGCAGUUGGGAGGAUUACUUACCGUUGGCAGAGUUUGCUUACAACAACAGUUAUCAUGCAAGUAUUCGAAUGGCUCCUUAUGAGGCACUAUAUGGGCGAAGAUGUCGUACACCUAGUUGUUGGACUGAGUUGGGUGAACGACAGGUUCUUGGACCUGAGUUGGUGGCAGAUACUGAGGAUAAGGUCAAGUUGAUUAGAGACCGGUUGAAGGAAGCAUCUGAUAGACAGAAGUCAUAUACAGAUUUGAAGUGCAAGGAAAUUGAGUACUCUGAGGGUGAUAUGGUCUUCUUGAAGGUUUCACCUUGGAAGAAAAUAUUAAGGUUUGGGAGGAAAAGCAAGUUAAGUCCGUGGUUCAUUGGGCCUUAUCAGAUUAUUAAGCGAGUGGGUCCAGUGGCUUAUCAGUUGGAGCUACCUCUAGAGUUGAAUAGGAUUCAUGAUGUCUUUCACGUCUCCAUGUUAAGGCGGUAUCGUUCUGACCCUACUCAUGUUGUUUCGGUUACAGAGAUCGAGGUCCAAACAGACUUGACUUUUGAGGAAGAGCCUGUGCAGAUUAUGGAUCGAGAUGUUAAGAUUUUGAGGAGGAAAUCAGUUCCGCUAGUAAAGGUUCUGUGGCGUAAUCAUGGCAGAGAGGAAGCUACUUGGGAGCCAGAAGUGGCAAUGCGUCAACAAUAUCCUCAUCUGUUUGAUUCAGGUAAAAUUUCGAGGACGAAAUUUCUUUAAGUAGGGUAGAGUUGUAAUGCCUCAAUUUUCGGGUUUUCUGUGUUUCUGUGAUUUUUAAAAUUUGUGUGUGUUCUGGUUGGUUAAAAUAUAUAUUUUAGUAGGUUAGUGGGCCUUUGGAAGGCCCAAACUUAAGUUAAAUUUGUGGUAGUCUUUGGAAUUUUAAUUUUAUGAUCAGGUGAUGCAAUUGGCGUUUGGGCUUUUGAGAGUAAAGGGUAAAAGAUGACACAAAAAGGAGUGUGGUGUAGUGGCAAGGUGGCGCCAUUUAGGGGACAAGGAAGUGACGCCAUAGAGGAAGCAAGAGGUCCAAGGUUCAAGUCUUGGCUCUUGCAAUAUAUUUUGGUUUUUCUUUUCAAUAAAUCUGGAAGCAAAUAAGUGCGCUUUAAAGUUUAUUGUGUUGGAUUUAUGACACAAAUGAGUUGAUGGCCUAGUGGUGGUGGCGUGAGUUGGCAUGUGAGAGGACUUUGGUUUGAAUCCCUUGGCACACAAAGGUUGAUUAUUUUGCUAUGUUGGGACGGCAAGAGUUGGUGUUGCUUUUAAACUCUGGUGUUGGAGGGAUCCCAAAUCGGGAAGCUAACAUAAGAGUAGAUGGAGAGCUGGCUUUAAAUAGAGCAAACCAUGAGGAGAGUAGGCAUACCCUUCUUGGCUGAUCCCUUUCGCUUUGUGACAUGCUCGUUUGGGUUGGGCGUCAGCUAAGAGUGUUUGGAGCGCAGAUUAACUACAGUCUCCUAACAGGUGUGUAUUUCUCAUUACUCAAGCAGUAGGACUGCUAUUUCAGGCCGCGAUGGGCUGAAAUUGGCCAUGUGGUCCCAAUGGGUCCGUAGGCCCAAGUGGAUAAGUUGUAGAAUUACUAAAAUACCCCGGUAGGGUAGGACUACCGAUUUACCCCUGAAGGGUAAAAUGACUAUUUUGCCCCUCAUGCGAAAAUGACUAACUUAUGCGAUGAUUGGGUUAGUUGACGUGGAUUUAUGUUAGUUAUCGUUAAUUCGUAAGUCUAAUGUGUUAGUGAUCGAUUGUAGGAUUAUCGCGUGGGAGAUAUCGUCAUCAAUCGUCAUCAACCAGGUGUGUAAACGACACCCUCCCUUAGACUGAAUUGGUAAAAGUUGAAAUAUCGAAAGUUGGUAUUUUGUGAACUCGCGAGCGUGCGAGUGCUUGUGAGAUAGUUGUUAAUGAAUCUGGUGCAUUUGGAUGAUUAGAGUGCAGAGUGUGCAUUUUCGUGCACAACAGUUUUUUUGGGCUUAAUGGGCCGAAAAUGGGCCAAUAGGCCAACGGGCCCACUUUGGUAAAAAGAUGAGGUAUGUACUUCUGAUUACUUGGUAAAUGUUAGAAUGAGGAUGAAACCUUAGCAAUAGGUAACAAUUACUGAAAUACCCUUAUGCAUGCAAAAUUACGAUUUUACCCCUAGGGUUAUUUUUUCUGAAAAGCAUGAUGUUCUGUUUCUGUAUACGUAUGCCAUGACAUAUUAUUUUUGUUGCAUGGGACAUGGGUUUAUAUUGAUAGAGGAAGCGUUCUGGCAGCCUCGCUGCAAUCUGGUUGUUUCGCCACAUAUAUCUGUUCUGUUGACUUCGUCACAAUAUCUGGCAGCCUCGCUUCAAUCUGGUGGCUUCGCCACACAUAUAUAUAUAUAUGUUCUAGUGGCCUAGCCACAAUAUCUAUAUUUGGUGACUUCGUCACAAUAUCUGGCAGCCUCGCUGUAAUUUCUGUGGUGUGUAGCGGUUGGGUGGGUCUAGUAGUCUCCCCACAUGGUGUAAGGCUGGUACGAGGGUGUUAUGGAUGGCUCUGGGUUGGGAUUUCUGCAUUCAUGAUAUAUUUGUUCUGUAUCUGCUAUGGGCUUAUGGGUUUCAUUUUGAUUUCUGUACUGGGCCAAGGCCCAGAUAAGUCUGACUCUGAGGUUUGAUCUGUUUUGGGCUAUGGUUGGGUUAUGUUACACACUGAGUUUACUGAACUCACCCUUUAUUUUCAUCUCUGCAGGAAAUCCCCAACCAUAGUGAGCUUGGAGCUGUGAGGGAUUCGGAGUGGCCACAUCAUCUGCAAAGUUGGUUUUUCUAAGUUAGUUUAUUUUUAUUAUUUUUAUAUUCUGAUUUAAUUUUGGGUUUUAAGUUGUAAUAAGGCCGCUAUUUAAAUUUAUUUUUUCCGCUAUGGUUUUAUUUUCUAAUUAUAUUUAUACUAAGACGAAACUGCUAGUGUUAGGAUGCGCGGGUUUUCAAAAUUAAUGAACGUUUUCAAGACUCAACAAGCACAACAAAUAGAUAGCCUAAAGAAUGAUAAACUGGCUUUUCAUUCAACCGCUGUUUUUACAAAGACCACCCCGAUCACUUAAACCAGCGAAUGCAUACUAAGUCAUAAGUCCAUGUGACACGUCAGAUCUGGCCAUAACAUCUGGGCCGGGUUUGGGGUGUUACAUUUACUCGGUUUUGAAUUAUUUCUAUGUUUUUUGAGUCGUUAUAGCUUAAUUUAACUAGCCUAAGGACUAAUUUGUGAAACUGUUAAAUUAUUAGGGUUUUACCAUUGAUGAAUGUGUACGUGUUUUGAUGUUUGAUGGAAGAAAAUGACCUUUGUUGUUAGAUAAACAACUUUUGUAAAGUGAUUAUUAAUGAAUUUGUUAAAUAGGGAUUAAAUUGAUAAAAUGUGAAAAUUAUUGGUAAAUGUGUGAAAUAAUUAAAUGUAUGGGCUGCUAUGGGUCUAUAUAGAAUUCGGCUUGCAUGGGUGUGGGUUAAAUUGCAUGAAUUUGCAUUUUUAUGAAAUAGGGACUAAAUUGUAAAGUAGUCAAAUGUUUAGGGGCAAAAUGGUAAUUUUUUCAUAAUAUGACAUUGGAUUGAAUUGAAUAGAGUAAAUAUUAGAGUUGUUAAUUUUGAUUAUAUAGAUUAAGAAAAGCCACGUUUAGAAUUAGAUUUGGGGGAAAACAAAGUAGUAGAUUGAUCAGCUGAUUUUCUUUGUAUUAAUUCGAGGUAAGUUCGUAUAUUAAUAAGCUUUAAAUUAUAUAUGUUUAUAAAUGCUUAAUUAAUCCAAUUGGGAUGAUAUGUUACUAUGGAAAUUCUCUACGAGAUGUCGUUAAUUAUUUGGAUCCUGAUUAAACCUUAGGAAUAGAUAGGAUACAAAUGACAUGUCAUUAAGGGGUAAUUGUGUUUUGGGUGCUAGUUCCGUACGUUUUACUGGUGGCUGAAUUUUUCGUCAUGUGUUGUGGUUGCUCAUUAGCUUGUGUGAACAACACCGUGUAGCUAUGUCUUGAUCGUUAGCUUGUGGAGCAAACCCAGUGAUAGCUCAAGAGUGAGCAUCUAUAUGAGAUAUGAGAUAGAGAUGGUCUCGAUCAUGUAUUGGCACUUUAUGUGCGAGAUUCUUGAGUAUCUAAUAUUAAUCCAAAUGGUUCAACAGGUAUAGUGGCAUUACGAGAGUAUAUGAGUUCGAUAUGAACCAAUACAAGUAUGUACGCGAAUCAUAUGGAAGUUGAAUCUAUGAGAUUUGUGAUUUCAUAAUUAACUUGUUGGUGGUUAUAUGUUAAGCUAAUGAAACUAAAUUGAAUUGCAUUAUGAUUUAAAUUACUUGCUUAAUUAUGGUUGAUUGGUAAGUUAUAUUUGCAGUUAUAUGAACUUAGUAAGCUUAAUUGCUUAUUUUGUUUAUUUUUCUGUGUUUUAUAGUGAUUCAGAAGUUCGCUCGUUUUGGAAGUUGUCGAAGAUUGUAUCACACUAUCGAACUCUUAUUUUGGUACUUUUGGACUUAAUGUAUUUUGGUUACAUGGCAUGUAUAAGUCAUUCGGCUAAUGAAAGCCUAUAUGGUUUGUUAUGUUUUAGCUAUUGAUGUGGCUUGACAAUGGUAUAUGUUUUGAUAUGUAAAUAGAUGUAAUUGGCCCUUAGAUAUAUGAUUUAUAAUUUCUAUGUGAUUGCCUCAUUUUGAAUUGCUAUGUAAGGUAGCAAAUGGUUGAAAUUGAGAAUGUAUACGCAUGCUAAGUUUUAGUUUAGAUAGUGCAUACAUGUAAUUGACUAUUUAAGUAGUUUUUUGAGGAAAUUUUGGCAUGUUUUAAAAUGAUCAUUUGAGAUGCCAAAGAACUUAGGAUUUUUGGUAAUGAAAUUGCAUGAUAUAGACUUAGUUGUGAUUGGUUUGAAUUCCUUUUGAUGAUAGGGUCAUAUACUAUCUGUUAUGUGCAGGAUGGUACCACAUUGGGUGAGAAAUAAGGCUUGGAAAAUGGCCUAUUUUUGUCCAUACAGGUAGAGACACGGGUGUGUGUCUCAGCCGUGUGUUACACACAGCCAGGUCACACAAGCAUGUGUCCCCUGAUACUUAGUUAGUAACNNNNNNNNNNNNNNNNNNNNNNNNNNNNNNNNNNNNNNNNNNNNNNNNNNNNNNNNNNNNNNNNNNNNNNNNNNNNNNNNNNNNNNNNNNNNNNNNNNNNNNNNNNNNNNNNNNNNNNNNNNNNNNNNNNNNNNNNNNNNNNNNNNNNNNNNNNNNNNNNNNNNNNNNNNNNNNNNNNNNNNNNNNNNNNNNNNNNNNNNNNNNNNNNNNNNNNNNNNNNNNNNNNNNNNNNNNNNNNNNNNNNNNNNNNNNNNNNNNNNNNNNNNNNNNNNNNNNNNNNNNNNNNNNNNNNNNNNNNNNNNNNNNNNNNNNNNNNNNNNNNNNNNNNNNNNNNNNNNNNNNNNNNNNNNNNNNNNNNNNNNNNNNNNNNNNNNNNNNNNNNNNNNNNNNNNNNNNNNNNNNNNNNNNNNNNNNNNNNNNNNNNNNNNNNNNNNNNNNNNNNNNNNNNNNNNNNNNNNNNNNNNNNNNNNNNNNNNNNNNNNNNNNNNNNNNNNNNNNNNUAUCUUGAGUUCAGAAACUUGGAAUCCAGUUCCGUAAAUUUUCCCUGAAACUAGACUCAUAUGCCCAUCUACAAAUUUUUCUCUAGAAUUUUUGGUUGGGCCAAUUAGUACAGUUUAUUAGUCAAAUUCUCCCAUUUUACAGGGAUCGACUACACUGAUCUUUGCGCAUUACGACUUGGAUAUCUCCCUGUACAGGGCUUCAAUACUGAUGCCGUUUGUGUCUAUAGAAACUAGACUCAAAGAGGAAUCUAUACAUAUAUGGCUUGACUCCUAAUUGUCUCUGGUUAAUUUAUAUUGAAUUUCCAAAGUCGGAAAAGGAAAUCCAGAAACCGUUUUGGCUCUGUCUCAGGAGAACCUGAAUAUCUCUUAACAUACUGUCCAUAUGAUCGUUUCGUUACUUUCCUAUGAAAAUAGAUUCAUCAAGGUUCGUUUACAUAAUUUAUUCACUAUUUAAUUCCAUUCCUACUAUUUUUAGUGAUUUUCCAAAUCUACAUCACUGCUGCUGUCAGCAUCUGCCUUUAAGGUAGACUUUACCUAUUUCAUGGUUUCCAUGAUUCAACUAGCCCUUUUUGCAUAAAUAGCACAAUUUAUGAUAGUGAUUAAUCAUUCCCAUGGCCAAUCCUUGUCAAGCAUAUCCACACCAAAUGAUUAUAACAUUAUACUCAAACACAUAUAAGCCAUUUUCGCAUGGCUAUCCAAAAUUAUACAAGUCCAAAGGGUCCAUGACCCACAACAAACGGGUAGUCCUAUACAUGCCAUUUCGAAGUUCAACCAAAAUUGUACCAAAAAGGGGGGGGCUUUGAUAGUGUGGGCGACUUUGACUUCAAAAUCCUGAGUCCGAUAGCUGGAGAACCAAAAUCUAUAAAACAGAGGAUCAAAGAAACGGAGUAAGCAAUUUAUGCUUAGUAAGUUUUGAGCAAGGAAUUCCAGCACAACAAAAGUAUAGCAUUCAUGUAGCUAAACGGAUAAUUUCAUAUGCACAAUUUUUCAAUAUCAUACUUGCUUCACAUUACCAAACCUUAUGUACAUACACAAAAGAUCAACUUAGCCAAAGGCCGAUAGCUCGUUUAUCAACUGAGCGAAUACUUAUUUGUAAGGGCUAAACUAAAUUCAAGCACAUACGAAACAUACCUCAAUGUUGGGAUGUUUCUAGAGUAUUUACUGAAAUUUUUACAGCAAGAUCAUUCAUUCCCAAAUCACGUACCUUCGGAAUUUAACCGGAUAUAGCUACUCGUUCAAAUGCCUUCGGGACAUAGCCCGGUUAUAGUAACUCGCACAAUUGCCUUUGGGACUUAACCCGGAUUUAGUAACUCGCACAAAUGCCUUCGGGCUUAGCCCGGAAUUAGUAUCUCGCACAAAUGCCUUCGGAUCUUAGUCCGGAUAUGGUCACUUAGCACAAAGCCUUCGGGACUUAGCCCGGACAUCAUUCAAAUAACCAUGCACAUUUAACAAUAAAUCAUGGCACAUUCGUAUUUCGUUCUCAAUAGCAAAACUCAAACACAAGACAUUUAUCAUUCUUGCAAUUUCGGCUCAAUAGCCACACAAAGAGCAUGAUUUUAAUUUGCUUAAAACAUGAUCUAAUCAAAUCAUAAUUUAAGCUCUUUUACUCAAGAACUUACCUCGGGUGUUGUCGAACGAUUCCGAUAGCUAUUCGACCACUUUUUCCUUCCCUUUAUCGGAUUUAGUUCCCCUUUGCUCUUGAGCUUAAUUAAACAAAUAAAUUGAUUUAAUCAUUUGAGCAUCGAAAAGAGGAACACAAGGCACUUAGCCCAUAUUUAUACAUUAGACAUUAAAGUCACAUAUGUACGGAAUCAUGAAUCAAACUCAACGUUUUAGCUAAUUUUCCCCCUUGGCCGAAUUUUCUAAGCCAAGACAAAAGCAUCAAUAUGCUUGCCUCUAACCGAAUACAUGCAACACCAAUCUUCUUCUUAUGGCCGAAUAUGCAUGUCUAUGUUGAGGCCGAUUAUAUACUUAAUACCACACAUAAAUGACAUACAUUUUACUAACUAAUGCAUUCCAUAUUAUACUCAAUACGCAUCCAUCAUUUAAUCCAUAACCGAAGCACCAUCAUGUGCAAUCAUAUAUAUAUAUGUGCAAGAGCCGAAUCCCAAAUUUUGAUUAUAACCAAAUUUAAACAUAUAUCCAAAACAUAAAUCUUACCUACCAUGCAAUAAGCAUAAAUCACACUCAUGGAUAUACCAUGGCCGAUACUUCCAACAACACCAAAUAAAAAUAUACUUCAUGGAUCUAAGGUAGAACCAAGAAAGAAACUCAUAAUCAUCAAGAUGUAAGUAACUACCAUUUUUCAUCUAGAUUUAGCAUGAAACACAACCAUCACCCUUAUUAAUCUCCAUAGCCGAAAACCUUACUUAUUCCAAAAAUUCAAAUCUCAACUUGGUCACGAAAAUAACUUGGUAUCUCACCGACACAACAUCAACACCAAGCAAGAAUGAUGCAUCCAUGGCCGAGUGUCAUUUCCAUCACAUAGCAAGAUUUAGACCAUGGGCUAGGUAGAACUCAAGCUAACAACUAAAACAUGCAUCCAUCUCAUGGAACAUCAUCAAACAUACCUUAGCCUAGUUACAUGAAUGGCCGAACCCCUUCAACCUUUCUUCUUCCUUCCUCCUUAAAUUUUUUUUUUGGCCAAAGAUGAACCAAAGGAUGAGCACUUUUUUUUUUGUUUUUCUUUCUAGUUUCGGCAAAAUGGGGGGGGGAGACAACCACACACUUUUUUUUUUGUUUCCAUCAUAUUCCCUUUCAUUAUUUUAUGCCCAUUCUCCUUAUUUUAUUUUUUUCCACCCAUGAUGCACCAACACAACAUGUCUAUGACAUGUCUUGCCCAUCACACUUGGUCUACCAUGCUUGUCAUGGCCGGCUACUACUAAUUAGGGGGGAAAUUUGACAUGCAAGUCCCCCCUUUUUAUUUCAUGCACUAAUAGGUCCUUAUGCUUCGACCUAUCACAUUUCAAAAAUGUCGCACAUAAGUCCUAUUGACUAAAUUCACAUGCAAUCGACUAAAUCGAAGCUUGAAAUUUUCACACAUUCAUAAUUACAUAUUCUAGACAAUAAAUAUCACAUUCAAACAUUUCGGUGACUCGGUUUAGCGGUCCCGAAACCACUUCCCGACUAGGGUCAAUUUUGGGCUGUCACAACUCUCCCCCACUUAAGAAAUUUUCGUCCCCGAAAAUCUUACCGGUAAAUAGGUUUGGGUAUCGUUCUUUCAUCGAGCUCUCGGUUUCCCAAGUAGCUUCCUCAAUCCCGUGUUUGAGCCAUAACACCUUAACUAACGGAACCCUUUUGUUUCGCAACUCUUUCACUCCACGAGCUAGGAUACGAAUCGGUUCUUCUUCAUAACUCAAGUCAGAUUGAAUUUCAACUUCUGAGGGAUUAAUCACAUGUGACGGAUCGGAUCUAUAACGUCGAAGCAUCGAAACAUGAAAGACAUCGUGAAUCUUUUGAAGUUCAGGCGGCAAAAUCAAUCUAUAUGCAACCGGACCAACUCGUUCGGAGAUUUCGUACGGCCCAAUGAAUCUCGGGCUCAACUUGCCCUUACGGCCAAAUCUGAGUACAUUUUUCCAAGGCGAAACUUUAAGAAACACUUUAUCUCCCACCUGAUAUUCAAUGUCUUUUCGUUUCAAAUCCGCAUACGAUUUUUGACGACCUGUGGCUGCUGUCAGACUUUUACGGAUUACCUUUACUUUCUGUUCAGCAUCCUUAAUCAAAUCAACUCCGAAAAUUUUACUUUCACCGAGAUCGGUCCAAAACAAUGGUGUACGGCAUUUACGACCGUACAAAGCCUCGUAAGGUGCCAUCUUAAUACUUGAUUGAAAACUAUUGUUGUAAGCGAAUUCAAUCAAAGGUAAAUACCGUUCCCAUGAACUACUGAACUCGAGGAUGCAACAUCUCAACAUAUCCUCAAGUAUCUGAAUUAUCCGCUCAGAUUGACCAUCGGUUUGGGGGUGAAAAGCAGUGCUAAAAUGCAGCUUGGUACCCAAAGCUUCUUGCAAUUUCCUCCAAAAUCGCGAGGUGAAUCUCGGAUCUCUAUCCGACACGAUAGAAAUAGGUACCCCGUGUAAUCUCACAAUCUGAGAAACAUACAAUUCGGCUAGUUUAUCCAAUGAAAAAUCCGUACGCACGGGGAUAAAGUGAGCCGACUUAGUCAGUCUAUCAACAACAACCCAAAUCGCAUCCUUCUUACUUGCUGACAAUGGCAGUCCGGACACAAAGUCCAUUGUGACUCGAUCCCAUUUCCACUCGGGUAUCAUGAUCGGCUGAAGUAAUCCUGAAGGCACUUGAUGUUCCGCUUUCACUUGUUGACAUAUUAAACAUCUCGAAACAAAGUCGGAGAUGUCUCGUUUCAUACCAUGCCACCAAAACCAACGUUUCAAAUCGUUGUACAUUUUCGUACUCCCCGGGUGAAUUGACAUUCGGCUACAAUGGGCUUCGUUCAGAAUCAUCGAAAUGAGUUCCGAAUUCCUUGGAACACACAAACGACUUCUGAACCUCAAACAAUCAUCAUUAUCAAUUUGAAACUCUGAUUCCUUGUUCGGAACACACUCAGCCCGUUUUGCAACCAAUUCAUCAUCAACUUUCUGGGCUUCACGAAUUUGAUGAAUCAAUAAUGGUUUGGCUUUUAAUUCAGCUACUAACACAUUGUCGGGUAGAAUAGACAAGUGCACAUUCAUCGCUCGUAAAGCAAACAAUGAUUUCCGGCUUAAGGCGUCCGCAACCACAUUAGCCUUUCCCGGGUGGUAAUCAAUGACAAGCUCGUAAUCUUUCAGCAACUCAAGCCAACGUCUUUGUCGCAGGAUUUAAGUCUCUUUAAGUCAUCAAAUAUUUGAGACUUUUGUGAUCCGAAAAUACAUGGCACUUUUCACCAAAUAAGUAAUGUCGCCAUAUUUUUAAAGCAAAUACGAUGGCAGCUAGUUCAAGAUCAUGGGUCGGAUAAUUUUUCUCAUGUGGCUUUAAUUGUCUCGACGCAUAGGCCACCACUCGACCUUCUUGCAUCAAUACGCAACCCAACCCAAGUAGUGAUGCGUCACUAUAAAUGACAAACUCUUUGCCUGAUUCGGGUUGCACUAAAAUUGGAGCUUCAGUCAAAUAAGUUUUUAGUUGAUCAAAACUUUUCUGACAUUUCUCCGUCCAUUCGAACUUAACAUCCUUUUGAAGUAGCUUCGUCAUUGGUGUGGCUAUCAUCGAGAAAACUUUGACAAAUCAUCGGUAAUAACCGGUGAGCCCCAGGAAGCUCUGAACUUUGGUAAUAUUUCUUGGAGGCUUCCAGUUAAGUAUGGCUGAAAUUUUGCUCGGGUCAACUCGAAUACCUGAUGCGGAUACCACAUGACCCAAGAAGCUAACCUCUCUUAACCAGAACUCACACUUACUGAACUUAGCAUAUAACUGCUUAUCCCGCAAAAUUUGCAACACUAGUCUCAGGUGCUCAGCAUGUUCGGUCUCAUCUCUUGAAUAGACCAAGAUGUCAUCAAUGAACACAACUACGAACCGAUCCAAAUAUGGUCUGAAGACCCGAUUCAUCAAAUCCAUAAAUACCGCAGGGGCAUUAGUGAGCCCAAACGGCAUCACUAAGAAUUCGUAGUGACCAUAUCUCGUUCUGAAGGCAGUUUUUGGUAUGUCCGAAUCUCGAAUUCGCAACUGAUAAUAGCCCGAUCUCAAAUCUAUUUUUGAGAACACUGAGGCUCCCUUCAGUUGGUCGAACAAAUAUUCGAUACGCAGUAACGGAUAUUUGUUCUUUAUCGUCACUUUAUUCAGUUGACGAUAGUCAAUGCACAACCUCAUGGUUCCGUCCUUCUUUUUCACAAACAAUACUGGUGCACCCCAAGGUGAGAAACUUGGUCGAGCAAAACCUCUAUCCGUCAAUUCUUGCAACUAAGCUUUCAACUCUUUUAACUCGGUUGGUGCCAUACGAUACGGAGCCAUCGAAAUCGGCGUAGUCCCAGGUACAAGCUCAAUACCAAACUCUAUCUCCCGAACAGGUGGUAAACCCGGUAAUUCUUCAGGAAAAACAUCCGGGUAUUCACAAACCACCGGCACAGAUUCGGGUUUCUUUUCUAAUUCUUUGUCAUCAAGUACAUACGCAAGGUAUGCUUCGCACCCUUUUCUUACAUAUUUCUGGGCCAACAUUGAGGAUAUUACAGCUGGCAACCCAUCCAAGUCCGUAGACUCAACUCGGAUUACUUCGUUAUUUGCGCACCUCAAUUCAAUAGUCUUGCUUUUGCAAUUCACAACCGCAUCAUGCACGGUCAACCAAUCCAACCCGAGAAUAACGUCAAAUUCAUCAAAUGGCAAAAGCAUCAAGUCCGCCGGAAAACAGGAACCUCGAAUUACUAGGGGACAUUCCUUACACACUUUGUCGACAAGCACGUAACGACCCAAGGGAUUUGACACCCGAAUUACGAACUCAGUAGACUCAAUAGGUAAAGUCUUACUGGAUGCUAAGGUUUCACAUAUGUAAGAAUGAGUAGAACCGGGGUCAAUCAAAGCAAUUACAUUAGUAUCAAAGAGAGUAAAAGUACCGGUAAUAACAUCAGGCGAAGAAACAUCCUCGCGGGCACGUAUAGCAUAAGCUCUAGCAGGCGCAUGAGCCUCGGAUCCGGUCGUAGCAUCUCUAGAUCCUCUCUGACCACCACUAGCAUUGCCCGUAUUUCCAGAUGGUCUACCUCGAGCAGUGGUAGCACCCGGUUUCCCACUCUGAUUUACAUUCUGUUCAGACAACCUCGGGCAAUCUUUAAUGAAGUGGUCAACUGAUCCGCACUUGUAACAGGAGCGGUCAGGGAAUCUACAACUCCCCGAAUGCCAUUUACCGCAAUAUCGACAUUUCGUUCUGUCUCGACGUUCAUUCCCAACACUGGCGACCGAAGUGCCUCGUGUACCCACAGGGGGUCGAUCACGAUCUCGUCUAAAAAGGCCCGAAGUGCCUCUAGACCGGCCCACAUCAUCUCGAAAUUUCUUCGAUGCCUGUUGAAGAGACUUUCCCGAGGAUCUUUUACGAAACUCUCCGGUUCCCACAUCAACCUUUUGUUUUUCUUUUCUAAGCUCUUCGGCUUUACAAGCUCGCUCGACAAGUACUACGAACUCUCAUAUUUCAAGAACGCCAACGAAUAUUUUUAUAUCUUUAUUCAGCCCAUCCUCGAAGCGUUUACACAUGAUAGCCUCGGACGAAACACAUUCCCGAGCGUAUUUGCUAAGUCUAACAAAUUUUCGCUCGUAAUCAGUAACCGACAUGGAACCUUGAUUAAGCUCAAGAAAUUCCUUCCGUUUUUGAUCAACAAAUCUCUGACUGAUAUACUUUUUCCGAAACUCAGUUUGGAAAAACUCCCAAGUUACUUGCUCUCGGGGUACAACAGAAGUCAGAGUACUCCACCAAUAGUAGGAAGAAUCACGUAGCAAGGAGAUAGUACACUUUAGGCAUUCAUCGGGUGUACAAGAUAGCUCAUCGAGUACCCGAAUAGUGUUGUCUAACCAAAAUUCAGCUUUCUCGGCAUCGUCGCUAUCCGUAGCUUUAAAUUCAGUAGCCCCAUGUUUUCGGAUUCUGUCAACUGGGGGCUUAUUUGACCUUAUUUGGUCAGUUACCAGAGGUAUUGUAGGUGCGGGGUUGGUAUUUGUCGAGAAUGGAGGUUGUGGAAUAGCCGUAUUAGUUCGAAUGUAUUGGUUGAACCAAUCAUUCAUCACGCUAUAGAAAGCUUGUCUAGCUUCAUCAUUCGGGUUACUAGCAUUAGGUUGAGAGUCCACCGGUGCUGUCUUUGGUGCGGGAGCAGGCGCUACACUCUCAAGAUCAUCAGCUACCACUCGGUCGGGAUCGGGAUCCAUUACUAUAAAUAAACACAUUUGCAAAUGUCAGAAAUCACCACACUAUCAAAUAAUCACAUAAAAUGGCAUGUAUAGCUAGACCCAACGCAUUACGGUAGUCCUAGAAUGGACUAAACCGUAGCUCUGAUACCAAUCAAAUGUAACACCCCGAACCCGAGUCCGUCGCCGGAGUCGGACACGAGGGGUUUACAGACUUAAGUCACUUCUUUGCACAAUCCAUUUUAAAAUUUUCCAGGCAAGCUGGCUAACUGCGUCACUGUCACCUUAAAAAUCAUAUCUUGAGUUCAAAAACUUGGAAUCCAGUUCCGUAAAUUUUUCCUGAAACUAGACUCAUAUGCCCAUCUAAAAUAUUUUUUCUAGAAUUUUUGGUUGGGCCAAUUAGUACAGUUUAUUAGUCAAAGUCUCCCAUGUUACAGGGAUCGACUACACUGAUCUUUACACAUUACGACUUGGAUAUAUCCCUGUACAGGGCUUCAAUACUGAUACCGUUUGUUUCUAUAGAAACUAGACUCAGAGAGGAAUCUAUACAUAUAUGGCUUGACUCCUAAUUGUCUCUGGUUAAUUUAUAUUGAAUUUCCAAAGUCGGAAAAGGAAAUCCAGAAACCGUUCUGUCCCUGUCUCACAAGAACCUGAAUAUCUCUUAACAUACUGUCCGUAUGAUUGUUUCGUUACUUUAAUAUGAAAAUAGAUUCAUCAAGGUUCGUUUACAUAAUUUAUUCACUAUUUAAUUCCAUUCCUACUAUUUUUAGUGAUUUUCCAAAUCUACAUCACUGCUGCUGUCAGCAUCUGCCUUUAAGGUAGACUUUACCUAUUUCAUGGUUUCCAUGAUUCAACUAGCCCUUUUUGCAUAAAUAGCACAAUUUAUGAUAGUGAUUAACCAUUCCCAUGGCCAAUCCUUGUCAAGCAUAUCCACACCAAAUGAUUAUAACAUUAUACUCAAACACAUAUAAGCCAUUUUCGCAUGGCUAUCCAAAAUUAUACAAGUCCAAAGGGUCCAUGACCCACAACAAACGGGUAGUCCUAUACAUGCCAUUUCGAAGUUCAACCGAAAUUGUACCAAAAAGGGGGGGGCUUUGAUAGUGUGGGCGACUUCGACUUCAAAAUCCCGAGUCCGAUAGCUGGAGAACCAAAAUCUAUAAAACAGAGGAUCAAAGAAACGGAGUAAGCAAUUUAUGCUUAGUAAGUUUUGAGCAAGGAAUUCCAGCACAACAAAAGUAUAGCAUUCAUGUAGCUAAACGGAUAAUUUCAUAUGCACAAUUUUUCAAUAUCAUACUUGCUUCACAUUACCAACCCUUAUGUACAUACACAAAAGAUCAACUUAGCCAAAGGCCGGUAGCUCAUUUAUCAACUGAGCGAAUACUUAUUUGUAAGGGCUCAACUAAAUUCAAGCACAUACGAAACAUACCUCAAUGUUGGGAUGUUUCUAGAGUAUUUACUGAAAUUUUUACAGCAAGAUCAUUCAUUCCCAAAUCACGUACCUUCGGAAUUUAACCGGAUAUAGCUACUCGUUCAAAUGCCUUCGGGACAUAGCCCGGUUAUAGUAACUCGCACAAUUGCCUUCGGGACUUAACCAGGAUUUAGUAACUCGCACAAAUGCCUUCGGGCUUAGCCCGGAAUUAGUAUCUCGCACAAAUGCCUUCGGAUCUUAGUCUGGAUAUGGUCACUUAGCACAAAGCCUUCGGGACUUAGCCCGGACAUCAUUCAAAUAACCAUGCACAUUUAACAAUAAAUCAUGGCACAUUCGUAUUUCGUUCUCGUUAGCAAAACUCAAACACAAGACAUUUAUCAUUCUUGCAAUUUCGGCUCAAUAGCCACACAAAGAGCAUGAUUUUAAUUUGCUUAAAACAUGAUCUAAUCAAAUCAUAAUUUAAGCUCUUUUACUCAAGAACUUACCUCGGGUGUUGUCGAACGAUUCCGAUAGCUAUUCGACCACUUUUUCCUUCCCUUUAUCGGAUUUAGUUCCCCUUUGCUCUUGAGCUUAAUUAAACAAAUAAAUUGAUUUAAUCAUUUGAGCAUCGAAAAGAGGAACACAAGGCACUUAGCCCAUAUUUAUACAUUAGACAUUAAAGUCACAUAUGUACGGAAUCAUGAAUCAAACUCAACGUUUUAGCUAAUUUUCCCCCUUGGCCGAAUUUUCUAAGCCAAGACAAAAGCAUCAAUAUGCUUGCCUCUAACCGAAUACAUGCAACACCAAUCUUCUUCUUAUGGCCGAAUAUGCAUGUCUAUGUUGAGGCCGAUUAUAUACUUAAUACCACACAUAAAUGACAUACAUUUUACUAACUAAUGCAUUCCAUAUUAUACUCAAUACGCAUCCAUCAUUUAAUCCAUAACCGAAGCACCAUCAUGUGCAAUCAUAUAUAUAUAUGUGCAAGAGCCGAAUCCCAAAUUUUGAUUAUAACCAAAUUUAAACAUAUAUCCAAAACAUAAAUCUUACCUACCAUGCAAUAAGCAUAAAUCACACUCAUGGAUAUACCAUGGCCGAUACUUCCAACAACACCAAAUAAAAAUAUACUUCAUGGAUCUAAGGUAGAACCAAGAAAGAAACUCAUAAUCAUCAAGAUGUAAGUAACUACCAUUUUUCAUCUAGAUUUAGCAUGAAACACAACCAUCACCCUUAUUAAUCUCCAUAGCCGAAAACCUUACUUAUUCCAAAAAUUCAAAUCUCAACUUGGUCACGAAAAUAACUUGGUAUCUCACCGACACAACAUCAACACCAAGCAAGAAUGAUGCAUCCAUGGCCGAGUGUCAUUUCCAUCACAUAGCAAGAUUUAGACCAUGGGCUAGGUAGAACUCAAGCUAACAACUAAAACAUGCAUGCAUCUCAUGGAACAUCAUCAAACAUACCUUAGCCUAGUUACAUGCAUGGCCGAACCCCUUCAACCUUUCUUCUUCCUUCCUCCUUAAAUUUUUUUUUUGGCCAAAGAUGAACCAAAGGAUGAGCACUUUUUUUUUGUUUUUCUUUCUAGUUUCGGCAAAAUGGGGGGGGGGAGACAACCACACACUUUUUUUUUGUUUCCAUCAUAUUCCCUUUCAUUAUUUUAUGCCCAUUCUCCUUAUUUUAUUUUUUUCCACCCAUGAUGCACCAACACAACAUGUCUAUGACAUGUCUUGCCCAUCACACUUGGUCUACCAUGCUUGUCAUGGCCGGCCACUACUAAUUAGGGGGGAAAUUUGACAUGCAAGUCCCCCAUUUUUAUUUCAUGCACUAAUAGGUCCUUAUGCUUCGACCUAUCACAUUUCUAAAAUGUCGCACAUAAGUCCUUUUGACUAAAUUCACAUGCAAUCAACUAAAUCGAAGCUUGAAAUUUUCACACAUUCAUAAUUACAUAUUCUAGACAAUAAAUAUCACAUUCAAACAUUUCGGUGACUCGGUUUAGCGGUCCCGAAACCACUUCCCGACUAGGGUCAAUUUUGGGCUGUCACAUCGGCUAUUGAUUUGGUGAUUAAGGUAUGGUUUUUGAUCAGUUUUUUAUAAUUUCUACGUUUUUGUGAUUGUUGCUUAGAGUUCUAUCAAGCCCAUGUCUCAAUUUCUGAUUUUGAUGAUGAUUUUUAAAUAUGCCAUUGAUGAAAUUAUAAGCUUUGUGAAGUUAGUUGUUAGUAAAUGAAAGACAUGCUUUGGGUUAACAUAUUUUGUACUUGAAUAUUUGAUGAAUUUGAGUAAUUUGGACUAAAUUAUGAAAUUUGUAGAUUGAGGGACUAAAAUGUAAAAUAAAUGAAACAUAUGGGCUUAUGUGAACACAAUGAGAAUUCGGCCCAACAUGGGUAUAUGCAAAUUUUUUGUAUUUUGUGAUUUUUGUGAAAUAGGGACUAAAUUGUCAAAAUAUGAAAAUAUAAAGGCUAAUUUGUAAAAUGCCAUAAAUGUGUGUUUGUGGAUUGAUUUGAAUGAUUUGGUAAAUAAAAGAAUUAAAUUUGAAUUUAUAUAGAUCAAGAAUUAAAAAAAAUGGAAUUAGAUCGGGGAAAGUCAAAAGUCAUCGAGUAGCCGAUUUCGUCUUUCCGAAUCCGUACGAGGUAAGUCUAUAUACAAAUAAAUGUAUUUUAAAUGGUUUAUUUAUGCUUAUAUGUUAUUGAACAAUGAUGAAUGGCUUUAUGCUUUGAAUAUGAGACAUCUAAGAAAGUAUCGACAAAGUUUCGACGUCUAAAAAGCCUCGUACGAACCUUAGGAAUAGUUAGGAUACAUAUGUCAUGACAUAGGAUCCGAUAUGUGUUAUCAUGUAAGACCAUGCCUGGGACGUUGGCAUCGUACUUGAUUUCGUGUAAAACCCUGUCUGGGAUAGUGGCAUCGAUAUUUGAUUACUUGUAAGACCACAUCUGGGACGUUGGCAUCGUACGAGCUUUCCGAGUUAUCCGCCUAUCCUUAUGAUUUCAAGCGGUUCAAUAGGCAUUCCGAGAAAUGAAUGAUAAUAUGAAAUGUGUAUCUGAUUCAGGUACGUUGGAACUUGUAUAUCAUAUUUGAUGUUGAAAGGUAAGUAUAUGUAUCUUUAUGAUCAAGUGAUUAUAUGUGACAAAAGUAUAUGAAAAUAUGCAUUAUGUGCAAAUGAAUGGAGAAUAUGUGAAAUGUAUUUGAGCUAUGUGUUUUGUGAUAGCAUGUGGUUAAAGAUUAUAUGUAUAUUAUGAUGCUCAUAUGUUUGUAUUGUUAAUUUUAUUUGUAUAUAGCUUACUAAGCUUUUGAAAGCUUACUUUGUAUGUGUUUGCUUUGUUUUACAGAUAUCGUAACUAUUGAGAGCUCGGGGAUCGUCGAGGAUCGUCACCACACUAUCGAACUAUAUUUUGGUACCUUUUGAAAAUGUAUAUAUUGAAGUAUGGCAUGUAUAGGCUAGAGGUAUGUUUUGUGAACUGUAUAUUUAGCCAUAUGAAAUGGCUUAAUUAUGGUUAAAUUUAUGGUUUGAUUUUGGUAUAUGAUAUAUGAUGCAAUAGUGGUAUGUUUGAUGUGUUCAUGAUUGGCCAAAGAAAUUGGUCAAAUUGGUAAGUUUUUGAAUUGUGCUUAUUUGAAAAAAAAAUAAGAUUAUGGCAUGAGAGAGAAUAAUGUAUAUUACAGUUAUAAAUCAUAUGUUUUGGUAUGUAUUUGGCUUAUGGAAUGAUAUGAUUUGGUAUGUGCUUCAAUCAUGAAAUAUGUGGAUAAUGAGUUGGUAUAAAUGGUGUAUGUUUUGGUUGUGAAAUGGUUGAAAUUUGAUGUGCAAUUUGUGCCUAUAUUAUGAUUGUAGGGAGGACCCUUAUGAGUGGCAAGUUGGCCUUAUAAAUGGCAUAUUUUUGCCCACACGGGCAGGGACACAGGCGUGUAUCUCAGCCGUGUUGCUCGAGGGCCAUCUCAAAAUGAGUCUGAGCAGACCACACGGUCGCACACAUGGGCGUGUGCUAGGCCGUGUGUCCAAGUUAGUUUCGACCACGAGCUAGACACACGGGCGUGUGACUGGUUGUAUAAUUCAAGCCAGUAGCCUCCCUAAUUUUCACAUGGCCUGGCACACGGGCAUGUAUUGUGGCUGUGUGGACAAGUCAGUAUUUUUGCCCUAUUUUGACAUGGCCUAGACACACGGGCGUGUCUAGUCGUGUGAGGCACACGGCCUGUUCACACGGGCGUGUGACCUGUACAACUUUGAAAAUAACGUUUAAGUUUUGAAAAAUUUUGUAUGAGCUUAGUCUAGUCCCGGCCCCUUCCUAAAGCGUGAUUAAGGUCUUGAUGACUUAUAUAAGGGACUCUAAAAUAAUGUUUGACUAUGUUUGUGGAUGAAGUUAUUGAAUUGUUCAUAAAAUGUUUCGAUUUGUCUGGUAAUGCCUUUAACCCUUGUCUGGCGACGGAUACGGGUUAGGGGUGUUACAUGAAACAUGAGCAAAAUGAUUGUAAGUUUCCAAGAACUUAGUUAGUUUGAAUAAAAAAUACCUUGAAGCCUUUCUAGUUGAAAUCUUCAUUAUGAAUAUUCAAAUUAUUGAUCUUUCUUUGGCGGACACCUUCAAAACAUCGAAUAUAUAUUCUUAUACGCCACUAAAUAUACUUAACGUGUCACUCUCACUUUACUACUUGGCUGACUCUAAGUCUUACCAGAUAAAAUCUACAUCUUUUCUUCUCCUAGAACAAUCGAUGGUGAUUCUUCAAAGAAUAUCUACAUAGAGCCUAUUUUCUGCAGAUCUUCUCUUUGAACAACAUUUAACAUUUUUCUCCAAAAUGGUUUUCGUAGAUACUAUUCCUUGGGAGAUACAUACGAAUUGAUCUUACACUGGAUGGAUUUCCAUACUAAGUUUGAUAACUGUCAGACUACCAUUCAGACCAUAUCCUGAACCUAAACCCAAAUCAAACGUAAGUUGAUGAUGAAAUAUUCUAGAUCAUUUGGAAGAAUUUCAAACUCCUUUGUUGCAUGACACAAUAAUGCCCAAACUGACAAACGAUUCAUAUUCCAAAAACCUCAAAUUCAGAUAUAAUACUGUUUAGAUAUGGUAGAUACUAGAUAACACGGAUUUCAACCUUACUUAGCGUAGACAAACUCAAAUCAAUGAAUACUUAUACCUUUCAUAACUAAUAAAAUGCCUGUAUCCCAUACUGAUGAACUUCUUUGGCGGAUUCUCUCUUUAGAAAUACUGAUAUAUACUUUCAUUGUAAAACCGUCCCUUAAGACUUCUUCUACUUCAUCAUAAAAUUAACCGGCAAAGUUAACUUUAGAAUGUCUCAAGUCAUUAUCAUAGAAUCAUCUAUCAAAGAGAUCUCAUAAAUUACCAUUAGGGUGGAUAACCAGAUUUUACCACGUAGGCAUUCUCAAAUACACCACAUAGGCAUUUCGUAAUUUGCCACAAAGGCAAUACAAAUUACAUCUCUAAACCUUAGUAGAUCACACUACAUAGGUAACACAUAGAAUCAGAUGUUUUCUAUCUGAGUAGACUUUCAAAGAAGGUGUCAUGUGUAACACCCCUUACCCGUGUUUGACACCGGAACAGGGUAUAAGGUAUUACCGGAUAUAAACACAUGCAAUCGUAUAAAACUGGGUCAUGAAUUUGCGUUCAAAUUUAAAAAAUUUCACAUUUCAUCUUAGAGUCCCUAAUAUGGGCCUACGAAGCCCAAAUCAUGCUUUGGAAACGGUUCGGGACCAAACUGAGAACUUUAGAAAACUUUAAAAAAUUUCAUGAAAAACAGGGGCACACUCCCGUGUGAUAUUAGGACACGACCGUGUGGCUCGCAUGGCCAUGUCCCUAGGUCGUGCACUAAUAUGGCUUGUCGUUGCAAAAAAAUUUACGUCACACAUAGAUAUCACCACUCAUUCAUCCUCAUAUGUAAGCAUACACAUCCUUGAAAUGCAUCAUCAUAGACUUAUAAUAUAGCCUAUAUACCAACAUCAAAUGGCCUUACACAACAAUGAACUUUCAAAUAGCAUAGGCCAACAUUUUAGGCCAAAAGAAUUAUGACAAAUACAUAAAUAACCAAGUCCCCUAUACAUGCCAUGACCUUAAGUAUAAGAAUUAUCAAUACCCAAUUUGUUAGUUUGAUAGUGUGAUAGGUUCUUUGGUGACUUCCAACCCGAGCUAACCUAAGGUCAUUAUAAACACAGAAAAUAAAUAGAGUAAGCUAUAUAGCUUAGUAAGUUGGUAUGUAAAUAAUAACAAAUUUAUUAUCAUGCUUUUACCAAUUCUCACAAUAUGUUCUCAAGAUCAUACAAUCAUAAUUGCACAUAGCUCCACUAUUUACUCUUGUUCAUCUCAAGCUUUCUACUCAAGUCACAGCCACUAAAUUAUUUAUAUCUUCAGCUAUGGAACUCAAAAUUAAGAUCCACUAAUUUUCCCUAAAACUAGACUCACAUAUCUUCUUAGCGUAAAAUUUUUAGAAUUUUUGGUCUAGCCAAUAAGUACAGUUUAUUCUUUAAAAUCUCCCCUAUUCUACUGUUUGACAGUUCCAACCCUUCUUCACUAAAACUUAAUUAUCUCAUCAUAUGGGAUUCAUAUGAUGUUCAUGUUUGUUUCUAUUGAAAAUAGACUCAAUAAUAAUUAAAAAAUCUAAACUCUAACUAAUAAUCAUUUUUAUAAAAUGUUUAAUUAUUUUCCAAAGUCAGAACAGGGGAUUUCAAAAUCAUUCUGACCCUGUCUAACAAAAAUUCAAAUAUCUCGUAAUAUUAAAUUCUUUUUUACACCGUUUCUUUUAUGUGAAAAUAUACUCAAUAAGAUUUAAUUUCAUAUCUUAUUCAACCUCUAAUUUGGUUUCCACCAUUUUUGAUGAUUUUUCAAAGUCACACAACUGCUGCUGUCCAAAACUAUUUUAUUGCUAAUUUUAGUCUCUCACGUUUUCUUUAUAUUAACUUUCAUUCAACAUUCACAUAGAUUUCGUAUGUACCUGUAUCACUUAAAUCAGUUAUACUUUCAUUUUUUUUAUCUUGGCUAUGUCGGUUGAUACACUUAAACCUCAAUGAAAACACAUUAUUUCAAUUCAACAUUAAAUAAUAUUAUUGGUUCAUAAUUCUUUCACAUUUAAUCAUCACAUAGUCAUAUUCGUUUACGCUUAGUCAUUUCGCGUUGAACACAUCGGAAUAAUAACGGAUACACAGUGGCCUUCACAUAGUACCACCCUUGUAGCCAAAGCUAUUUUAUUCACAAAGUGGCCUUCACAUAGUACUACAUUUGUGUCCAAAGCUAUUUUAUUAACAAAAUGGCCUUCACAUAGUACCACACUUGUGUCCAAAGCUAUUAUAUUCACAAAGUGGCCUUCACAUAGUACCACACUUGUGUCUAAAGCUAUUUUAUUCCUCAGGUUCAACCGAAAAAAUUCUCGCUUAGCACAAUGCCAUGGACUUAUUUCACUUAGCACAUUACCAUUGACUUAUUUCACCUAGAUGCCAUGGUCUUAUUUCACAUAGCACAAUGUCAUAUCCAUAUAUGAUCUUACAUGUGAAUCACUUAUUUUACUUAGCACAUUGCCAUGGUCUAACCAUGGUCAUUUACCGUCAAUUCAUAUUUCACUACGCAACGAUCGUGAUCUAUCCUGCGUUUUUACUCAAUUCGAACAUUUACUUUAAUUUUCACAAUUUAAUCAAAUAUAUAAUAAUAUUGCAUAAUUAACACAAAUCAAUAACGUUUAUUAACAUACGAACUUAGCUCGACCUAAAAUGGCGAAAAGGACCAAAUCAUUCAAUACUCAUUUUUCCCUUGUUCUAAGUCCGAACUUCAUUUUUUUAUCAAUAAUAUCACAUUCGACUUAUUAAAUUAUUAUACUAUUCAAAUCAGUCCAAAAAUCAUAUUAUGGUAAAAUUAUAUUUUUGCCCCUAAAGUUUCACAUAUUUACAAAUUUUCCUCUAGGCUCAUAAAAUGAAAUGUAAUCAUUUUUCUCAAUACCCAAGCCUAGCCGAUUCAUAUUCCCUUUAUAGCAGCCUACAUUUUUCACUAAAUCACAUUUCCUACACAUAUUUUACAACUUUUAUAAAUAGGUCUUUUUAUGAAAUUUCAUCAAAAAUCACUUAGUAAAAGUUGUUUAUCACACUCCAAACUUUCAUAUUUUUCCAUAAAACAUCAAAACACAUGUAUGUCAUCAAUAGGUAAAUUUUAAACACAAACCCUAUCUCAAAAUAAUGGUAGAAAUAGCUAAACCGAGUUACGAGGAUCUCAAAAAUGUAAAAAUCAUUAAAAACGGGGCUAGAACAGAGUUACAUCGAGCUUGGAAGCUUGAAAAACCCUAGCCAUGGUUUCCCCUUGUGAAAUUAGGCCAUGGGGUUGAAGACGGACAAAAAUUGGUUUUUAAUAUUUUUUUAAUUCAUUUAAUUACUGAAUGACCAAAAUGCCUCUAACUUAAAAAUAUUAUAUUUCACCUAUUUCAUGUCCAUUUUUGUCCAAAAAAUUAACCAAUGGUAUAAUUACCAUUUAAGGACCUCCAAUUUAAAAUUUCAUAACAACUGGACACCUCUAACAUGUAGAACUCAACUUUUACACUUUUUACAAUUUAGUCCUUUUAACUAAAUUGAGUGCCCAAACGUCGAAAUUUUUGAACUAAAUUUUCACAAAAUCAUUCCAUGAAACCUUAGACCAUAAAAAUAUAAUAAAAAUAAGUUUUUUUCCUCGUCGAAUUUGUGGUCCCGAAACCAUUAUUUCGACUAGGCCCAAAAUCGGGCUAUUACAUCAUGGGUUUCUCCCACAUGACUUAUACAUUUUCGCAUAUCAUGACCUGCCAUUCUAGUCUACAUACUACUAAAGGAAUCACCAUGCGUAUUUUUAUAGUCAUACAAUACGAUGGGUCUUCGCCACAUAGCCCCAUACAUACUUUCAUGUUGUGAUCUAUACGUCCAAUCUACAUUUCUUUGAAGGCAUCACCAUGAAUGUUGUCUUGCAGCGUGAUCUGUCUGUCUGGUUAGCAAUAUUUCCUCCUUACUAGAUGCAUAACAAAUGGAUAUUGGUUUAUCCCACAUAUAUUACACUACCCAAUUCAUUUUCUUACCUAAUUUGUUCAUAUUCUCUUAAUAAAAUUCAUCUUAAUCUACCAAUUUCAUUUACGACUAUAUCUCAUAGCAUUUUGAUCAUACAUAUGUAUUUUUAUAACUAAAGUGAACAUGCAGUAUAAUUAUUUUGAUUCAUAUAAAUACUAGUUGUCCUAGAUAUUUUCUUCAUAUGUAUUUUAAAUUGAGCAUCCCACAGAUAAGAGUCAAGAUACAGAUUCACCUUAAACUCAUCAGGAUUGCAGCUUGGAGUUCCAAAACUCAAACAUCCCUUUUGAACUAGCAACAACAACUGUAAAACCCAACUAGCACAGUACUUAAGCAAACUAGGCGUACUAUACAUUUGGUAGUAACUCUUACCAGACUUACUCUUUGCUUGACACAUUAUUUUCUUAAAUAGUAGGAUAACUUGAGAUAGAAGCUUUAAUUACUUAAACGAUGGGUAUCUUUAAUUACUUACACGACGGGUACAUUAAUCCAAAUUCUUAUUUGCCAAAAAACUUUAAAUAGGCAGACUAUUCUAUGCCAAUCAGGCAUCUUCACAUCUACACGCCUUCAAAUCGAGUCUAUCAGAUUUGGGGUGUGACAUAUUUAAUUGGAAAAUUAAUUAAUUAAAAUUAAUUUAAUAAAAUAUUUAUUUUAGAAACGUGUAUUGGGUUGGAUUAAAUUAUACAGUGUUGGAUUAAAAGUCUAUGAAGCACAUAUAAUUGGACUCCAUAUAAGAGAGGCCCAAAACUCCUUUCAAUAAGUAUGAGGGGCGACAACCCUAGUAUAAUUAACUAGUUCUAGUCACCCCUCUCUCUUAAUUAAACUAGGAGACCGGAUUUUAUAUUAAAUAAGUAUUUUUUGUAUUCUACUGAAUCAACUAAGGUUCCUCUAUCUCUCCCUAUAAAUAGAUGAAAUUGGUAAAGAUAAUGUUAAAUAUGACUCCUAUUUUCAGUCAAAUUUGAGAAAUGAUCUUUUAGUUAAACUCUAUUUAUUUGUUUCAAUCAAACACUGAUUAGUUUAGAUUAUUUUAUUAUUACUUGACCUAUGAAUUUAGCCUAUAAAUAGGCUCUUUUACAACCUUAGAAAAUACACCCAUUAGAUAUUAGAACUCAUAAUACAUUUAGAGAAUUUUGUGUUUAUGUUUUGAGGGUUCUUUGUUUUCAGGUUUUCGAGGUUUAGUUUUAUCUCCAUCUUUUAUACUCUUCAUUCUUUUACCAUUAUAGUAAAAUUAUCUUUGCCCGUGGUUUUUUAUCCUCUUUGGAGGGGUUUUUCCAUAUUAAAUUUGUGUGUUCGAUUUCUCAAUUUAUUUCACUAUUUUUUUACUUGUUACUUAAUCGGGUCGAUCCUAACAAGUGGCAUCAGAGCUAGUUCAAUUUUCAUAGAUUAGUCCAUUCAGAUAUGACAUCAACAAGGUUUGAAAUUGAGAAGUUCAAUGGUGAGACAAAUUUCAAUCUGUGGCAAGUUCGGAUGAUGGCAAUUCUAGUUCAAACCAGCUUGAAAAAGGUUGUUACUGAGAAAAAGCCUGAGAAUCUAAAUCAAACAGAAUGGGAAGAGCUUGAUGAAAAGGCUUUGUCUGCAAUCCACUUGUGCCUUACGAAUACGGUAUUGCAACAGGUAUUUAUGGAGAAAACCUCAUCCGCAUUGUGGAAAAGGUUAGAAACUCUUUAUGCGACUAAGUCUUUGGCUAACCGUUUAGUUUUGAAACACGUCUAUUUACGUUUCACAUGAAUGAAGGUAAGCUUCUUAAAGAUCACAUCAAUCAAUUCAUUACUCUUUUAAACGAUUUAAAGAAUGUUGAGGUUUAUAUUAACAAUAAAGAUCAGGUUAUGCUAUUAUUGUGCUCUUUACCCUCUUCAUACAAGUCUUUCAGGGAGACCCUGAUUUAUGGCAGAGAGAAACUCUCGUUCGAAUAUGUGAAGGGUCAUUUGUUGAGUAGAGACAAACUCGACAAUGAGUUUCAUUUGGAUAGCAAGAAAGAUAGGCAAGCUUCCGUUUUGGUAGCAUUAAAGAAACGAGACAAAAGGAGUUGCUAUUGUAAAAAGUUAGGUCAGGUCGAAGCAAAUUGUUAUAAACUGUGAAAUAAAAGAGCUGUUGAGAGUGACGAGGAAGAUGUAGCUAGUGCUUAUUUGGCCGAUGAAAAAGAUGAUGAUUUCUUGUUAGUGUCAACAAGUGAUAACUUCAAGCUCACGUCCGAGUGGAUCUUAGAUUUGGGAUGUUCUUUCCACAUGUGUCACAAUAGAGAAUGGUUCUCCACAUACAGUUUGGUUGAAGGUGGAGUUGUGCGUAUGGGAAACGAUACAUCUAGUAAGGUAAUUGGUAUUGGUACUGUUAAAAUUAGGAUACACGAUGGGAUGAUUAUGACACUCUCAAAUGUCAGGUAUGUACCUGAUUUACGAAAGAAUCUCAUCUCAUUGAGUAUUUUAGACUUGAAAGGAUGCAGAAUCAACAUCAAGUCGAGUGGUAUUAAUGUAUCUCGUGGAGCUCUCGUUUUGUUAAAAGGUAAAAUAAUCGGCAGUCUUUAUAUUCUAGAAGGUUCUAUAGUGACCGGUGAAAUCGGACGUCCCUCGUCCAUUAUGGAGUCGAAUUCAACUUGUUUGGAGUAGAGGUAACUUGGUCAUAGUAGGGAAAAAGGUAUGACUGUUUCACUGAAGAGAGGUUCUCUUUUGGAUGCAGGUUUUGAAAAGUUUGUGCACUGUGUUCAUGAAAAUCUGACUCGGGUUAGUUUUGAUUUGGUAGUGUACAAGUCGAAAGAAGUCUUCCAGUUUCUAAGCAAAAAUUCAACUCAGUUUACUCCUUGCAUAGUUCAAGAUAUGCUCGUGGCAGGCUUUGGCAAAGAUGGCGUUGUGGAAAUAUGAGUCAAAGUGGAGAUUUUUUAAAUAUGACUCCUAUUUUCAGUCAAAUUUGAGAAAUAAUCUUUCAGUUAAACUCUGUUUAUUUGUUUCAAUCAGACAUUGAUUAGUUUAAAUUAUUUUAUUAUUAUUUGACCUAUGAAUUUAGCCUAUAAAUAGGCUCUUUUACAACCUUAGAAAAUACACCCAUUAGAUAUUAGAACUCAUAACACAUUUAGAGAAUUUUGUGCUUACGUUUUGAGGGUUCUUUGUUUUCGGGUUUUCGGGGUUUAGUUUUAUCUCCAUCUUUUGUGCUCUUCAUUCUUUUGCAAUUAUAAUAAAAUUAUCUUUGCACGUGGUUUUUUAUCCUCUUUGGAAGGGUUUUGCCACGUUAAAUUUGUGUGUUCAAUUUCUCAAUUUAUUCCGCUAUUUUUUUACUUGUUGCUUAAUCGGGUCGAUCCUAACAGAUAAAAAUACAAGUUAUAAACAACUUUGAAAUAUUGUUAUUCUACUAGAAAAGAGUUAGAAUUUAUUUCUAAGUAUAAAUUCUAUUUUCCAGAAAUAACAACUAAUUUUUUUUUUUACUUUCAGUUUCUAUAAGCGAGAUUUACUUUCCUGCUGAAAGUAAAAAAAAAUGUUUUUAGUUCUAUGUUUGAUUUAUAAUUGUUGGAGCCCACACUAGAAACAAUUUGUGGUACGAGAAAUAGUGGAGAAGGUUGUUCAAUUGAAAGUCUGGAACGUCAAAGAUCCGUCUCACUCAAAGCAGAGGUAAUUUUUGGAAAAAAAAAUUAGUGUUAUGAGUAUUACAAACCAACUCGAUUUUUAAUUUUAUUUUUUCGUUAUACAAGAAAACUAUUCCGAAUCGAAUAUUUUUCAACAUUUACAUGCAUUAGAGUUUUGAUAUCGUAUAUGGCUCAAGUGUGCAAUUCUUGUUUUUUUUUGGAGGAAUACCUAGUGUGUUUGAAAUGUCAUCCAUGUAUCCAAAUUUCUUUUUCCAUGUUCGAUCAAUUAGGGCAACAUUUAAAUGGCAAUUUUUAAAGUGGUGUGACAAAUGAAAUUUUAUAUGACUGGUGUGGUUUGAUGGAAGCUUAAUUCGAAAUGUGACAUUAAGAUAUAUAUGAAUUGAUGAUUAUUGUUUAUAUGAUUUAUAUGUUAUGAAGUGUUAACAUAUUUGUUGUUUUGAGCAUGUUUGAAUUGCUUGAAAGGAUUUAUAUAUAAAUUGUUAGUAUGCCUAUUGUCUAUUGUUUAUUAAGCAUGUAUGGUGUAUAUGGAUUUCGAGUGCACAAUUAAGCUUUUGAGAAAAAGUUGAGCGUGCAGAUUUUUUCCAUGCGCGGGUUACAAGGAGAUUGGAGGUUGAUUUCCAUAUUUGUGCAGCAACAAUAUAAGGAGUUCUCAACGAGUCUACUUAAUUUGUAAAGACUUUUGGCUUUUUAGUAAUCUAUGGCAUGUACUUGUCUAAUUACGCUUUAAUCUUAUCAAUUGGAAUUUUUAUUUGGAAUUUUUAGUUUUUUCUUUUUUUUUUAAAUCUUUUGGCAUAUUGAUAUUUGUACGGACACAUUAUAGUGACUUUUGGUACUAAUUUUUAUGUGAUUUCUAAUGAUAUGUUUGAAAUAGCAAGUCUUUUUUUACUAGCAUGACUAAAAUUUGAUUUGAUAUGUUUCUAGGCAUGAAUUUAUAUGUUAUGGUGAUGUUUUAGUAUGUCUAACUUCCUGAAUGUAUUAGGUAACAUGUUUAGGAUAUUUAAAGGCAUGAUUGCAUGACAUUUUUUUUACUACAUUUUGUAAGCUUAAGUCUCGAGAUAAGAUAAACAUGUUUCAAGACGUGAAACAUUACUUAAACUGUACAUUUUUAAGUGCAUGUUUGAAGAUAUAGAGAGCUAAGUCUCGGCACAUACAAGCAAGUCUCAAAAUAUUAGGAUUUGUCUUGAUACUUUGGCCUGGGUAUUGAGACCUGACUCCUCAUUUGAUUAAUUUUGGCCCUAGAACUUUGUAAUAAGGUCAUUUGAGCUUGAUUUUCACUAAUAUUGAUAUGUAAUCAUCCAAAUUGUUGUGUAACAUGUUUUUAACUCAAAUUUAUAUGCAUUUUGACUUUAAGUUUGAUUGUUUGAGUUGCUUCAGCAAUGUAUGUGAUGCUAUAUAUUCAGUUGUCUUUACAGAUCAAAUGUAGAGUGUUUCAUGUAUUUUUAAUAAUUGUAUUAAAUUUAUAAAAAUGAAAUCAUUAAAAAUAGAAUAAUUUAGGUUAUAGAAAACUAAACAAAUCCUAAAAAAAAAAAUUCAUAAACUAAGGUGAUACUAUUUUAGUACAAACAUUAUAGGGAUGCUAAUCAUUCUUUACCCAUAAUCAUUUUUUUAGGAUUUUCCUUAAAUUAGUUCUAAAAUAAAUCAUACCUAACGUAAUUAAUUAGUGAAGACUCUAGCUAUAAUUUCCAUGUCCAACUUAUUAGAAAUAACCAACAUCUAUUCGUAACACUAGCUUAUACAAAUUGUAAAAUUUUAAAAAUGAAACUUGUAAUUAUCGUAUUGUCUAUCAUAACUUACUAAUUUGUUAUAAAUUAGUAAUGAUUAUUUUAUCUACCAUUUACUACAAUAUUAUUAAUAUAUCACUACAAUCUAUAUAAUUAUUUGUUACUAUAUUAAGUAUCUAAUAAAUAUUUUACAAAUUUAAGGGUCUUAGUAAAAGGAUUAUUUAGGACGUUAAGUGAAUUGUGCUUUAACAUGUAAAUUAAAAUAAUUUCAAAACUUAAAAUUAUAAUUAAAAUAUCAUAUUACAAAAAAUAGAUAUUAGUAAAUAGAGAAGUUACUUAUUUUUUUAUUAAUAGAUUAUAUAAUUUAUAUAGGUCUAAUUAUGAAAUUUAUUAUUACGUUGUCAAUAAUUUAAUUUAAUUUUAUAAAAAUUUUAGUUAUAAUUCUACUUUGAUAAACAUCUUUUAAUUAAAAAAAUGUAAUGUAGACAUGAUUGUGAGCCACCCUAUUAAGUUAUCAUAAUUUCAAACUCAAAUAUGUAUUAAUAGUUGUAUCCUAAAAGAUGAUUAUGUUUUUAAGUGUACAACUUUUAAAAGUUAUAUAUAAAUUUUCUAUUAGAUAUAAAUUUAUUAUAGUUUUAUCUAUAAAUUAGUAAAUUUUAUUAAAAAAUCAAUCUAAAAGGUUUAAAAUUUAAUUACUUAAUUAACCAACUUUAUUUUUUUUGGUAUAUUUAGUUCAUUUAUAUUUAAAUAAAUUAAUAAAAUUAUUAUGCCAAACUCUAUUCUUACAUAUUUAUUAAUUUAAAUCUAAAUAAAAAAUAUAUAUGUAUAUAUAUUUAAAUUGAAUAAUUUUGUUUAUUUUAACCUUUUAAAAGAUAUUUUUAUUAUUCACUAAUAGUUGCUUAUAUCUAUACGGAUGAUACAAGAGAUACUAGAACAUGAGAAUUAUUAGCAGAGUUAAGUGGCUAUAUAUGUGGCUUUAGCUUCACCACCAAAAACAUCAACAAGAUUUUUCCAAAUCCACGAGGCAUAAAAUCAACCUAUACAACUCUCCAAAAAAUCCAAUUGCAAAUCCACACCAAUGCAGCAACCAAUAGACUGCUGCUGACAUGUACAUUUCCUGAUCCACAACAUCUUCUCAUUUCCAUUAUAACCCCUUCUCUCCUCCAAACCAAAAUAGACUACAAUAACCAUCGGCAAACAAACCAAGUCAACCUAAAGCCUUAGGCACCAUGGCAACCUCUGCUAUCCAACAAUCUACUUUUGUUGGCCAGACCGCUUUGAAGCAGUCCAAUGAGCUCUUACGCAAAGUCGGAGCUUUCAAUGGUGGUCGUGUUACCAUGCGCAGAACUGUGAAAAAUGCCCCUACUAGCAUCUGGUAUACUUUUGUUACUACUUCCUAGUACUAACUAGUAGCAUUUUGUUAUAAGGAUCUUUUCAGUCUAAUCAUUGAUGGUUAACCCAAAUAUUGUGAAACAACGGACUGUAAAAAAUUCAAUUUGUACAGUACAUUCUAGCAGCAAUCUGCCUUAUUUUAAGCCAUACAUUUAAAGAGAAAUAACAUGUACAAGCGAAAUCAUGCAACUGAACUAUAUUUCUGCUUUUUGAUCUGAUUACCUACGGUUUGGUUUUAAAAACAGGUAUGGCCCUGACCGCCCAAAGUACUUGGGUCCAUUCUCAGACCAAAUCCCAUCAUACCUGACAGGUGAAUUCCCUGGUGACUAUGGGUGGGACACUGCUGGGUUAUCAGCUGACCCUGAGACAUUUGCUAAGAACCGUGAGCUUGAAGUGAUCCACUGCAGAUGGGCAAUGCUUGGUGCCCUUGGUUGUGUCUUCCCUGAAAUUCUUUCAAAGAAUGGAGUUAAGUUCGGAGAGGCAGUUUGGUUCAAAGCUGGAUCUCAAAUAUUCUCCGAGGGCGGCCUUGACUAUCUUGGCAACCCAAACCUUAUCCAUGCUCAGAGCAUUCUUGCAAUCUGGGCAUGCCAAGUUGUGCUCAUGGGAUUUGUUGAAGGAUACAGAGUUGGUGGGGGACCACUUGGUGAAGGACUGGACCCAAUUUACCCAGGUGGUGCUUUCGACCCACUUGGACUGGCUGAUGAUCCUGAUGCGUUCGCAGAAUUGAAGGUUAAGGAGAUCAAGAAUGGCCGCCUUGCAAUGUUCUCCAUGUUUGGAUUCUUUGUCCAGGCUAUUGUCACAGGAAAGGGUCCCAUUGAGAACCUCUUUGACCACCUUGCCGAUCCGGUGGCCAACAAUGCAUGGGCUUAUGCCACUAACUUUGUCCCCGGAAAAUGAACUUAGAUUAUAGAUACGUCUCUGAAAGCUGUAACAUUAAUUACUAUGUAGUGUCUGUUGCUGUGUACUGAUGUAAUUCACUGCUAGUCUUUUGAGCUGUUGUAUCAUUAAAGCCAUAUCCUUUUUCCCUGAAAUAGCACCUUUCUUGAAAUGAGAUGAGAUCAUAAAUCAAAUGUUUUAUUUUGUAGUAAGAGGCUGCUUCAGUUUGUUGAUAUAAAUAAAGCGCAAGAAACAUAUCUAGCCAUUUCUAUAAACCCUCAAAAGUGAUGACAAAACACAACCUGAAGACCAUAAAGUUAUCAUGGGGGUCUUCCCUUUCAGUCCUGUUGAAAGAUGGCAAUAAUACCAGCCAACAUCUGAGGUAAUCACCAAAAAUAUUUGCAAGAACACAAUCCAUCUUUAAAAUGAUGAAACCGGCUAUUAUCUCUAACAAUAAUCUCACGACUAUAGAUUUUAGAAAGCAGUUUAGUGACGGAAUGGCAAUCACUACAAACACGAAGGUUCUUCAUGAUGCGAAUGGGACAUCCAGCUUCAGUGUUGAUGAGACCAAAGGCAAUAGCCAACCUCUCACUAUGGUUUUCCAAUUCUGCUUCUUUCUCUUCCUCCUCUUCGAUAUACAACAACACUUGGCUUGUGUCAGGAACAUGUCCUGCCAAUUUCAACUUCUCUCCCAUCUCAGCCAAUUUGGAAUAAAUUUCUUUUGUUUCCGGAUGUGAUUUAUCUCCCACAAUAAAGUUAUUAACCACACAUUUAUGCUCUAUUGAACUGCAGCCGGGAUCUUUUCUUAAUCCUCUCUUCUUCAUCAUUUCUCUUACCUCAGAAACUUUCUCCCACUCACCUGCUAGAUCAUACAUAUUAGAAAGGACAACAUAACCACCAGUAGUCUCUGAGCCAAUUCAAUCAAAUGUUGAGCAGCAUAUUCACCUAUUUUUGUGUUUCUAUGGUUCCUAGCACCACUAAGCAAUGUCAUCCAGAUUACUUUGUUUGGUCUCAUGGGCAUUUCUUCAAUGAUAUCUUUUGCUUCUUCAAGACAACCAGCUCGGCAUAAUAUGUCCACCAAACAUCCAUAAUGUUCUAUAGUAGGUUUAAUUCCAUAUUCAUUUAUCAUCGUAUUAAAAUAUUUGUGACCAUCGUUAAUCAAUCCAACAUGACUACAAGCAUUAAGCACACCAACAAAAGUUAUAGCAUUAGGCUUCACAUCAAUUCUGCGCAUUUCAAGAAAUAGCUUCAGAGCAUGGUCAGCCAUGCCAUGAGUACUCAAGCCUACGAUUAUAGCAGUCCAAUGCCCCAGCUUUUUGUGGCUUAUUGUCCAAAAAACAGUUACUGCACUAUCAAUAUAUGUUUUAAUAUUAUCAAUACUAGAACAAAUUAAUUCGAGACUAUAACUUGUCUUUUCUUAAUACAUACAUAGUGUACGAGCCAGAACCGCACCUUUUCCAGCAAUGGAUGACUAGACUUGAGGGUGCAAGGUGAACGAACACUCUUUUCCGAUAGUGGUUGGGUACCAUAAAGCCGUGGCAAUGGGCUCAAUGUUUCAAUGACGGGUUUCGAUGUAAUCAUAUGACCACCAACUUGGUAGAGGCAGUUAACUCCGUAUUGAAGAACACACGAUAUCUUCCGAUUUUAUUUGUGUUCUCGGCUAUGUUCUACAGGUUGGCUACCUUGAUGCCAAGAAUGGGGCUGAAACAAGUCAACCAGAUUAAUGCGGGACACGUGUUUGUCGAAGAUGCCAGGGAUGCAAUGGAUGCAAACAAUUGGAGGACGAGGUCGAUAAAUAUAGAAACAUAUUCACAACAGUCUAAAACAUUUCAAGUUACAGAGACCACCGAUCGUUGACCUGAUAUCCCAUCUAGGUCCUAGGAGUUGAUUUCUGAAACAAACGGUGCGAUUGUGGGAGGUUCCAAACACUUCAUUGUCCUUGUGUGCAUGUCAUGACAGUCUGUGCUCGCGACUCGUUCAAUGUUGAAUAGUUUAUCGCUGAGGUGUAUACUCUCGAGCACAUGUUGCAUGUUUGGGAAAACGAGUUCCCCAUCCUACUUGAUUUGUCUAUAUGUGAGGUGCCUACAACUACUUUUGAGCUUGUCCUGGACAAGAGGUAGCGUAGUAAUCCGAAAGGUUAUCUGCAAUCAACCAGAAUCCAUAAUAAAAUGGACAUUAGCGAGAAAACCAAUGGAAAUCUUUGUGGCCUGUGCAGAUUAGCUGGGCAUAAUCGGAGUAAAUGCUUACAACGAACCUACCAUAUAGGUCAAUCAUCGCAAUCAGGUGGAAAUUGAGCCAAUGUACUCCACUGCAUCUAAUUUAUAUUACAAUGUUUGUAAUUUUGCAUUUAUAUUAUAAAGUUUGUAUUUUUUUCAUUUAUAUUACCAAAUAUAUAUUUUUGCAUGUAUAUAAGUUGAUAAUUUAUACCUUAGACCAUCUCAUUUAAAUUUAGUACCAAAAAACCUGAAAGUUAAGUAAAAAAUAAGUUUAAAUGCCCAAAUUUUACUACAAUUAAAUACAUACAAACUUGAUCAUUGAAAUGACAAAAACCCUAAAAAUUGAUAGUUUGAUGGUGUGGUCCUAGGGGUAAAUUGUUGUGGUGGUUGGGUUCACGUUGAGGGUGCUCGCGGUGAUCAAUGUAGUCCUCACCCAAACCUGGGGGUGUGUUAAAAAUAGUGGAAAAAUCGUAUGCCCCAAACGUUUGUUUGGGAGGAGCAGAGUAUUGCAGUGGUAAGGGCUGAAGAUAUCAAACGUCAUCGAUGAUAUCGAAUCAGGUAUAUUAGAACUGGAUCCGAGAAACCCUGAAUGAUAUCAGUAACCUGAUGAGCCCGGAAAAUAGUCAUCGACCCCUAGGUCUAGAUGAUAAGAACUAUCCCCAGACCGUGUAUGAGACCUCGGGGGUUUGGGCGUUGGCUCGGGUUCGGACGAAGGCUCUGGCUCGAGUACAGGAGACAAAUGUGGAAGGGGAUGGGCGGGUUGCCCAAGCCGUGGUAUGUGUAGGCGAACUACAGUCGAUUGCCCACUAAAUAUAUAGGGUUUUCCCUUCUUGGAGUACCAUAGUAUGUAUUGUAACGAGGGCUGCAAAUCCAAUGAAAGAUCCAUCUGAGGUCUCCACCCUAACCAGUUGUUCCACACUGCAAUAUAUUGUUGAUGCACUACUGCCCAAUUAUUUCCCUAUUUUUCCCUCUUAUUAAUCCUGUGAAUCUUCCCCAAUUGCACUGGCGGUACCGAGAUAUACUAUAUGCAUCUGAACUAUCAGAAUAUUCGAUCCCCAUUAUACCAUUCCACUAUCUAGAAAUUGAUAAUGGCUGCGUUAAUACACCAUAGGUGUGAAUGGAUGUGGGCAAAUGAGGGAAUCACAGCCAUAAUUUGCAGGAAGGAAUAAGACAUCCAGAUGAACUGCACAAUUAAUAACAUGGUUAUAUUAACAUGGUUAGAGUAAGAUAUAUAAAGUAAUUACAUGUCAGGAAUAUUGGAAUAGCUUACCCUUUCCCUAACAUGUGUUUCAAUCAUCAGACGAUAUAUUGGAACCAUGUAUGUCCUCCCGAUACCCAGAUUAGUACUCCAUCUAUGAAAACAAAAACUUGUUAAAAUAGUAUCAUUAGAAAAAAAUGUCAAAUAAUUGUUAUAAUUGGACAAAUUGUGUCACCUAUUCACGAGUGGAAAUACAUAUGCUUGGUGACUAAUCGAUGCUGAGAAUGACAUCCGGUAAACCACCCAAGACUACAGCAAUAUGAGGCAUCCGCCUAUGUCCGUGACAAAAGGAUUUGUCGCCCGAUAAAGCUCGCGAUAUAGCAUAGCUAGUACUACAGAACCCUAACUAUAUGAACGGAGGUUUUGCAAAUCAAUUAACAGGGGCAAGCACAUCAAAUAGACCUUGUUGUUGUUUGCAUCUAGUAUGAGUACACCCCCUAUAAUGUGUAUAAUGUAUGCUCAAGUGACGCACAUCACUUCUCGCUCAGUGGCAUUAAUCGGUAAAUUCUCGAAAUUGGCCUUCAGCUAUGAAAACCUCAAACCCAAAAAAUUUAACUUAACAUCACCGAGCGAGACUCCCAGUAGGUUAUAGCAAAGGGUGGCUGGCUCAAGGAUCGUGUAACACCCCGUACCCGAGACCGUUGCUGGAGUCGGACACGAGGGGUUCACAGACUAAGUUCGCUUACUAUUGCAGUCCAUUUUAAAAUUUUUCCAGGCAGUCGGCUAACUGCGUCACUGUCAGCUUAAAAAUCAUAUCUUGUGUUUCACAACUCAAAAAUCAGUUUCGUGAUUUUUCACUGAAACUAGACUCAUAUUCCCAUCUAUAUAUUUUUUCUAGAAUUUUUGGUCGGGCCAAUUAAUACAGUUUAUUAGUCAAAGUCUCCCAUGUUACAGGGAUCGACUACACUGACCUUUGCGCAUUACGACUUGGAUAUCUCCCUGCACAGAGCUUCAAUACUGAUGACGUUUGUUUCUAUAGAAACUAGACUCAGAGAGGAAUCUAUACAUAUAUGGCAUGACUCCUAAUUAUCUCUGGUUAAUUUGUAAUGAAUUUCCAAAUUCGGAACAGGGAGUCCAGAACCCGUUCUGGCCCUGUCACACGAGAACCUGAAUAUCUCUUAACAUACUGUCCAUAUGAUCGUUUCGUUACUUUCCUAUGAAAAUAGAUUCAUUAAGGUUCGUUUACAUAAUUUAUUUAUUAUUUAAUUCCAAUCCUACUAUUUUUAGUGAUUUUCCAAAUCUACAUCACUGCUGCUGCCAGCAUCUGCCUUUAAGGUAGACUUUACCUACUUCAUAGUUUCCAUGAUUCAACUAGCCCUUUUAGCAUAAAUAGCACAAAUUAUGAUUGUGAUUAACCAUUCCAUACCAAAUGAUUAUAACAUUAUGCUCAAACAUAUAUAAGCCAUUUUCGCAUGGCUAUAUACAUUAACCAAAAUAUUCCUCCGCCACUAGUCUAUUUUAUACAUGCCAUAAGAUAAUCCAAAACAUAGCAGUACCAAACAGUGGAUAGUGAUAGUGUGACUAGUUGCUGACGAUCCCCGAGCCUGUAGCUUCGCAAUGAGAUCUAUAAAACAGAGGAAACAGAGUAAACGGAGUAAGCAUUACAAUGCUUAGUAAGUUUUAAGCAGUGUCAACAGAUAACAAUCAAAUUAUAACAUAGUUGUUCGUAUUUUUAUUUCACUCUUCCUUCGGGCAUACCAUCCCUUUACCGAAUACGCACAUCUCAUAGAUUGCUCUCGUAUGCAUCACAUAACUACCUUAUGAUUUAGUGCAAAUCAAGCUCACAUAUAAACUUGGAGUACAUACCUGUUUAACCUUUCGCAUUGAAUAUAUUUAUAAGCAAUUCUUAUUACGAAGUCUUACCCGGACAUAAUCUCCACACGAAGUUAUCGGGUCUUACCCGGACAAAAUCCCCACACGUAGUCAUCGGGUCUUUAGAGCUCGGAUAUAGUACGAGCACGAAGCUUACGGACAUUAAUCAGUGAUAAUAUUCUCGCAUAAAGCCUGCGGGGUUUUAACCCGGAUAUAGUACUGACACAAAUGCCCUUCGGGACUUAUCACAUUUAUACACUUUCACAUCCAUCACGUUGGCCACUCAGCCCUGUCACAUAUAUAUACUUUCACAUUCAUCACAUCGGCCAUUAGGCCUUAUCACAUAUAUACACUUUCACAUUCAUCACAUCGGCCAUUAGGCCCUAUCACAUAUAUAUACACUUUCACAUUCAUCACAUCGGCCAUUAGGCCCUAUCACAUAUAUAUACACUUUCACAUUCAUCACAUCGGCUAUUAGGCCUUAUCUCAUAUAUACACUUUCACAUUCAUCACAUCGGCCAUUAGGCCUUAUCACAUAUAUAUACACUUUCACAUUCAUCACAUCGGCCAUUAGGCCUUAUCACAUAUAUAUGCACUUUCACAUUCAUCACAUCGGCCAUUAGGCCUUAUCACAUAUAUAUACACUUUCACAUUCAUCACAUCGGCCAUUAGGCCUUAUCACAUAUAUACACUUUCAUGUUCAUCACAUCGGCCAUUAGGCCUUACUAUCAUUUCAUAUUCGAAUACUCAUAAACUUACAAUACCACGAUUUAUAAUUAAAGUAUGGGUUUAAUCAAUAGCUUAUGAGCAACUAAAACAAGUUUAUCAAGGUUCACAACAUAAUCUCAAAUUCAGGACAAGCUGUUUUUCCUGAGCAAUAGUCACUAAAUUAUUUAUAACUGGAGCUAAAAAACUCCAAAUCACUUUCCGUUAAUUUUUCCUGAAUAUAGACUCGUAUAUCUUCCAUCCAUAAAAUUUCCAAAAUUUUAGGUUUGGCCAAUCAAUACCAGAUUUUUCUUAAAGUUUCACCUGUUUCACUGUUUGACUAAUCUGACCACUCUUCACUACGAAUCAAAUUUCUCAUUUUACAGAAUUCAAAAUGUGUUGUAUUUGAUUUCAUUUGAAACUAGACUCAUUAAGGAGUCCAAGUAUAUAAAUUUUAUCUUAUAACCAUUUUUGUACAAUUUUAUCUUAUAACCUUUUGAAGUAGCUUCGUCAUUGGUGUGGCUAUCAUCGAGAAACCUUUUACAAAUCGUCGGUAAUAACCGGCGAGCCCCAGGAAGCUCCGAACUUUGGUAAUAUUUCUUGGAGGCUUCCAGUUAAGUAUGGCUAAAAUUUUGCUCGGGUCAACUCGAAUACCCGAUGCGGAUACCACAUGACCCAAGAAGCUAACCUCUCUUAACCAGAACUCACACUUACUGAACUUAGCAUAUAACUGCUUAUCCCGCAAAAUUUGCAACACUAGUCUCAGGUGCUCAACAUGUUCGGUCUCAUCUCUUGAAUAGACCAAGAUGUCAUCAAUGAACACAACUACGAACCGAUCCAAAUAUGGUCUGAAGAUCCGAUUCAUCAAAUCCAUAAAUACCGCAGGGGCAUUAGUGAGCCCAAACGGCAUCACUAAGAAUUCGUAGUGACCAUAUCUCGUUCUGAAGGCAGUUUUGGGUAUGUCUGAAUCUCGAAUUCGCAACUGAUAAUAGCCCGAUCUCAAAUCUAUUUUUGAGAACACUGAGGCUCCCUUUAGUUGGUCGAACAAAUCAUCGAUACGCGGUAACGGAUAUUUGUUCUUUAUCGUCACUUUAUUCAGUUGACGGUAGUCAAUGCACAACCUCAUGGUUCCGUCCUUCUUUUUCACGAACAAUACUGGUGCACCCCAAGGUGAGAAACUUGGUCGAGCAAAACCUCUAUCCGUCAAUUCUUGCAACUGAGCUUUCAACUCUUUUAACUCAGUUGGUUCCAUACGAUACGGAGCCAUCGAAAUCGGCGUAGUCCCAGGUACAAGCUCAAUACCAAACUCUAUCUCCCGAACAGGUGGUAAACCCGGUAAUUCUUCAGGAAAAACAUCCGGGUAUUCACAAACCACCGGCACAGAUUCGGGUUUCUUUUCUAAUUCUUUGUCAUCAAGUACAUACGCAAGGUAUGCUUCGCACCCUUUUCUUACAUAUUUCUGGGCCAACAUUGAGGAUAUUACAGCUGGCAACCCAUCCACGUCCGUAGACUCAACUCGGAUUACUUCGUUAUUUGCGCACCUCAAUUCAAUAGUCUUGCUUUUGCAAUUCACAACCGCAUCAUGCACGGUCAACCAAUCCAACCCGAGAAUAACGUCAAAUUCAUCAAAUGGCAAAAGCAUCAAGUCCGCCGGAAAACAGGAACCUCGAAUUACUAGGGGACAUUCCUUACACACUUUGUCGACAAGCACGUAACGACCCAAGGGAUUUGACACGUGAAUUACGAACUCAGUAGACUCAAUAGGUAAAGUCUUACUGGAUGCUAAGGUUUCACAUAUGUAAGAAUGAGUAGAACCGGGGUCAAUCAAAGCAAUUACAUUAGUAUCAAAGAGAAUAAAAGUACCGGUAAUAACAUCAGGCGAAGAAACAUCCUCGCGGGCACGUAUAGCAUAAGCUCUAGCAGGCGCACGAGCCUCGGAUCUGGUCGUAGCAUCUCUAGAUCCUCUCUAACCACCACUAGCAUUGCCCGUAUUUCCAGAUGGUCUACCUCGAGCAGUGGUAGCACCCGGUUUCCCACUCUGAUUUACAUUCUGUUCAGACAACCUCGGGCAAUCUUUAAUGAAGUGGUCAACUGAUCCGCACUUGCAACAGGAGCGGUCAGGGAAUCUACAACUCCCCGAAUGCCAUUUACCGCAAUAUCGACAUUUCGUUCUGUCUCGACGUUCAUUCCCAACACUGGCGACCGAAGUGCCUCGUGUACCCACAGGGGAUCGAUCACGAUCUCGUCUAAAAAGGCCCGAAGUGCCUCUCGACCAGCCCACAUCAUCUCGAAAUUUCUUCGAUGCCUGUUGAAGAGACUUUCCCGAAGAUCUUUUAUGAAACUCUCCAGUUCCCACAUCAACUUUUUGUUUUUCUUUUCUAAGCUCUUCGGCUUUACAAGCUCGCUCGACAAGUACUACGAACUCUCGUAUUUCAAGAAUGCCAACGAACAUUUUUAUAUAUUCAUUCAGCCCAUCCUCGAAGCGUCUACACAUGAUAGCCUCGGACGAAACACAUUCCCGAGCGUAUCUACUAAGUCUAACAAAUUUUCGCUCGUAAUCAGUAACCGACAUGGAACCUUGCUUAAGCUCAAGAAAUUCCUUCCGUUUUUGAUCAACAAAUCUCUGACUGAUAUACUUUUUCCGAAACUCAGUUUGGAAAAACUCCCAAGUUACUUGCUCUCGGGGCACAACAGAAGUCAGAGUACUCCACCAAUAGUAGGUAGAAUCACGUAGCAAGGAGAUAGUACACUUUAGGCAUUCAUCGGGUGUACAAGAUAGCUCAUCGAGUACCCGGAUAGUGUUGUCCAACCAAAAUUCAGCUUGUUCGGCAUCGUCGCUAUCCGUAGCUUUAAAUUCGGUAGCCCCAUGUUUUCGGAUUCUAUCAACUGGGGGCUUAUUUGACCUUAUUUGGUCAGUUACCGGAGGUAUUGUAGGUGCGGGGGUUGUAUUAGUCGGGAAGGGAGGUUGUGGAACAGCCGUAUUAGUUCGAAUGUAUUGGUUGAACCAAUCAUUCAUCACGCUAUAGAAAGCUUGUCUAGCUUCAUCAUUCGGGUUACUAGCAUUAGGUUGAGAGUUCACCGGCGCUGUCCCUUGUGCGGGAGCAGGCGGUACACUAUCAAGAUCAUCAGCUACCGCUCGGUCGGGAUCGGGAUCCAUUACUAUAAAUAAACACAUUUGCAAAUGUAAGAAAUCACCACACUAUCAAAUAAUCACAUAAAAUGGCAUGUAUAGCUAGACCCAACGCAUUACGGUAGUCCUAGAAUCGAAUAAACCGUAGCUCUGAUACCAAUCAAAUGUAACACCCCGAACCCGAGACCGUCACCGGAGUCGAACACAAGGUGUUAACAAACUUUAAAAAUUUUCCAGACACUGGCAAUCUGCAUAAUAGUCGUUUUAAAAAUCAUAUCUUGAGUUUAGAAACUCGGAAUCCAGUUCCGUAAAUUUUCCCUGAAACUAGACUCAUAUACCCAUCUACAUAUAUUUUUCUAGAAUUUUUGGUUGGGCCAAUUAGUAUAGUUUAUUAGUCAAAGUAUCCCAUGUUACAGGGAUCGACUACCCUGACCUUUGCGUAUUACGACUUGGAUAUCUCCCUGUACAGGGCUUCAAUACUGAUGCCGUUUGUUUCUAUAGAAACUAGACUCAGAGAGGAAUCUAUACAUAUAGUGCUUGACUCCUAAUUGUCUCUGGUUAAUUUAUAAUGAAUUUCCAAAUUCGGAACGGGAUAUCCCGAAACCGUUCUGGCCCUGUCUCACAAGAACCUGAAUAUCUCUUAACAUACUGUCCGUAUGAUUGUUUCGUUACUUUCCUAUGAAAAUAGAUUCAUCAAGGUUCGUUUACAUAAUUUAUUCACUAUUUAAUUCCAUUCCUACUAUUUUUAGUGAUUUUCCAAAUCUACAUCACUGCUGCUGUCAGCAUCUGCCUUUAAGGUAGACUUUACCUAUUUCAUGGUUUCCAUGAUUCAACUAGCCCUUUUUGCAUAAAUAGCACAAUUUAUGAUAGUGAUUAACCAUUCCCAUGGCCAAUCCUUGUCAAGCAUAUCCACACCAAAUGAUUAUAACAUUAUACUCAAACACAUAUAAGCCAUUUUCGCAUGGCUAUCCAAAAUUAUACAAGUCCAAAGGGUCCAUGACCCACAACAAACGGGUAGUCCUAUACAUGCCAUUUCGAAGUUCAACCGAAAUUGUACCAAAAAGGGGGGGGAUUUGAUAGUGUGGGCGACUUCGACUUCAAAAUCCCGAGUCCGAUAGCUGGAGAACCAAAAUCUAUAAAACAGAGGAUCAAAGAAACGGAGUAAGCAAUUUAUGCUUAGUAAGUUUUGAGCAAGGAAUUCCAGCACAACAAAAGUAUAGCAUUCAUGUAGCUAAACGGAUAAUUUCAUAUGCACAAUUUUUCAAUAUCAUACUUGCUUCACAUUACCAACCCUUAUGUACAUACACAAAAGAUCAACUUAGCCAAAGGCCGGUAGCUCAUUUAUCAACUGAGCGAAUACUUAUUUGUAAGGGCUCAACUAAAUUCAAGCACAUACGAAACAUACCUCAAUGUUGGGAUGUUUCUAGAGUAUUUACUGAAAUUUUUACAGCAAGAUCAUUCAUUCCCAAAUCACGUACCUUCGGAAUUUAACCGGAUAUAGCUACUCGUUCAAAUGCCUUCGGGACAUAGCCCGGUUAUAGUAACUCGCACAAUUGCCUUCGGGACUUAACCAGGAUUUAGUAACUCGCACAAAUGCCUUCGGGCUUAGCCCGGAAUUAGUAUCUCGCACAAAUGCCUUCGGAUCUUAGUCUGGAUAUGGUCACUUAGCACAAAGCCUUCCGGACUUAGCCCGGACAUCAUUCAAAUAACCAUGCACAUUUAACAGUAAAUCAUGGCACAUUCGUAUUUCAUUUUCGUUAACAAAACUCAAACACAAGACACUUAUCAUUCUUGCAAUUUUGGCUCAAUAGCCACACGCAAAGAGCAUGAUUUUAAUUUGCUUAAAACAUGCUCUAAUCAAAUCAUAAUUUAAGCUCUUUUACUCAAGAACUUACCUCGGAUGUUGUCGAAUGAUUCCGAUAGCUAUUCGACCACUUUUUCCUUCCCUUUAUCGGAUUUAGACCCCCUUUGCUCUUGAGCUUAAUUAGACAAAUAAAUUGAUUUAAUCAUUUGAGCAUCGAAAAGAGGAACACAAGGCACUUAGCCCAUAUUUAUACAUUAGACAUUAAAGUCACAUACAUGUGAAAUCAUGCAUCAACUCAACAUAUUAUCCCACACUCCUUUUAGCCGAUUGUCUAAGCCAAGAUAUAAGCAUUAAUAUGCUUGCCUCUAACCGAAUACAUGCAACGCCAAUCCAUCUCAUGUGGCCGAAUAUGCAUGUCUACGUUGAGGCCAAUUAUAUACUUAGUACCACAUAUAAAUGACAUACAUUUUACUAACUAAUGCAUUACAUAUUACAACUCAAUAUGCAUCCAUCAUUCACUCCAUAACUAAACCAUCACCAUAUAUAAACAUAUACCUUGGGAUGACAUAUAUAUGUAUCAUACCAAUACACCAUGUGCAAAUAUAUAUAUGCAAAAGCUGAAUCACAAGGCUGAUUAUAGCCAUCUCAUAUUUUUUUUUUCAUCCCAUACCCGAAUGCACAAGUACAUUAUAAUAGCUUCCAACUUAAUUCAUCAUAAAUUUCCCCUUUUUUUUUUUUCAUGGCCGAAUGCUCCUUCUGCACCAUUUACCUUCACAAAGCAUGAAUUUCAUCAUCCAACUUACAAGCUUACAAUCUCAUGAAGUUUAACCUCAUAGUACCUAUCAAACUCUCACUCAUUAGCUUCUAUCAUAAACCUCCAACAACACCAACUAAACAUAUACUUCGUGGGUCUAUGGUAGAGCCAAGAAAGGAACUCAUAGAUAUCAAGAUGUAAGCAACUACCAUUAUUAAUCUAAGUUUUGCAUGAAACACAAUCAUCACCCUUAUUAAUAUUUUAUAGCCGAAAACCAUACUCACCUCCAAAAUCAAAAUUUUAACAUGGUUUACAAAAAUCACUUGAUAACUCACUCAAUAUCAACUAAAAUUUCAAAAGCUAGUACAACUUCCUUACCUUCAUAGUGACCUAAGAUUACCGAUUGCUUCACUCCCUUCUUCUUCCUUUCAAUUCGGCCAAGAAGAACCAAAGAACACAACUUGUUUUUUUUUUUCUUUCUUCCUUAGAACAUUCGGCCAAGAGAAAUGAAGAAAGAUGGACACUUUUUUUUUGUUUUCUUUCUUACAUUCACGGCAAUGGAGAGGGGAAGAACAAUCAUACACAUUCUUUCCUUUUUUUCCAUUUCUUUAUUACCCAUACUCCUUAUUUUAUUGUUCCUAACAUACAUCACUAACAUAACAUGUUUGUGACAUGUUUCCACUCAUAGCAUGGCCGGCCACUAGCUCAAAUAUUGGGCAAUUUGACAUGCAAACCCACCAUUUCUAUAACAUGCAUUAAUAAGCCACUUUACAUUUGCCUAGCACAUUUCUAAAUUCUUUCACAUAAGUCCCAUUUACUAAAAUUCACCUACAAUUAAACAAAAUUCAAAUAUGAAAUUAUCACACAUGCAUAUAUACAUACAAUAAGUAUCAAAUAUGACAGCUAAUUAUUUUUAUGACUCGGUUUAGCGGUCCCGAAACCACUUCCCGACUAGGGUCAAUUUUGGGCUGUCACAAUACCUGUAUUUGCUCAUAUUGAACAUUUAUUGUUUCCUUUCCAAUUCAUGCCUGUUGAACCGAAUAGAAUAUCGUUGGAUAUCUAGGAUAGCUCACACAAAGUGUGCUAACUCAUAUAAUCGUAAUUCGUCAAUUCAUGUACAUAUUGCUCACAAGAGCUGUGAAUAAGUAUGCUCAUACGAGCUAUGAAAAUGGGUCUGCUCACACGAGCUGUGGGUCGGAACAUAGCUAUACAAUGCUGCUCAGACAAGCUAUGGAGUAUCUACAACACAUGUCAAACCUCAUGUCGUAUUACAGGCCGUGUAGACAUUAGAAAUGGGAGCACAUGGUUGUGUCCCAGCCCAUGUCCAACCCCGUGUAACUCUCUGACUUGGGUCACACGGCCAACACACACGCCCGUAUGACUAGCCCAUAUGCCCUAAAAAUGGCCACACACCCCCGUGUGCCAGGCUGUGUGCUAGGCUGUGCCAAACCUAUAGGGUAUACUGACUUAUGCCAAACGCCCAAGUCACACGCCCGUGUGUGAGGCCGUGUGGAGCAUAUUGACUUGUUUUCAAAUUCAACACCAGGGGACACACAGCCGUGUACUUGACCGUGUGUCACACACGAUCGAGACACACGCCCAUGUCUCUGCCCGGUGGACAAAAAUAGGCUAUUUACCAAGCCAAUUUGCCACCCAAAUAUUCAUAUACCUACACAACCAAAAUGGCACCAAAUCAAAGCAUAAUUGAACAUCUCAUUUGGCUAUAAUCAAGUCUAAUUCAUACAAUUUCCAAUACUAACAACCAACAUGCUUAUAAACUCAUGUUUUACUCAUUCAAAACAUACCAAAUACCAAUUACUUCAACAUCAAUAUAACUAAACUCAAAUAUGCAUUAUUUGGUCUAAUUUCAAUAACAUACCAAUUCAAAAAUCAUCACCUAUUGAUAUUCAGUUUACCUAUUCACAACAAGCAUUGUAACACCCCUUACCCGUAUUCGACACCGGAACAGGGUACGAGGCAUUACCGGACUUAUACACAAGCAAUCGUACACUUUCGAGCCAUGGAUUUUCGUCCAAAUUAAAACUUUUUACAAAUAAUCAUAUCGUCCCAAAGACGAGCCUAUGAGGCCUAAAACAAUCUGUGGAAGCGGUUCGGGACAAACUGAGAAGUUUAGAAAAUUUUACGACACUUAGAGAAUUUUUGCUAUAACAGGGGUCACACACCUGUGUGGCUUGGGACACGCCCGUGUGAGCAGGCCGCGUGGUCACACACGCCCGUGUCCCUAACCCAUGUAACUUUCUAUUUGUCACCCAAGAGCAAAUUGAAGUCACACGGCCAAGACACACACCCGUAUCCCGAGGCUGUGUCCUUUACACAACUGAGACACACGCCUGUGUCUCUGCUCGUGUGCUCGAUACUGAGCAUUCUGUUUUGCAACAAUUUAGGUAUAGGGGACACAUGGCCAGAUCACAUGCCCAUGGGGCUGACCAUGUGUCACAAAUGGCCUAGACACACACCUGUGUGGACAAAAAUAAGGCUAUUUACCAAGCCAUUUGCAACCAUUAUUUUCACAAACAGUUAUACCAAUUCAAUAUCACAAAACAUAAUAUAUUUAGGCAACCAAAAACAUACACAACAAUGUCCAACAAAUGGCCAAUUAAUAUCAACAUGUAUCAUAUUCAUAACAUUUAUUAUGCCCUAACUCAAUCAUGCCAGUUUCACAUUUAUUAAGCUUCAUUUAUUUCCUUUCAAGAUACCUAAUUGUACACAAAUCUAUCAUCUCAUCCAUGAAUCACAUUGCUAAACAUUUCACAAUCAUACUAUAAAUCACAUUCCAUCAUUCAACUUCACAAUCAUACUAUAAAUCACAUUCCAUCAUUCAACAAGCAUACCAUGACCAUAUCACCAAAGACGUAGGCACAUAUAUGGAUAUACUUAGGCUUACAACCAUGUUAGCCAAAAUAAACCAAUUUACAUCGCCAAAUAUCAAAGCAAACCCUUGACAAUUACAAGCCAAUACUUUUGGCCAAAACAUAAUGACACAUAUAACAAAAUGAUCAAGUCCCUAUACAUGCCAUAAGCUCAAAAUACUUGAAUUCAUCAAUAUCCAAAUGAUAGCUUGAUAGUGUGAUAGGAUCUCCGGCGAUCUCCAAUCUGAGCUAGCUUGACGGCACUAUAAAACAUAGGAAAGAAAGGGAGGUAAGCUAUAUAGCUUAGUAAGUUUGCAUGUAAAUAAUAAGCAACUCUUACCAAUUAUUUACCAAGUUUAACAAUAUAAACACAAGGUAAUAUAAAUUGUUAUAGUCCUUACAAUUAUAAUUUAUUCAAUCACAUAGUCUGCUCUAUCAAAUUGCAAACAUAGUUUAAAAUAUUUUGACAUUAGCCUAAUAGCAAUAAUCUCUCCAUUAACACAUAUAUCCAUAAUCAACCAAUCAUUUUGAGCCUUAUAAUAACCAUGCACAUUACUCAUUAGUAUUUAUCUCUCAAGCAUAUAUUUAAUAUCUUUCACAUGUUUAAAACUUAUAUCUCCUCACUUCUAUAAUCGUUUUAAUAGGCAUUUAUGCCAAUCUUUUCUUUUUUCUCAUAUCCAAUAAAUCACAUUUUGUGCUAAUAAAACUUACCAUAUCAUAAAUCAAUUUUGGCCCGAAAGCCAAUUACACAUUUGCCAAUCCAAUUUACCUUGUAUUUCGUACAUCACAAGUAUAUACCAAUAAUUACAAGGCUUUUACAAAAACAUUCUUAUGAAAACCAUGAACUCACCAUAUUAUGAAAUGAAUACUUAUAAACUUAUGUACAUACCUGUACAAAUUCGUAACAUAGUCACAUACUUUGUCAUCUUUGACAUAAUCUUUAGAUUACCCUUGGAAUACUAUUGGAUACACGAAAAGUCUCGCACAUAAGUGUCACAUAUGUAGCCAAUGCUACCUUAUAUCUCAUAACACAUAGUCCUCGUAGACGAGCUAAUCACUGGCCUAUUCACACAAGCUGCCAGUCAAGACGUAGCUACACAGGCUGCUCCCACAAGCUGUCAGGCAUUCGCAACAUAUGCCGGACAACCCACCCACCGGUAGGAUGUACAUGACCAGCACCCGGAUUCUCAUAUCACAUAACACAUGACUUCCUAGUGACAUGUCACUUGUAUCCUAAACUAUUCCUAAGGUCCAACUGGGAUUUUCUCAUCAUCGAAAAUUCGUUGAAUAUUUCCAUAGAAACAAUCAUACAAUUUAUGCGAUAUUAAACAUUAAAUACAUAAUACAACAUUGCAUUAUUUACACACAAACUUACCUCGACAUAAAAAUUGUAACACUCCAAACCCAGCCCAGACGUUAUUGCCAGAUCUGACGUGUCACAUGGACUUACGACUUAGUAUGCAUUCAUUGGUUUAAAUGAUUGGGGUGGUCUUUGUAAAAACAACGGUUGAAUGAAAAGCCGGUUUAUCAAUCUUUAGGCUAUCCAUUUGUUGUGCUUGUUGAGUCUUGAAAAUGUUCAUUAAUUUUGAAAACCCGCGCAGCCUAACAUUUACAGUUUCGUCAUAGUAUAAAUAUAAUUAGAAAAUAAAACCAUAGCGGAAAAUAGAAAUUUAAAUAAUAGCCUUAUUACAACUUAAAACCCAAAAUUAAAUCAGAAUAUAAAAAUAAUAAAAAUAAACUAACCUAGAAAAACCAACUUUGUAGAUGAUGUGGCCACUCCGAAUCCCUCACAGCUCCAAGCCCACUAUGGUUGGGGAUUUCCUGCAGAGAUGAAAAUAAGGGGUGAGUUCGAUAAACUUAGUGUGUAACAUAACCCAACCAUAGCCCAAAACAGAUCAAACCUCAGAGUCAGACUUAUCUAGGCCUUGGCCCAGUACAGAAAUCAGAAUGAAACCCAAAUGCCCAUAGAAGAUACAGAACAAAUAUAUCAUGAAUGCAGAAAUCCCAACCCAGAGCCAUCCAUAACACCCCCGUACCAGCCUUACACCUUGUGGGGAGACUACUCGAGCCAUCCAACCGCUACCCACCACCGAAAUUGCAGCGAGGCUGCCAGAUAUUGUGACGAAGUCACCAGAUAUAGAUAUUGUGGCUAGGCCACCAGAACAGAUAUAUAUAUAUGUGGCGAAGCCACCAGAUUGCAGCGAGGCUACCAGAUAUUGUGACGAAGUCACCAGAACAGAUAUAUGUGGCGAGGCCACUAGAUUGCAGCGAGGCUGCCAGAACGCUUCCUCCAUCAAUAUAAACCCAUGUCCCAUGCAACAUAAAUAAUAUUUCAUGGCAUACGUAUACAGAAACAGAACAUCAUGCUAUUCAAAAAAGAAAUAACCCUAGGGGUAAAAUCGUAACUUUGCAUGCUUAAGGGUAUUUCAGUAAUUAUUACCUAUUGCUAAGGUUUCAUGCUCAUUCUAACGUUUACUAAGUAAUCAAAAGUAUUUACCUAGUCUUUUUACCAAAGUGGGCCCGUUGGCCCAUUUGCCCAUUUUUGGCCCAUUAAGCCCAAAAAUACCGUUGUACACGAAAAUGCACACUCUGCACUCUAAUCAUCCAAAUGCACCAUAUUCAUUAACAACUGUCUCACGAGCGCUCACACGCUCGCGAGUUCACAAAAUACCGAUGUUUUAGUAUUUCGACUUUUACCAAUUCAGUCUAAAAGAGGGUGUCGUUUACACACUUGGUUGAUGACGAUUGAUGACGAUAUCUCCCACGAGAUAAUCCUACAAUCGAUCACUAACACAUUAGACUUACGAAUUAGCGAUAACUAACAUAAAUCCAGGUCAACUAACCCAAUCAUCACACAAGUUAGUCAUUUACGCACGAGGGGCAAAAUAGCCAUUUAACACCCUAGGGGCAAAAUGGUAAUUUUACCCCACCAGGGUAUCUCGAUAAUUCUACCCUACAGGGGUAUUUCGGUAUUUCUACCCAACAAGGGUAUUUUGGUAAUUCUAUCCUACAGGGGUAUUUUCAUAAUUCUACCUUACAGGGGUAUUUCGGUAAUUCUACAACUUAUCCACUUGGGCCUACAGACCUAUUGGGACCACAUGGCCAAUUUCAGCCCAUCGCGGCCCAAAAUAGCCGUCCUACUGCUAGAGUAAUGAGAAAUACACACCUGUUGGGAGACUGCAGUUAAUCCGAGCUCCAAACACUCUUAGCUGACGCCCAACCCAAACGAACACGUCACAAAGCGAAAGGGAUUAGCCAAGAAGGGUAUGCCUACUCUCCUCAUGGUUUGAUCUAUUUAAAGCCAGCUCUCCAUCUACUCUUAUGUUAGCUUCCCGAUGUGGGAUCCCUCCAUCACCAAAGUUUAAAACCAACACCACUCUUGCCGUCCCAACAUAGUAAAAUAAUCAACCUUUGCGUGCCAAGGGAUUCGAACCAAAGUCCUUCACAUGCCAACUCACGCCACACCACUAGGCCAUCAACUCAUUUGUAUCAUAAAUCCAACACAUUAAACUUUAAAGCGCACCUACUUGCUUCCAGAUUUAUUGAAAAGAAAAACCAAAAUAUAUUGCAGGAGCCAGGACUUGAACCUUGGACCCCUUGCUUCCUCUAUGGCGUCACUUCCUUGUCCCCUAAGUGGCGCUACCUUGCCACAACACCAUACACCUUUUUGUGUCAUCUUUUAUCCCUUUACUCUUAAAAGCCCAAACGCCAAUUGCAUCAACUAUUCAUAAAAUUAAAAUUUCGAAGACUACCACGGAUUUAACUUAAGUUUGGGCCUUCCAAAGGCCCACUAACCUACUCAAAUAUAUAUUUUAACUAACCAGAACACAUACAAAUUUUAAAAAUCACAGAAACACAGAAAACCCAAAAAUUGGGGCGUUACAACUCUACCCUCCUUAAAGAAUUUCAUCCUCAAAAUUUUACCUGAAUCAAACAGAUGAGGAUAUUGUUGACGCAUCGCCACUUCUGGCUCCCAAGUAGCUUCCUCUCUGCCCAGAUUACGCCACAGCACCUUUACUAGUGGAACUGAUUUCCUCCUCAAAAUCUUAACAUCUCGAUCCAAAAUCUUCACAGGUUCUUCCUCAAAAGUCAAGUCUGUUUGGACCUCUAUCUCUGCAACCGGCACAACAUGAGUAGGGUCAGAAUGAUACCGCCUUAACAUGGAGACGUGAAAGACAUCAUGAAUCUUAUUCAACUCUGGAGGUAGCUCUAACUGAUAACCCACUGGACCCACUCGCUUAAUAAUCGGAUAAGGCCCAAUGAACCGUGGACUUAACUUGCCUUUCCUCCCAAACCUUAAUAUUUUCUUCCAAGGCAAAACCUUCAAGAAGACCAUAUCACCCACAGAGUAUUCAAUUUCCUUGCGCUUCAAAUCUGCAUAAGACUUUUGUCUAUCAGAUGCUUCCUUCAACUGGUCUUUAAUCAACUUGACCUUAUCCUCAGUAUCUGCCACCAACUCAGGUCCAAGAACCUGUCAUUCACCCAACUCGGUCUAACAACUAGGUGUACGACAUCUUCGCCCAUACAGUGCCUCAUAAGGAGCCAUUCGAAUACUUGCUUGAUAAUUGUUGUUGUAUGCAAACUCUGCCAACAGUAAGUAAUCCUCCCAACUGCCUCGAAAGUCGAUAACGCAUCCCCUCAACAUGUCUUCCAGAAUCUGAAUAACCCUUUCUGACUGACCAUCAGUCUGAGGAUGAAAGGCUGUACUAAAGUUCAACCACGUACCCAACGCCUCAUGCAACUUCUGCCAAAACUGAGAUGCGAAUCUAGGAUCUCGAUCAGAAAUAAUCGACACUGGCACUCCGUAAAGUCGUACUAUUUCUGCCACAUACAAUUUGGCUAACUUCUGAAGUGAAUAAUCAGUGCGGACAGGUAUGAAAUGAGCAGAUUUGGUCAACCUAUCCACAAUUACCCAAAUCGAGUCCUUCUUCGAUGGUGUCAAUGGUAACCCACUCACAAAAUCCAUGGUUACCCUCUCCCACUUCCAAAGUGAUACUUUCACUGACUACAAAAGUCCGAAAGGUAAUUGAUGUUCAACUUUCACUUGCUAACAAGUCAGGCAUUUUCCCACAACUUCUGUUACAUCUCGCUUCAAUCCAGGCCACCAAUACAACUCCUUUAAGUCGAGAUACAUUUUACUCCCUUCAGGAUGCAUAGCACACAGAUCUCCACGAGCUUCUUUCAGAAUUGCUUGCCUUAAGUCAGAGUCCUUCGGAAUACAAACUCUACCUCGGUAACAUAGAACUCCCUCACUGUUCAGUCCAAACUCAGAAGUUUCCCCAUUCUUAACCUGCCAGAAUCGAGAAACCAGGGACUCAUCCCUCGACUGUUUUUCCUUAAUCUUAUCUACCCAGGUCGGCCUAACUUGCAGUUCUGCUAACAGACUACUGUCAUCAUACAGACUCAAACAAGCAAACAUGGCUCUCAGAUCAGAUACAGUUCUACGACUUAGGGCAUCAGCCACCACAUUAGCUUUGCCUAGGUGAUACUCAAUCCCGCAUUCAUAAUCCUUAAGCAACUCUAUCUAUCUCCGCUGCCUAAGGUUUAGCUCCUUCUAAGUCAUCAAGUACUUAAGACUCUUAUGAUCUGUGUAUAUAAUACACCUUUCUCCGUACAGGUAAUGUCUCUAAAUCUAAAGUGCAAAGAUUAGCGCUGCCAACUCCAGAUCAUGAGUAGGAUAGUUAACUUCAUGUGGUUUAAGCUGUCGCGAUGCAUAAGCAACCACUUUACCCUCUUGCAUCAGCACAUAGCCCAACCCUACAUGUGAUGCAUCACUGCAUACGGUAAAAUCUUUUCUAUACUCCGACUGUAUCAGUACAGGUGCCUUGGUCUGAACAUUCUCCAACUUCUCAAAAGAUUCCUAUUGUUUCUCAGUCCAAACAAACGAUACUCCCUUCCUUAUAAGCUUUGUCAAAGGUGCUGCCAUCAUAGAAAAUCCUUCCACAAACCUUCUAUAGUACCCAGCUAAACCCAAAAAACCUCAAAUUUUUGACACUGACUUCGGUGGCUUCCAUUCCAGAAUCGCUUCAAUCUUUUGAGGGUCCACCUUGGUCCUUUCAGCAGAGACAACAUACCCCAUGAAAGUUACCUCUCUCAACCAGAACUCACAGUUACUGAAUUUUGCAUAAAGCUCCUUCUCCCUCAGCACUUGCAGCACAAUACGAAAAUGCUCAUCAUGCUUCUCUUCAGUUUCAGAAUAAACCAGAAUAUCAUCAAUAAAGACGACCACGAAUCGAUCCAAGUAUGGCUGGAACACUCGAUUCAUCAGUUCCAUAAAUGCCGCAGGUGUUUUCGUCAACCCAAAUGGCAUAACCAAGAACUCAUAGUGACCAUACCGAGUUCUGAAUGCCAUCUUGUGAAUAUCCACCUCUUUAACCCUCAACUGAUGAUACCCAGAUCGAAGGUCAAUCUUGGAAAAUACCGAAGCUCCACUAAGUUGGUCGAAUAAAUCAUCGAUUCUCGGUAGUGGGUACUUGUUCUUAAUCGUCAUUUUGUUCAACUGCCGAUAAUCGAUGCACAUCCGCAUUGACCCAUCUUUCUUCUUUACGAACAACACUGGUGCUCCCCACAGAGACACACUUGGUCUAAUGAAGCCUCUAUCCAAUAACUCUUGAAUUUGGGCUUUCAGCUCCACCAACUCCUUAGUUCCAUCCUAUAAGGUGCAAUGGACACAGGUGCCGUUCCAGGCAACAAGUCAAUUCCUAACUCAACCUCUCGGUUUGGCGGCAAACCCGGAAGCUCCUCUGGAAAAACAUCUUGAAAAUCCUUGACGGUUCUAACUUUAUCCACUGUCAGAUCCUCAGUUUUCGAUUGGCUUCCAAAUCCUAAAUAAGCCUCACAUCCCUUUCGAAUCCACUUUUCGGCUUUCAAUGUUGACACCACAUUAGAUAGAUAUUCCCUACGCUCACCUGUCACGUAAACCUCCUCAUCCUUUGUGGUCUUUAACAUCAUUCGUUUAGCAGCACAAUCCAGAGUAGCCCUAUGCUUAACAAGCCAAUCCAUUCAAAAAACAAGAUCGAAUUCUCCGCUCCAUCAGAUCUCCAGAGAAAACUUUUCCUUGAGUUUCUAUAGGCACAUCUCUAUACAGUUUAUCUACCCUAACCGAGUGACCGAAAGGACUUAGUACCAAUACCCCACUCACGAUCUCCUCAGAGCACACACCCAGCGACCCAGGUAUAGGACAUGCUACAUAUGAAUGGGUUGAUCCAACAUCUAUCAACGCAGUGUAUGGUAUACUGGAAAUCAGAAACGUCCCAGUUAUGACGUCAAGUGCAUCACCCUCGUCUUGGCGAAAAGCUGCAUACACCAACGCCAGCUAAUGAGCCUCAACAAAUCCUGCACCCUUACCAGGCGCUCCUCUUCCUCGAUCAUUUCCAUUACCACCUCUGCCUUGCUCACGGCCUCUCGGAAACUGUGGUCCACCCCUCACUGGUUGAGCGACCGUCUGCUCUAAAAUUUGAACCUGAUCUGGUUCCUGGGGAUAAUCCUUAACCCUAUGCUCCAUAUAUCCGCAUCAGAAACAAGCACCAGAACAUUUCCGACUCUCGCCCAUAUGCAUCUUCCCACAAUUCCUACAACCCUGCGGCCUAAAAGCAUUCAUCGGUACUGCUCGAACUGGAUCCAUUACCUUUCCUCUCUUAACAUUCCUCUUCAUACCACCUGAAAGUUCUGAAUCUCUCCUAAAAAGGUUCCGAUCUUUCUCACGAUUCUGUCUUUCUGUAUGCUUCACUUCCUUAGCUACCUUAACUUUCUCCACUAAAGCAAUGAAGUUACGCUCCCUCUGCAGAGCAAUCAGCACCUUAAGUUCAUUUAUCAGACCAUCCUUGAAGCGUACGCUACGCUCAUACUCUAUAGCGACAAUCCUAGAAGCAUACUGGCUCAGUCCCAGAAACUCAGACUCAUACUCAGCCACUGACUUACUCCCUUGGACCAGGUUCAGAAAUUAUUUCCGGCGAGCGUCCACGUAACUAGCCCCAACAUACUUUUCUUUGAAGGCUGUCUUAAAUAGCUCCCAAGUUACACUGUCAGCAGGAGUUCCAUCUCUCACCGUGAGCCACCACUGAUAAGCCUCAUCCUUGAGUAACGAUAUGGCUCCCUUCAGCUUCUGCUCCACAGAGCAAUCCAGAUCAUCCAUAAUCCACUCUGUGGCUUCUAACCAAUACUCAGCCACAUUCGGAGCUACACCAGAUACGCCCCUAAAUAUCUCUACUCCUUUGGCCCGGAUUCGCUCAGAAAUAGACCCCCGAAUUUUGUUUCUCGUACUUGCCCCAGUAACCCUUUCCAAAACUCGGAGCAUUGCCUGUGAUAGAGCAUCAUCCCCGGCACCUCGAUCAUGAGACUCUACCUUCGUUGCCGGUGUUACUGGUGCAUCUGCUGCCGGCACAUGUCUUGAAGAUGAAGAUUCAACCUGAGCAUUACCUCAGCCACGUCCACGCCCUCUUCCACGAGCUGCUCGUGUACUCAUUUCGUAUUAUCUGAUUAAGAAUUUUAUGAAUCAGUUUAAUAUUUCAGUGUUUAUUACAGAUGUCUUAUGAAUAACAUUAAUUUAGAGUUUGAGUUUGUUUCCUUUUGCGGUAGCCUAGCUACAGUUUCAGUCUACUUAUCAGAGUUUCUAUAGUUCCAGUGUUACCCUAACUAAAGUACCAUGAUAAGGUUUUGUACAAGCAUAUAACAGAUAUUUCAGAAACAAUCAGAAAGGCUCAGAAAACUUACAGACUUGGGCCAGAGAUUUGGUGUGCCACCUUCUAAAAAACCUAAUUUUAGAAAACCGAUUAUAAUCUUUAAAAUCAUCUAUUUGUAAAGAGAAAAUAUUGGAAACAUUCUCGAAAACAAUUUAUAAUCAAGUUUCACAAAAAUGAUUUUCGAAAACCUUUAUUCAGUGUUUCUUUACAAACUCCAGUUUUUAGACCCGUUCCACAGCCGAGUUGUUGCAACUUGGCUCUGAAUCCACUAAAUGUAACACCUCAAACCUGGCCCAGACGUUAUUCCCAGAUCUGACGUGUCACAUGGACUUACGACUUAGCAUGCAUUCGUUGGUUUAAAUGAUUGGGGUAGUCUUUGUAAAAACAGCGGCUGAAUGAAAAGCUGGUUUAUCAAUCUUUAGGCUAUCCAUUUGUUGUACUUGUUGAGUCUUGAAAAUGUUUAUUAAUUUUCAAAACUCGCGCAGCUUAACACUAGCAGUUUCGUCAUAGUAUAAAUAUAAUCAGAAAAUAAAACCAUAGCGGAAAAAAGAAAUUUAAAUAGCGACCUUAUUACAACUUAAAACCCAAAAUUAAAUCAAAAUAUAAAAAUAAUAAAAAUAAACUAACUUAGAAAAACCAACUUUGCAGAUGAUGUGGCCACUCCGAAUCCCUCACAGCUCCAAGCGCACUAUGGUUGGGGAUUUCCUGCAGAGAUGAAAAUAAGGGGUGAGUUCGGUAAACUCAGUGUGUAACAUAACCCAACCAUAGCCCAAAACAGAUCAAACCUCAGAGUCAGACUUAUCUAGGCCUUGGCCCAGUACAGAAAUCAGAAUGAAACCCAAAUGCCCAUAGUAGAUACAGAACAAAUAUAUCAUGAAUGCAGAAAUCCCAACCCAGAGCCAUCCAUAACACCCCCGUACCAGCCUUACACCAUGUGGGGAGACUACUCGACCCAUCCAACCGCUACCCACCACCGAAAUUGCAGCGAGGCUGCCAGAUAUUGUGACGAAGUCACCAGAUACAGAUAUUGUGGCUAGGCCACCAGAACAUAUAUAUAUGUGUGUGUGUGUGUGUGUGUGUGGCGAAGCCAUCAGAUUGCAGCGAGGCUGCCAGAUAUUAUGACGAAGUCACCAGAACAGAUAUAUGUGGCGAGGCCACCAGAUUGUAGCGAGGCUGCCAAAACGCUUCCUCCAUCAAUAUAAACCCAUGUCCCAUGCAACAUAAAUAAUAUGUCAUGGCAUACGUAUACAGAAACAGAACAUCAUGCUUUUCAAAAAAAAAUAACCCUAGGGGUAAAAUCGUAACUUUGCAUGCAUAAGGGUAUUUCAGUAUUUAUUACGUAUUGCUAAGGUUUCAUGCUCAUUCUAACGUUUACCAAGUAAUUAGAAGUACUUACCUCGUCUAUUUAUCAAAGUGGGCCCGUUGGCCCAUUUGCCUAUUUUCGGCCCAUUGAGCCCAAAAAUACCAUUGUGCACGAAAAUGCACACUCUGCACUCUAAUCAUCCAAAUGCACCAUAUUCAUUAACAACUGUCUCACAAGUGCUCACACGCUAGCGAGUUCACAAAAUACCGAUGUUUCGGUAUUUCGACUUUUACCAAUUCAGUCUAAAGGAGGGUGUCGUUUACACACUUGGUUGAUGACGAUUGAUGACAAUAUCUCCCACGCGAUAAUCCUACAAUCGAUCACUAAGACAUUAGACUUACGAAUUAACGAUAACUGACAUAAGUCCACAUCACCUAACCCAAUCAUCACACAAGUUAGUCAUUUACGCACGAGGGGAAAAAUAGCCAUUUAACACCCUAGGGGCAAAAUGGUAAUUUUAGCCCACAAGGGUAUCUCGAUAAUUCUACCCUACAGGGGUAUUUCGGUAUUUCUACCCUACAAGGGUAUUUUGGUAAUUCUAUCCUACAGGGGUAUUUUCAUAAUUCUACCUUACAGGGGUAUUUCGGUAAUUCUACAACUUAUCCACUUGGGCCUACAGACCUAUUGGGACCACAUGCCCAAUUUCAGCCCAUCGCGGCCCAAAAUAGCCGUCCUACUGCUAGAGUAAUGAGAAAUACACACCUGUUGGGAGACUGCAGUUAAUCCGAGCUCCAAACACUCUUAGCUGACGCCCAACCCAAACGAACACGUCACAAAGCGAAAGGGAUUAGCCAAGAAGGGUAUGCCUACUCUCCUCAUGGUUUGAUCUAUUUAAAGCCAGCUCUCCAUCUACUCUUAUGUUAGCUUCCCGAUGUGGGAUCCCUCCAUCACCAAAGUUUAAAACCAACACCACUCUUGCCGUCCCAACAUAGUAAAAUAAUCAACCUUUGCGUGCCAAGGGAUUCGAACCAAAGUCCUUCACAUGCCAACUCACGCCACACCACUAGGCCAUCAACUCAUUUGUAUCAUAAAUCCAACACAUUAAACUUUAAAGCGCACCUACUUGCUUCCAGAUUUAUUGAAAAGAAAAACCAAAAUAUAUUGCAGGAGCCAGGACUUGAACCUUGGACCCCUUGCUUCCUCUAUGGCGUCACUUCCUUGUCCCCUAAGUGGCGCUACCUUGCCACAACACCAUACACCUUUUUGUGUCAUCUUUUAUCCCUUUACUCUUAAAAGCCCAAACGCCAAUUGCAUCAACUGUUCAUAAAAUUAAAAUUUCGAAGACUACCACGGAUUUAACUUAAGUUUGGGCCUUCCAAAGGCCCACUAACCUACUCAAAUAUAUAUUUUAACUAACCAGAACACAUACAAAUUUUAAAAAUCACAGAAACACAGAAAACCCGAAAAUUAGGGCGUUACAACUCUACCCUCCUUAAAGAAUUUCAUCCUCAAAAUUUUACCUGAAUCAAACAGAUGAGGAUAUUGUUGACGCAUCGCCACUUCUGGCUCCCAAGUAGCUUCCUCUCUGCCCAGAUUACGCCACAGCACCUUUACUAGUGGAACUGAUUUCCUCCUCAAAAUCUUAACAUCUCGAUCCAAAAUCUUCACAGGUUCUUCCUCAAAAGUCAAGUCUGUUUGGACCUCGAUCUCUGCAACCGGCACAACAUGAGUAGGGUCAGAACGAUACUGCCUUAACAUGGAGACGUGAAAGACAUCAUGAAUCUUAUUCAACUCUGGAGGUAGCUCCAACUGAUAACCCACUGGACCCACUCGCUUAAGAAUCUGAUAAGAACCGCAGACUUAACUUUUCUUUCCUCCCAAACCUUAAUAUUUUCUUCCAAGGCGAAACCUUUAAGAAGACCAUAUCACCCACAGAGUAUUCAAUUUCCUUGUGCUUCAAAUCUGCAUAUGACUUCUGUCUAUCAGAUGCUUCCUUCAACUGGUCUCUAAUCAACUUGACCUUAUCCUCAGUAUCUGCCACCAACUCAGGUCCGAGAACCUUCGUUCACCCAACUCGGUCCAACAACUAGGUGUACCACAUCUUCGCCCAUACAGUGCCUCAUAAGGAGCCAUUCGAAUACUUGCUUGAUAAUUUUUGUUGUAUGCAAACUCUGCCAAUAGUAAGUAAUCCUCCCAACUGCCUCGAAAGUCGAUAACGCAUUCCCUCAACAUGUCUUCCAGAAUCUAAAUAACCCUUUCUGACUGACCAUCAGUCUGAGAAUGAAAGGCUGUACUAAAGUGCAACCGCGUACCCAAUGCCUCAUGCAACUUUUUCCAAAACUGAGAUGUGAAUCUAGGAUCUCGAUCAGAAAUAAUCGACACUGGCACUCUAUGAAGUCGCACUAUUUCUUCCACAUACAAUUUGGCUAACUUUUGAAGUGAAUAAACAGUGCGGACAGGUAUGAAAUGAGCAGAUUUGGUCAACCAAUCCACAAUUACCCAAAUCGAGUCCUUCUUCGACGGUGUCAAGUGUAACCCACUCACAAAAUCCAUGGUUACUCUCUCCCACUUCCAAAGUGGUACUUUCACUGGCUGCAAAAGUCCGGAAGGUAAUUGAUGUUCAACUUUCACUUGCUGACAAGUCAGACAUUUUCCCACAACUUCUGUUACCUCUCGCUUCAAUCCAGGCCACCAAUACAACUCCUUUAAGUCGCGAUACAUUUUACUCCCUUCAGGAUGCAUAGCACACAGACCUCCAUGAGCUUCUUUCAGAAUUGCUUGCCUUAAGUCAGAGUCCUUCGGAAUAUAAACUCUUCCUCGGUAACACAGAACUCCCUUCCUAUUCAGUCCAAACUCAGAAGUAUCCCCAUUCUUAACCUACUGGAAUCGAGAAACCAGGGACUCAUCCCUCGACUAUUUUUCCUUAAUCUCAUCCACCCAGGUCGGCCUAACUUGUAGUUCUGCUAACAGACUACCGUCGUCAUACAGACUCAAACGAGCAAACAUGGCUCUCAGAUCAGAUACAGUUCUACGACUUAGGGCAUCAGCCACCACAUUAGCUUUGCCUAGGUGAUACUCAAUCGCGCAGUCAUAAUCCUUAAGUAACUCUAUCUAUCUCCGCUGCCUAAGGUUCAGCUGCUUCUGAGUCAGCAAGUACUUAAGACUCUUAUGAUCUGUGUAUAUAAUACACCUUUCUUCGUACAGGUAAUGUCUCCAAAUCUUAAGUGCAAAGAUUACCGCUGCCAACUCCAGAUUAUGAGUAGGAUAGUUAACUUCAUGUGGUUUAAGCUGUCGCGAUGCAUAAGCAACCACUUUACCCUCUUGCAUCAGCACACAGCCCAACCCUACAUGUGAUGCAUCACUGCAUACGGUAAAAUCUUUUCCAGACUCUGACUGUAUCAGUACAGGUGCCUUGGUCAGAACUUUCUCCAGCUUCUCAAAAGAUUCCUAUUGUUUCUCAGUCCAAACAAAUGGUACUCCCUUCCUAAUAAGCUUUGUCAAAGGCGCUGCCAUCACAGAAAAUCCUUCCACAAACCUUCUAUAGUACCUAGCUAAACCCAAAAGACUUCGAAUUUUCGACACUGACCUCGGUGGCUUCCAUUCCAGAAUCGCUUCAAUCUUUCGGGGGUCCAACUUGAUCCCUUCAGCAGAGACAACAUGCCCCAAGAAAGUUACCUCUCUCAACCAGAACUCACACUUAUUGAAUUUCGCAUAAAGCUCCUUCUCCCUCAGUACUUGCAGCACAAUACGAAGAUGCUCAUCAUUCUUCUCCUCAGCUUCAGAAUAAACUAGAAUAUCGUCGAUAAAGACGACCACGAAUCGAUCCAAGUAUGGCUGGAACACUCUAUUCAUCAGAUCCAUAAAUGCCGCAGGUGCUUUCGUCAACCCAAAUGGCAUAACCAAGAACUCAUAGUGACCAUACCAAGUUUUGAAUACUGUCUUGUGAAUAUCCACCUUUUUAACCCUCAACUGAUGAUACCCAGAUCGAAGGUCAAUCUUGGAAAAUAUCGAAGCUCCUCUAAGUUGGUCGAAUAAAUCAUCGAUUCUCGGCAGUGGGUACUUGUUCUUAAUCGUCAUUUUGUUCAACUGCCGAUAAUCAAUGCACAUCCGUAUUGACCCGUCUUUCUUCUUUACGAACAACGCUGGUGCUCCUCACGGAGACACACUUGGUCUAAUGAAGCCUCUAUCCAAUAACUCUUGUAUUUCGGCUUUCAGCUCCACCAACUCCUUCGGUUCCAUCCUAUAAGGUGUAAUGGACAUCGGUGCCGUUCCAGGCAACAAGUCGAUUCCAAACUCAACCUUUCGAUUGGCUUACAAAUCCUAAAUAAGCCUCACAUCCCUUUCGAAUCCACUUCUCGGCUCUCAAUGCCGAAACCACAUUAGACAGUUAAUCCCUACGCUCGCCUAUCACCAAAACCUCCUCACCUUUAUGUUCUUUAACAUCAUUCGCUUAGCAGCACAAUCCAGAGUAGCCCUAUGCUUAACAAGCCAAUCUAUUCCCGAAAGAAGAUCGAAUUCUCCGAAAGGUAGCUCCAUCAAAUCUCCAGAGAAAACUUUUCCUUGAGUUUCUAUAGGCACAUCUCUAUACAGUUUAUCUACCCUAACCGAGAGACCCAAAGGACUUAGUACAGAUACCCCACUCACGAUCUCCUCAGAGCGCACACCCAGCGACCCAGAUAUAGGACAUGCAACAUAUGAAUGGGUAGAUCCAACAUCUAUCAACGCAGUGUAUGGCAUACUGGAAAUCAGAAACAUACUAGUUAUGACGUCAGGUGCAUCACCCUCCUCUCGGUGACGAGCUGCAUACUCCAACGCCGGCUGACGAGCCUCAGCAAAUCCAGCACCUCUGCCAGGCGCUCCUCUUCCUCGAUCGUUUCCAUUACCACCUCUGCCUUGCCCACGUCCUCUCAAAAACUGUGGUCCACCACUCACUGGUUGAGUGACCCUCUGCUCUAAAACUUGAACCUGAUCUGGUUCCUGGGGACAAUCUUAACCCUAUGCUCCAUAGAUCCGCAUCGGAAGCAAGCACCAGAACGUUUCUGACACUCGCCCAUAUGCAUCUUCCCAUAAUUCUUACAACCCUGCGGCCUAACAGAAUUCAUCGGUACUACUUGAACUGGCUCCAUUACCCUUGCUCUCUUAACAUUCCUCUUCAUACCACCUGAAAGUCCUGAAUCUCUCCUAAAAUGGUUCUGAUCUUUCUCACGAUUCUGUUUUUCUGUAUGCUUCACUUCCUCAGCUAUCUUAGCUUUCUCCACUAAAGCAGUGAAGUUAAGCUCCCUAUGCGGAGUAAUCAGCACCCUAAGUUCAUCGCUCAGACCAUCCUCGAAGCGUACGCUACGCUCAUACUCUAUAGCGACAAUCCCAGAAGCAUACUGGCUCAGUCUUAGAAACUCAGACUCAUACUCAGCCACUGACUUACUCUCUUCGACCAGGUUCAGAAAUUCUUUCCGGUGAGUGUCCACGUAACUAGCCCCAACAUACUUUCCUUUGAAGGCUGUCUUAAACAGCUCCCAAGUCACACUGUCAGCAGGAGUUCCAUCUCUCACUAUGAGCCACCACUGAUAAGCCUCGUCCCUGAGUAACGAUAUGGCUCCCUUCAACUUCUGCUCCACAGAGCAAUCCAGAUCAUCCAUAAUCCACUCUGUGGCUUCUAACCAAUACUCAGCCACAUUCAGAGCUACACCAGAUACGCCCCUAAAUAUCCCUGCUCCAUUGGCCUAGAGCCGCUCAGAAAUAGACCCCCGAAUUUUGUUUCUCGUACUUGCCCCAACAACCCUUUCCAAAACUCAGAGCAUUGCCUGGGACAGAGCAUCGUCCUCGGCACCUCGAUCAUGAGACUCUACCUCCGUUGCCGGUGGUACCGGUGCAUCUACUGCCGGUACAUGUCUUGAAGAUGAAGAUUCAGCCUGAGCAUUACCUCGGCCACGUCCACGGCCUCUUGCACGAGCUGCUUGUGUACUCAUUUCUUAUUAUCUGUUUAAGAAUUUUAUGAAUCAGUUUAAUAUUUCAGUGUUUAUUACAGAUGUCUUAUGAAUAACCGUAAUUCAAAGUUUGAGUUUGUUUCUUUUUGCGGUAGCCUAGCUACAGUCUCAGUCUACUUAUCAGAGUUUCUAUAGUUCCAGUGUUACCCUAACUAAAGUACCAUGAUAAGGUUUUGUACAAGCAUAUAACAGAUAUUUCAGAAACAAUUAAAAAGGCUCAGAAAACUUACAGACUUGGGCCGGAGAUUCGGUGUGCCACUUUCUAAAAAACCUAAUUUUAGAAAACCGAUUUUAAUCUUUAAAAUCAUCUAUUUGUAAAGAGAAAAUAUUGGAAACAUUCUUGAAAACAAUUUAUAAUCAAGUUUCAAAAAAACGAUUUUUGAAAACCUUUAUUCAGUGUUUCUUUACAAACUCCCAUUUUUAGACCCGUUCCAUAGUCGAGUUGUUGCAACUUGACUCUGAUACCACUAAAUGUAACACCUCAAACCCGGCCCAGACGUUAUUGCCAGAUCUGACAUGUCACAUGGACUUACAACUUAGCAUGCAUUCGUUGGUUUAAAUGAUUGGGGUGGUCUUUGUAAAAAUAGCGGUUGGAUGAAAAGCUGGUUUAUCAAUCUUUAAGCUAUCCAUUUGUUGUGCUUGUUGAGUCUUGAAAAUGUUCAUUAAUUUUGAAAACUCGCGCAGCCUAACACUAGCAGUUUCGUCAUAGUAUAAAUAUAAUUAGAAAAUAAAACCAUAGCGGAAAAUAGAAAUUUAAAUAGUGACCUUUUUACAACUUAAAACUAAAAAUUAAAUUAGAAUAUAAAAAUAAAAAAAAAUAAACUAACUUAGAAAAACCAACUUUGCAGAUGAUGUAGCCACUCCGAAUCCCUCACAGCUCUAAGCCCAUUAUGGUUCGGGAUUUUCUGCAGAGAUGAAAAUAAGGGGUGAGUUCGGUAAACUCAGUGUGUAACAUAACCCAACCAUAGCCCAAAACAGAUCAAACCUCAGAGUCAGGCUUUAUCAAUGGUAUUAUUGAAUUAUCAAUGGUAUUAUUGAAUUAUAAAAUUAAAAAGACAACAACAAUUCAGCUGUAAUAUCCCGAAUUAGGGCCUACAAAAUUCAUAAUAAAUUGGCUACAAAAUUCAUAGUAACUUUGUCCCAUUUCUUACUCGAUGUCAACAGUAAAUUGGCUACAAAAUUCAUAGUAACUUUGUCCCAUUUCCACUUAGAUAUUAUGAUCGGCUGAAGCAAUCUAGAAGGUACCUAAUGUUCGGCUUGUACUUGCUGACAGACUAAACAUUUCGAAACAAAAUAAGAAAUGUCUCGUUUCAUGCCAUGCCACCAGUAAAACUGUUUUAGAUCAUUAUACAUUUUCGUACUACCCGGCUGAACAGAUAAUCGACUAUUAUGAGCUUCUUUCAAAAAUCAUCUGAAUCAACUCUGGAUUUCUCGAAACACAUAUUCGAUUUCUAAACCUCAUAUAAUAUUCAGUAUCAAGUCGAAACUCUGAAUCAAUAUUCAAAUCACAUUAGCCCCGUUUUGCUAAUAAUUUAUUAUCAACUUUCUAAGCCUCAUAAAUAUGUUGAAUAUAUAACGGUCUUACUUUUAACUUGACUAUAAUUGCACCAUCAUCAGAUGUAGUCAUAUGCGCAUUCAUUGCACGUAAAGCAAACAGUGAUUUUUGGCUUAGAAUAUUUGCAACAACAUUAGCCUUUCCCAGAUGAUAGUCUAUCACAAUCUCGUAAUCUUUUAACAUAAAUUAGAUCUUUCUGAGUCAUCUAAUAUUUCAGGCUUUAGUUAUCAGAAUAAAUGUGUCAUUUUUUUACUGAACAGAUAUUGACGCCAUAUUUUCAUUACAAACACAAUAGCUACCAAUUCCAGGUUGUGUGUCGGAUAUUUCUUUUCAUGCAGCUCUAACUGUCUCGAUGCAUAAGCUAUGACUUUGCCUUCCUGCAUUAAUACACACCCCAAACCAUUUAAAGAUGCAUCACUAUAGAUAACAAUUUUUUUACCCGAUUCUGGCUGAUUUAAUAUUAGAGCUUCGAUUAAAAGGGCUUUCAAGUGAUCAAAACUUUUCUGACCUCUCGAACUUAACGUCUUUAUGUAAUAGCUUUGUCAUCGGGAUUGCAAUCAUAGAGAAACCUUUCACGAACCGUCUAUAAUAACCAGCAAGUCCUAGAAAACUUCAGUCUUUAGAAACAUUUCUCGGAGGUUUCCAAUCAAGUAUAGCUUAAAUUUUACUCGGAUCAACAAGAAUACUUGAUGCUGAUAUAACAUGUCCCAGAAAACAAACUUCACGUAACCAGAACUCACAGUUGCUGAAUUUUGUGUACAAUUGUUUAUCUCGCAAAGUCUGUAAUACAAGUCUCAGAUGUUUGGCAUGUUCAGUUUCAUCACGGAAAUAGAUCAAUAUGUCAUCUAUGAACACAACUAAAAAUCAAUUCAGAUACUGUCUAAAGAUCCAGUUCAUCAAAUCCAUAAAAAUAAGCAGGUGCAUUAGUAAGUCUGAAAGGCAUAACCAAAAACUCAUAGUGUCUGUACCUCAUUUGUAAAGCAGUCUUUGGCACAUCGGAGUUUUUAACUCGCAACUGAUAAUAACUUGAUCUCAAAUCUAUCUUUGAAAACACUGUAGUCCCUUUCAGUUGAUCGAACGGAUUGUCAAUCCAUGGCAACAAAUAUUUAUUCUUUAUAGUCACGUUAUUGUGCUGUCUAUAGUUAAUAUACAUUUUCAUAGUUCCGUCUUUCUUUUUCACAAAUAAAACUGGUGCACCCUAGGGAAAGAAACUCGAUCGCAUGAAACCUUUAUUUGUCAACUAUUGCAGCUGAGCUUUCAAUUCUUUUAAUUCAGUAGGUGCCAUUCUAUACGGAGCUAUCGAUAUCGGACUCGUCCUCAGCACUAAUUGAAUACCAAGCUCUACUUCUCGGAUAGGUGGCAAACCUGGUAAUUCUUUAGGAAACACAUCCAGAUACUCGCACACAACUGGUACUAAUUCAAUCUUUCUUUCGAUCACUUUACUAUCAAGCACAUAGCAAAGUAAGCUUUACAACCUUUUCUCACAUACUUCUAAGCUAACAUCGAAGAUAUCAUUGCCGGUAAACCAUUCAAAUCAUUAAACUCAAUCUAGUUAAUCUCAUCAUUUAGGUAUCUCAAAUCAAUAGCCUCUCGUUUGCAAUUUACAACAACAUAAUGCAAAAUCAACCAAUCCAUACUCAGAAUUAUAUCGAAAUCGUAAUGGUAACAACAUCAAAUCAACCAAAAAAUAUGAAUCUCGAACUAUCAACAAACAAUUCUUACACAUUUUAUCAACCAGAACACACCGACCCAAAGGGUUCGAUAUUCUAAUCACAAACUUAGCAGACUCUACAAGCAAAGUCUUACUGGAUACUAAGGUUUCAUGUACAUAAGAAUGAGUCGAACUAGAAUCAAUCAAUGCAAUUACACUAGUAUUAUAGAGAGUUAAUAAACCAGUAAUAACAUCUGGGGUUGAAACCUCCUCACAAACGUGAAUAGCAUAAUUUCUGACAGGUGCACGAGCCUUAGAUCUAACUACUGUGUCUUUAGCUCCUCUCUAACUACUACUUACAUUUCCCGCAUUUCUAGGAAAUCUACUCUUGGCUGAAGUGUUACUUAAUCUCAAAUUUUGCACAAUCUCUUGCUCAACCGACUUGGGACAAUCUCAGAUAAAGUGAUCAAAGGAUCUACAUCUAAAACAAUCUUGAUUAUUCAAUCUACAAAUACCCGGAUGUAUUUUACCACAAUGUUUGCACUUAGGUUGAUCAGAUCUAACAUUUUCAACACUAGUGAUCGAAGUAGUUGGAGUUCUAAAGCUCAAAUGUGAUCUAUCACAAUCUCUACUCGAGUGUUUGACAUUAGCCUUUGUGCGGCUAAAAUCAUCUCAGAAUUUCUUUGUUGCAGACUAAAAUGAUUUGCCCGAUGAUCUCUCACGGGAAUCAUUGGCUUCAAAAUCAACUUUUCUUUUCUUUUCUUUUUGUAUAACUUGGGAAGUUACAGGAACUUCAGGGGUGGAGGUUGUUGAGCAGUUGGAUUCAUUCGAACGAACUCCGUGAACCACUCAUUCAUUAACUGGAAGAAGGCUUGCUUAGCCUCUCCCUCUAUACUACUCGAAAUCGGCCUAGAAUCAACCGGCGCAGCCCUCUGAGUAGGAGCAAGCACAUUAUCUUCCAUGUCAUCCGUUACAGCUCGAUCGGGAUCCAUUUCUAUAAGAAAAGACAUUUUUAACUGUUAUGAAUCAUCACACUAUCGCAGUUUAUAAUUAUGGCAUGUAUAGCUAAACUCACACGUGCUACGUUAGUGCUAGAACCGACUAAACUGUAGCUCUAAUACCAAUCAAAUGUAACACCCCUAACCCGUGUCCAUCGUCGGAAUGAGAUUAAGAGCCAUUACUAGAAAGAUACAACUUUCAUACAUUCUUACAGUCACUCAAAUCAUAUUCGAAGGUAUACAUUUGUAACUUCAGUUAACAAUUCUUGAAUCAUUUACACAUAAUACAAAACAAUUUUUAUUAAACUCACAUAUAAUCAACUUGUUAGCUUAUAACCUAAAUUACUAUUCAUAUGGUCAAUUUCCAAUACAUUAACUGAAUAUUAAAACAUACUAUAUACAUAUGCAUUGGUCAAUGUCAACUUUCAUUUUUCUUUAUUACUAUAUAUGCAUAUAACAUUUUUUUAUAAUCAAACCACUAUGUCAAUCUUCACAUAUUUAACAAUCCACAAACCAAUUCAAAGCAUAAUUACCAAAUCAAACAUACCAAAAUUUAAAUGCCAACAUCAUGAAAAAAUUACAAAUACAUGAUCAAUUCAUUUGCUCACCUAUUCGGCCACCAAGAUUAAUCAUAUAUGUAAUACAAAUUAUGCCAUUCAACCACAAGCUUAAAUAAACCAUUUUCUAAUCAAAACAAAGUUGAUCAUUUCACAACCAAUGAUUUCAUAAGCCUAAUUUAUAACUAAACCUAUGACCACUCGAAUAUAAUCCUGCAUUAAUUCACUUAGUAACUAGUCAUAUAACCAUUACAACAUGUUUAUAAUAUAAUCAUGAAAUCAAAUCAAUUCAAACUAAUUUAUAAGUACAAAUGUCGAAUCCAAACAUGCUAAUUAUACAUACUAUGCAUUAUACCAAAAUUUAACCCAAUACCAACUUACUUUAUAUCAAUUCGGGUAGUAAAGUUAACCACAAAAAUCAUACAAAUUUUUUAUACUUUAUAAUAAACCAAAACAUCACCUAAUAAGCUAAUAUAUAAAUAUACAACAUAUUGGGCAUUUCUAAUUGUCGAAUCAUAUGAUCAACACUACCACAUAUAUGCCAUAUAUUAAAUUUAUCAGUAUGACUAAUUUAUAAGUCAUACAUAUCAAUACUCGACUUAAUCAUAUAACCAAAACACCAUUCAAUCAUGCCAUGGAGUAUACUUAUCAUUAUAUAUAUUUAUUUUAUGUCAAUUUACUAAAUCAUCAAUAAGCCUAAUAAACAAGUAGAACCAUAUAACUUAAUAUCACAUAUAUAUAUACACCAUGAAAUACACUUCCAUGUUGAAAUAAGGCAUAGCCACAAACACACAAACUUUAACCUUAUCAAACCCAAAUAUCCACAGCUCACUUAUUAUAAAUUCAAAUACAUGAAUCAUAAUUUCAAUUUCAGAAAUAAUUAUACCUGAUUAAUCAUGUAUCAUAAAAGAGCACAUUUCAAAAUUCCAUCUAAUUCAAUUCGAACAUACAUCAAAACCCAAUUGAACAUGUUUCAUAAUUGCUAAUUUCGAGCCUAACAUACAAUAAUAAUAUUUUUAUAAUAAAACCAUUACUAUCAAAUACAAGACAUAACCAAAACAUUUUAACCAUGAAUAACAUAAUAAGCAUAAUUCAUACUGAUGUAUAUACCAUGGCCAAUUCCAAACAAACCACAUCCAAAAUCACAAUCAAACAUAACCAUAAUUCAAUCAAAACUUGAAACCGGACUUAACAAUUAAACAAGCCAUUUUUGUAUGGCUUAUAUAUAUACACAUACCAAAAUCAUCAUAUCCAAAAAAAUAAUCUAGCCUAUACAUGCCAUAACUUUGAAAUUCAACUUAUAAAAUACCAAAAACAAUCGAUAGUGUGAUAAGCUUCUUUGAUGAUCCUCGAGUCCGUAACUAAUCUCCAAAAUCUGUAAGACAGAAGCAAACACACACAGAGAGUAAGCUAACAUAGCUUAGUAAGUCAUAAGCAAAUAAGACAUUUAAUCACAUUUAUAAUUUAAUUUAACGAAUAUUAUAAAUUCACAUACAACAUAUACUUUUAUAUAUAAACUUUAUGUUGGUCGAAUAUACAAAUAUUUAUUAUCAAAAUAUCAUUCAAUUUUAAAGCCAUAAUAUUAUUAUAUAACCGAAUAUAUAUAGAUUUAUAUGCAUAUACUCAUUAAUCAUCUCAUAAGUAUUCACAUUUUAAAAUCACAACAUCGAAAAUAACCAUUCAUAUAUGUUUGCACAUAGAUCACAAAUAUGAUAUCUAUUAUAUGUAACCUUUUUUCGAAUAUACUUUUCAUAUACACGUAUAUUUUCAUUUGCAUCAUAUAUAAUUUGUAUCAAAUAUCAAAUAACCAACUUACCUUAUUUUCAAAUAGAUAAUCAACUAUCUCAUACCCGAUCACUUUAGCUCGAUUUACACAUUCAAUUACAACUUAUCAUUGCCCAUUGAACUAUUCAGAAUUGAAUAGGAUACUCGGAUAAUCACACAUAUCGUACAAUGCCAACGUUCCAGACGUGGUCUUACAUGUUAUCACAUAUCGAUGCCACUGUCCCAGACAGGGUCUUACUCGUACACACAUAUCAGAAUCACAUAUCGAUGCCAACAUAUUAAACGUGGUCUUACUCGCACACAUAUAUCGAUGCCAACGUAUUAAAUGUGGUCUUACUCGCACACAUAUAUCAAUGCCAUGGUCUUACUAGCACAUCACAUAUCAGAAUCCUAUGUCAUGACAUAUGCAUCCUAGCUAUUCCCAAGGUUCAUAUGGGGCUUUCGGACGUCGUAACACUGUCGAAACGAACUUGUAAACAUAGUUCCCAAGUAUAAACACAUUCGUCUAUCAUAUAUAUACAAGCUCAUAAAAUUUAAAUCAGCAUUCUACAUUCACAUAUAUUCAAAAUUUUAUAGCAUUUAUUUACUUAAAAACUUACCUCAGACAACGAUAAUCGAAACAGAAUGACUAAUCGACAUCUUUAGUUUUCCCCCAAUCCAAAUCCGAUUUCUUUAGUUCUUGAUCUAAACAUAUUCAAAUUAAACUCAUUCAAACAUAAUUCUAUUCAGUUCAGUCCAAAAACACAUAAAUGGGAAAAUUACCAUUUUACCCCUGACCUUGUACACUUUUUACAAUUUAGUCCAAAUUGCACAAAACACAAAACAUGCAAAAUUUGAAUACACUAUCUUAGGUAGAAUAUUCCUUAUGUUCAUACAAGUCCAUACAUUUGAAUAAACUAUUUAGUCCUAAUUACUCAAAAUUAUCAAAAAUUCCAAUACAAAACAUGUUAAUCCAAAACAUAUAUUUCAUAUUUCAUCAACUAACAUCACAAAACUCAAAUAUUGAUCAAUGGAAUAGCUCAAAAUAUUCAUCAAAAUAAAAAAUUCAAACAUGGGCUUUGUACAUUACACUACAACGAUCUCAAAAACAUAAAAAAUAUCAAAAACCGAGCUAAAACUCACAUUGAAUGAAGCUUGCUAAUGGAUGAAUAACUUAAGCUUUGUUUCUUUUCUUUCUUUCUCAAUUUCAGUCAAGUGUAUGAGUAAAAUGCAUGACUUUUAAUUUUUUGUUUUAUAUUAAUAUAAUUUAUUAAUCAUUUUACCAAUAUAACCUUUAUAAUUUAAUAAUUAAAACUUAUACAUUAAGGCUAUAACCGUCCAUCACUUUAUCAAUGGUAUUAUUGAAUUAUAAAUACCUCAAAUUAAAAAGAGAACAACAAUUCAUCCCUUUCACAUUUAACCAUUAAAUUUUUAUUUUAUGCGAUUAAGCCCUUUUUAUUAAAUCGGCACUCAAACGACAAAAUUAAAACACAAAAAUUUCAUAGAUAUAAAUUCACACAUAAUAAACACAGAAAAUAAUUUUAAAAUAUUUUUUUGACUUGGAUUCAUGGUCCCAAAACCACCAUUCUGAAUAGGGUCUAAAUCGGGCCGUUACACUCUGAAUCAACUUUCCUCUUUUCUCGGCUAGAGGCUUCGGCUUUGCAAGCUUGGCCAACUAACACAACAAAUUCUUUCAAAUCCAAAAUCCUGACCAGAAUUUUAAUAUCCUCGUUUAACCCAUCAAAAAAUCGCUUGCACAUAAUCUCUUCAGUAGAAACAUACUCCUGAGCAUAUUUAUUCAACUGUACAAAUUCUCUCUCGUACUCGGUUACGGUCAUAUGGCCCUGUUUCAGUUCUAGAAACUCUUUAUGUUUUUUAUCCAGAAAUCAUUGGCUUAUAUAUUUCUUCCCAAACUCAGUUUGAAAGAAAUCCCAAAUGACUCUCUCUCUUGGCACCACUGAUACUAGCAUAUUCCACCACUGAUAUACGGUGUGUCUCAAUAGUGAUAUAGCACAUUUUAAACAUUCAGCCGGUGCGCAAGAAAGUUGAUCAAAUACUUUGAUAGUGUUUUCAAGCCAAAACUUAGCUCUCUCAGAAUCAUCGUCAACAUUAACUUUGAACUAUUCAGCCCUGUGUUUACGAAUCUUAUCAAUUGGGGUCUUAUUCAAUCUUAAAAGCUCGACUCCUUAAGGAGCUAUGGAAACUAGUUGGGGAUUAGGAGGGGGUGGAGGUUGUUGAGCAGCUGGGUUCAUUUGAAUAUAUUGUGUGAACCACUUAUUCAUCAUUUAGAAGAAGGCUUCUCUACCCUCUCCUACCUGGCUACCCAACACGGGUCUAGAAUCAGACGAUGUUGUCCCUUGAGUGGGAGCGGACACAUUACUUUUAACCUCAUCAGCUAUAGCUCGACUGGGAUCCAUUCACUAUAUGAAAACACAUUUUAAAAUGUCAGAAGUCAUCAAACUAUCACAGUGUAUAUAUGGAAUGUAUAGCUAGACUCUCAUAUACGCUACAUUAGUCCUAGAAUCGAGUAAACCGUAGCUCUGAUACCAAUAAAUGUAACACCCUUCACUCGUAUUCAACACCAGAAUGGGGUUAUAGAGCGUUACCUAACUUAUAAAACAAUUAAACAAUCAUGUCGCAAACAUUUUCUGAAUUCAACCAUUCACCAUUCAAUCUUAAUCAAUUUGUCCUUAAUACGAGCCUACGAGGCCGUAAACAUACCUUGGGAGUGGUUCGGGACUAAACCGAUAACUUAUGAAACUUUACGAAACUUAAAAAAAUUUUCCUCAAAAAAUGGGACACACCCCCGUGUGGCCAGGCUGUAUGUCUCACACGGCCACUAGACACGCCCGUGUCAUAGGCCGUGUAGACAUUCAAAACAGGAGCACAUGGCCGUGUCCCAGCCUAUGUCUAACCCUUUGUAACUCUCUGACUUGGAUCGCACGGCCAACACACACGCCUGUGUGCCCUAAAAAUGGUCACACACGCCCGUGUGGUAAGCCGUGCCAAACUUAUAAGGUAUACUGACUUAUGCCACACGGCCAAGUAACACGCCCGUGUAUAAGGUUGUGUGGAACAUAAUGACUUGUUUUCAGAUUCAAUACCAGGGGACACACCGCCGUGUACUUGAUCGUGUGUUACACACGGCUGAGACACACGCUCGUGUAGAAAAAAAUAGGCUAUUUACCAAGCCAAUUUGCCACCCAAAUAUGCAUAUACCUACACAACCAAAAUGGCAUCAAAUCAUAGCAUAAUUGAACAUCUCAUUUAGCAAUAAUCAAGGCUAAUUCAUACCAUUUUCAAUGCUAACAACCAACAUGCUUAUAAACUCAUGUUUUACUCAUUCAAAACAUACCAAAUACCAAUUACUUCAACAUCAAUAUAUCUAAACUCAAAUAUGCAUUAUUUGGUCUAAUUUCAAUAGCAUACCAAUUCACAAAUCAUCACCUAUUGACAUUCAAUUUACCUAUUCACAACAAGCAUCAUGAAUAAAACUUCAAUCACGCAAUAUAAGUCAUUUACCAACUCAAAACAAAAGUCAUUUGCACACUGAUAUACAUCAUCAAAUUCACCAUCCUAGGCCAACUUAUAUGAUUAUAUAUACAAACCAAAAUAUGUACAUUUACAAGCCAAUUCAUUUGGCCAAUGUCAUUACCAAAACAUAACCAAAAUGACCAAAGUCCCUAUACAUGUCAUAUACUUAAAAUUCCAAGUUCAUAGGUACCAAAAGAUAGGUGGAUAGUGUGAUGCGAUCUCCGACAGUCCCCGAAUAUGAGCUACCUUUGAUACCGCAAUAAAACAAAGGAAAAUAAACAAUGUAAGCUAUAAAUCUUAGUAAGAUCGUAUGAAAUAAACUCUAUGCAAUCACAUAAACAUAAAUUGAUAAUUUGAAUACAACAAUAUAUAGCUUUCCUUAACUAUGAAACCUUUCAAAUGCUCAUUCACAAAACUAUAUACUUCCAUUCUCAUUUCUUUGAUUCAACACUAAAAUAGUUUAUACACAUACCUGUAUCAUCUCGUACCAACCUCAUAUCCAUUCUCAUCUUUCAUUUACCUGUUGAACCAUUCAAAAUAGAAGUCGGAUACUCAAGGGUCUCACACGACAAGUACCUAUACCAUGGCCAUAAGCUAAAUCAAGGUAACUUAUCCGAAAAACUGAUAUCAUGGCCCAAAGGCAAAUCAGCUGAUAUGCAUGGCCCGAAGCCAAAUCGGUUUAUCUUGCACCCAAAGUGCUAUAUCAUGGCCCGAAGCCAACUCAAAGUAUCCCUAAUGACAUGUCACUAGCAUCAUAAACUAUUCCUAAGGUUCAACCGAGCUUCUAAUUAUCAAAUCAUCGUCGAAUCAUUCCCAGACUUGUCUGAAGUCACAUAAUCACAAUUUAUGCUAUAUCAAAGCAUAUAGAAUACAUUUGAAAUGAAAUUAUAACAUACGAACUUACCUUGGAUGCUAAAAUGGCGAAUCGAGUCUACUAUUCCGUAACUUUAUUCAUUCCCUAAUCUAAGCCCGUAUUUCUCCUUUCUUGAUUUAAAUAUAUUCAAAAUUAACUCAUUUAAUCAUCUAUUCAUUCAAUUUAGUCCAAAACACACUUUAAACCACAUUUACACUUUUGCCCUUAAUAUUUCACUUUUUUUACAAUUUAGUCCUCAUUUCAUAAAAUCACAAAUUAAUGAAAUUUCAAUUAAACCCAUGCUAGCUGAAUUACUAUUAUGCCCUUAGCAGCCCAUUUUUUUCAUUUAUUUCACAUUUUAACUACUAACUUUCCACAUUUCACAAUUUAAUCCCUAUUUUACAUUUUUACUAAAAAUCACUUAACAAAACUUGUUUAACUAUCAACAACUAUUCAAAAUCAAUCAUCAAACAUCAAAAUACUCAUGUAUUAGUCAAUGACAUCAAUCAAAACCUUUAAUAGUUUUGCAAAUUAGUCCAUGGGCUAGCUAGUACUAGUUGCAACGAUCACAAAAAUAUAAAAUCAUUAAAAAACCGAGCAAAAAUGAACUUACAAUUGAACGUUGAAGUAGUCAAAAUUUUCAAGCCCUAAAAUGGAUUUCUCCAUGCUUCAUUCAGCCAAGAAGAUCAAUGAAACAAAAACCUUUAUGUUUUGUUUUAAUUAAUAUUAAUCUUUAAUUAUUACUUUACCUUUUUAACCAUAAAAUAAAACCAUUAAAAUCACAUAAUAGUUGUCCAUAAUUGUCCAAUCAUGCCAUUAGUGGUAUAAUUACAACAUAAGGACCUGAAAUUUAAGGUUCUGUAUCUAUUAAACACUUUUAGCUAAUAGAACUCCACUUUUACACUUUACGCAAUUUAGUCCUUUUUACCGAAUUAAGCAUUCAAACAAUAAAAUUACUUCACGAAAUUUUCACACAAUCAUAUAUUCAUGUUGUAGACCUUAAAUUAAUAAUAAAAUAAAUAUUUCAGCCUCGAAUUUGUGGUCCCGAAACCACUGUUCUAAUUUGACUAAAAACAGGCUAUUACAUUUAAAUUAUGUAAUUUUUUAUGAAAUGGUUUAUCAUGUAACACCCCAAACCCGACUUAGAUGUUAUGGCCGAAUCCGGAUGUGUCACAUGAAAUGGGUUGGAAAAUCGUUGUCGUUAAGUUAAAAUCUUUCCAGUGCAUUAGCCUUUCUCGCUCUUAUUAAUUUCAAAGCUCUCUUUCAUUUGAUCAUUUAGAGAUAAAAAAGUGUUUUUAGCAGAAGCUUAUAAAAUCGUUAAGUUUAGGAAAAAUCGUUUGAUAUUUUUAGAAAACAUGUCUUAGAUAAAAACCAUUAUAAUGAAAAGUAAGUUAAAUCCAAACCCAAAAACCCAAUAAAGCAGUUUAAAAUAGUUCAGAGAGUCCUAAAAAAUACAACUCUCAUCAAUGCCAAGAUUGAAUAAAAACUGUAAACAUAAUAAAAUAAGACAGUUAUGGCGAGUGGUCACCAUUGAGUCCUCCGCUAUACCAAUCCGCCUAACUCUAUGGAUUACUAAACAAAAUAAGCAGAAAGGAGUGAGUUAACGUAAACUUAGUGUAAGUCAGAGUCAAUUAGAGACAAAUCUGGGCCUGAUCCCAUCACAGAUACAAAUGCAUAUUCGGGCUUAAGCCCAUUUCAGAUACAGAUACAUAUUUGGGCCUAAGCCUAUUUCAAAUACAGAUAUAGAUAUACACAUUAGAAUCAGAAAGCAAUAUCCUACCCCCAUUCUCUACACACCAUCUCCAACCAACCUUACAAACCAUGUGCGGUGUAAAACACCCACCCAGCCCUACACACUAUGAUGUAUCGAUGUGGCACAUAUCAGAAAUAGUAGAUAUAUUGCAGCCAUGCUGCUAGAUAUUAGGCAUAAUCUGCCUUUCAGACACUUCCUCCAAAAAUAUAUCAUCCCAACCACCAAAUUCAGAUAUCAGAACAUACAUAAAUAACUUAUAGGUAGUCAUGCUUUCGAAAACAAAUAACAGACAAUCAUACCAAUCAAUCAUCAAACAUGCUCAGAAUAGCAUAUCAGUUAAUUAGAUCAUACAAUUUAUGGUUUAGUUAGAUCUUACCGAGCCUAUAGUAGGUCCAUAGUCGUUUGACGACCCGUGCAACCCUGGGAAAAACUCAAAUAAACAGGCCCACAUGCCUGUGUGGGCCCACACGCCCAGAUUGUCCUUGCCGAUGUAGCCCACAUAGCCCAUCUUGGCCUAGCCUGUAUGGCCCACAUGUCCACACUUGAGCCACCACAUGGCCAUGCGCUACGCAGUGCCAUGCCUUCAUCGAUCAUACGGUCGUGUUGUCUCACAUGGCCUACCACACUGGUGACCACACACCCGUGUGGCGUCAAUAGUGGGAUUUUUUGGCUUUUGUCGAGACCUCAUUUUUUGCAUUUUGGGUACACACCUGGUUCGUUUAAGAUGCUACAGCAAUCCCAACGCUCAAAAUUAGACUUAAUACACGAUUAAUUUAUAACUACGAAACCAAUAUCAACACAAAAACUUACUCUAACACCCCAAAUGAUUCGAUUACGAUUCUGAACUAAGUGAGCCCCUUUCCUCUCGAUUUGAUACCGCCAAAAUAGACAGUGAGGUUCUAAACGGAUGCUUUCGAAACAUAAACAGAAAUAGAUUUAAGGAACCUCUAAUCAAGCAAUUCAUUCUAUGCCCAUAUACCUUAACCGAACAAAGAAUCCCCAAAAUUACAAGAACAACAAUGAAAACUUAAAAGUGAUGAGCAAAAUUGAAGAAACAAUAAGAGUCAAAACUUUACCUGGAAAGGGAAAAAAGUCAAAAAGAAAAAGAUAAAGAGAUUUUUAGGGAAAAAACAAAAAGAAAUAAAUAUAUAUGAUAGCAUAUCCCUAGAUUCUCCCGCCACUAACUCAACUUCCUUAGACUUCCCACUCGAUCAAAACUCUAUCAGAUUACGAAACAAAAUAUCACCUAGGGAUUCGAACUUAGGACCUCCAGCACAACACAUAGACUCCCUUACCAUUCGAACCAGUACACUCAUUCUGAGAUGGUUUUACAAAAAAAUUAAUAUAAGCCCACUCCCCAAACGCCAGGCUUAAAUCAAAAAAAUAUCAAAAUUUGCCAAAAGUAGGGCUUGAACUUGGUACCUCCCACACAUACCUAAAACACUUAACCUCUGAAGUCGAUACACAUUUGUGUCACAUUUUCACAAAAGCAGAAGUAAGAAUUUUGGGGCGUUACAAUUCUUCCCUUAAAUGAACUUUUGACCACGAAAUUUAGCUGAUCAGAAUAGAUGAGGAUACUGUUGACACAUCAAUCCUGAAGUUCCUACGUGGCCUCCUUAGUGCUAUGAUUUUUGCACAGAACCUUCACUAAUGGACUGGGAUUCCUCCUUAAAACCUUAACAUCUCGAUCCGAGAUCUGAACCAGCUCAUUCUCAAAUUUCAAGUUCGGCCUAACCUCUAUCUCCUCAACUGAGAUGACAUGGGAUGGGUCAGAACAGUACUGCCUCAACAUCGAGAUGUGUUUUGUGAAACACAUCAUGAAUACAGUCCAGUUCAGGGGGUAACUCCAACUGAUAAACAACUGGUCCCACGCAUUUUAGAAUCUAGUACGAUCCAAUAAACCUAAGGCUCAGCUUGCCCUUACGACCAAACCUCAGAACCUUCUUCCACGAAGACACCUUAAGAAAAAAAAAGUCCCCCACAGAGUACUCAAUCUCACGUCUCUUCAGAUCCGCUUAGGAUUUCUAUCUAUCAAAAGCCACUUUUAGAUGAUCUCGAAUCAGUCAAACCUUAUCCUCUGUCUCAGAAACCAGCUCAGGACCCAAAAGCUGAAGUUCACCUAACACAGUCCAACAUAGUGAAGUACAACACUUAGGACCAUACAGAGCCUCGUAAGGUGCCAUCUGGAUACUAGACUAGAAACUAUUAUUAUAGGCGAACUCAGCCAGCGAUAGAUAAUCCUCCCAACUACCUCGAAAAUCAAUCACACAACUCCGAAGCAUAUCCUCCAGUAUCUAAAUCACCCUCUCAGAUUGACCAUUGGUCUAAGGAUGGAACACAGUACUGAUGUACAAUCUUGAACCCAGAGCCUCCUGCAAUUUCUUCCAGAAUUGAGAAGUAAAGUGAGGAUCUCUAUCAGAAAUGAUCGAGAUCAGAAUUCCAAGUAGUCUUACUAUCUCAAAAAUGUACAACUUUACUAGCUUUUGCAUAAAAUAAUCAGUCUAAACCAGUAUAAAGUGAGUAGACUUGGUCAAUCGAUCUACGAUGGGUCAAACAGAAUCCUUCUUUAUGGGUGUCAAGGGCAACCCACUAACAAAAUCCAUCGUCACUCAUUCCCACUUCCAUUGGGGAAUCUUAACCGGCUAUAACAAACUUGAAGGCAACUGGUGUUCAGCCUUAACCUGCUGACACGUCAAACAUUGAGCCAUAGAAUCUGUGACCUCUCGUUUCAAACCCAGCCACCAAUAUAACUGUAACACCCCGUACCCGAGUCCGUCGCCGGAGUUAGACACGAGGGGUUUGCAGACUUAAAUCACUUCUUUGCACAAUCCAUUUUAAAUUUUCUAGGCAAGCUGGCUAACUGCAUCACUGUCACCUUAAAAAUCAUAUCUUGAGUUUAACAACUCAAAAAUCAGUUUCGUGAUUUUUCUCUGAAACGAGACUCAUAUAUGCAUCUAAAAAUUUUUUUCUAGAAUUUUUGGUUGGGCCAAUUAGUACAGUUUAUUAGUCAAAGUCUCCCAUGCUACAGGGAUCGACUACACUGACCUUUUCGCAUUACGACUUGAAUAUCUCCCUGUACAGGGCUUCAAUACUGAUUCUGUUUGUUUCUAUGGAAACUAGACUCAAAAAGGAAUCUAUGCAUAUAUGGCAUGACUUCUAAUUAUCUCGGGUUAAUUUAUAAUGAGUUUCCAAAGUCGGAACAGGGAAUCCAGAAACCGUUCUGGCCCUGUCUCACGAGAACCUGAAUAUCUCUUAACAUACUGUUCAUAUUAUCGUUUCAUUACUUUCCAAUGAAAAUAGAUUCAUCAAGGUUCGUUUACAUAAUUUAUUCACUAUUUAAUUCCAUUCCUACUAUUUUUAGUGAUUUUCCAAAUCUACAUCACUGCUGCUGUCAGCAUCUGCCUUUAAGGUAGACUUUACCUAUUUCAUAGUUUCCAUGAUUCAACUAGCCCUUUUAGCAUAAAUAGCACAAAUUAUGAUACUGAUUAACCAUUCCCAUGGCCAAUCCUUGUUAAGCAUAUCUACACCUCUCAAUAACCAUAUCCAUACCAAAUGAUUAUAACAUUAUGCUCAAACAUAUAUAAGCCAUUUUCGCAUGGCUAUCCAAAAUUAUACAAAUCCAAAGGGUCCAUGACCCACAACAAAAAGGGUAGUCCUAUACAUGCCAUUUCAAAGUUCAACCAAAAGUGUACCAAAAGGGGCUUUGAUAGUGUGGGCGACUUCGACUUCAAAAUUCCCGAGUCCGAUAGCUGACGAACCAAAAUCUAUAAAAUAGAGAAUCAAAGAAAUGGAGUAAACAUUUAGUGCUUAGUAAGUUUGAGCAAAGAAAUUAAGCACGACUGAAAUAUAGCAUUCAUAUAACUAAACGGAUAAUUUCAUAUGCACAAAUUCUCAAUAUCAUAAUUACUUCACAUUACCAACCCUUAUAUUCACACACAAAAUAUCAACUUAGCCAAGGCCAGAAACUCAUAAAUUUACUAAGCGAAUAUUAUUCGAAGGGAAUCAACUAUUCCAAUGCACACACAAAACAUACCUCAUUGUUGGGAUUUUACAAGCGUAUUAACUGAAACUUUUACAGCAAGAUUGCUCAUUCCCGAAUCACGUACCUUCGGAAUUUAACUGGAUAUAGCAACUCGUUCAAAUGCCAUCGGGACAUAGCCCUGUUACAGUAACUCGCACAAAUGCCUUCGGGACUUAACCCGGAUUUAGUAACUCGUAACAAUGCCUUCGGGCUUAGCCCAGAAUUAGUAACUCGCACAAAUGCUUUCGGAUCUUAGUCCGAACAUAGUCACUUAGCACAAAGCCUUCGGGUCUUAGCCCGGACAUCAUUUGAAUAACCAUGCACAUUUAUCAAUAAAUCAUGACACAUCCGUAUUUCAUUUUCAUUACCAAAGCUCAAACACAAGACACUUAUCACACUUGCAAUUUCGGCUCAAUAGCCACAUACAAAGAGCAUGAUUUUGAUUCGCUUAAAAUAUGAUCUAAUCAAUCCACCAUCACAUGUAUCAUUAACAAGCUUCACAUUUAGCAUGCAAUGACAUUAACACAAAAUCCACCUUGGCCAAAUAUCAUCUCCAUGACAUAGCAAAGAUUUGAACCAUGGCUAAUUAGAACUCAAGCUAGCAACUAAAAACAUGCAUGAAUCUCAUGGCACAACAUCAACAUACCUUAAUCUAGAUACAAGUAUGGCCGAACCUCCUCCUAAUCCUCUUCCAAACCAAACAUGAAGCAAGAACUCCUUCCUUCUUCCUUAGAAUUUUCGGCCAAGGAUGAACCAAAGGAUGAACACUUUUUUUUUGUUUUCUUUUCUUCCACUCACGGCAAUAGGGGGACAAUCACACACAUUCUUUCCUUUUUUUUUUCCAUUUCUUUAUUACCCAUACUCCUUAUUUUAUUUUUUCUAACAUACAUCACUAACAUAACAUGUUUGUGACAUGUUUCCACUCAUAGCAUGGCCGGCCACUAAGCUUAAAUUUGGUUUAAUUGACAUGCAAACCCAUCAUUUUCACAACAUGCAUUAAUAGGCCAUUUCACAUUUGCCUAGCACAUUUCUAAAUUUUCUCACAUAAGUCCUAUUUGACAAAAUUCACUUACAAUUGACAAAAUUCAAACAUGAAAUUUUCACACAUGCAUAUAUACAUAUAAUAAGCAUCAAAUAUGACAGCUAAUUAUUUUUAUGACUCGGUUUUGUGGCCCCGAAACCACUUCCCGACUAGGGUCACUUUAGGGCUAUCACAACUCUCCCCCACUUAAGAAAUUUUCGUCCCCGAAAAUCUUGCCGGUAAAUAGUUUUGGGUAUCGUUCUUUCAUAGAAUUCUUGGUUUCCCAAGUAGCUUCUUCGAUACCGUGUUUGAGCCAUAACACUUUUACUAACGGAACCCUUUUGUUUCGCAACUCUUUCACUUCACGAGCUAGGAUACGAUCGGUUCUUCUUCAUAACUCAAGUCAGAUUGAAUUUCAACUUCUGAUGGAUUAAUCACGUGUGACGGAUCGGAUCUAUAACGUCGAAGCAUCGAAACAUGAAAGACGUCGUGAAUCUUUUCAAGUUCAGGGGGCAAAAUCAAUCUAUACGCAACUGGACCAACUCGUUCGGAGAUUUCGUACGGCUCAAUGAAUCUCGGGCUCAACUUGCCCUUACGGCCAAAUCUGAGUAUCUUUUUCCAAGGCGAAACUUUAAGAAACACUUUAUCUCCCACCUGAUACUCAAUGUCUUUUCGUUUCAAGUCCGCGUACGACUUCUGGCGAUCUGUGGCUGCCUUCAGACUCUCACGAAUUAUUUUUACUUUCUGUUCAGCAUCUUUAAUCAAAUCAACUCUGAAAAUUUUACUUUCACCGAGCUCGGUCCAAAACAAUGGUGUACGGCAUUUACGACCGUACAAAGCCUCGAAAGGUGCCAUCUUAAUACUUGAUUGAAAACUGUUGUUGUAAGCGAAUUCAAUCAAAGGUAAAUACCGUUCCCAUGAACCACUGAACUCGAGGAUGCAACAUCUCAACAUAUCCUCAAGUAUCUGAAUUAUCCGCUCGGAUUGACCAUUGGUUUGGGGGUGAAAAGCGGUGCUAAAGUGCAGCUUGGUACCCAAAGCUUCUUGCAAUUUCUUCCAAAAUCGCGAGGUGAAUCUCGGAUCUCUAUCCGACACAAUAGAAAUCGGUACCCCGUGUAAUCUCACAAUCUGAGAAACAUACAAUUCAGCUAGUUUAUCCAAUGAAAAAUCUGUACGUACGGGGAUAAAAUGAGCCGACUUAGUCAUUCUAUCAACAACAACCCAAAUCGCAUCUUUCUUACUUGUCGACGGUGGCAACCCAGACACAAAAUCCAUCGUGACUCGAUCCCAUUUCCAUUCAGGUAUCAUAAUCGGCUGAAGUAAACCCGUAGGCACUUGAUGUUCCGCCUUUACUUGCUGACAUAUUAAACACUUCGAAACAAAAUCGGAAUGUCUCGUUUCAUACCAUGCCACCAAAACUAACGUCUCAGAUCGUUGUACAUUUUCGUACUCCCCGGGUGAAUCAACAUUCGGCUACAAUGAGCGUCGUUCAGAAUCAUCGAAAUAAGUUCUGAAUUUCUUGGAACACACAAAUGAUUUCUGAACCUCAAGAUAUCGUCAUCAUCAACUUGAAACUCUGAUUCCACAUUCGGAACACAUUCAGCCUAUUUUGCAACCAAUUCAUCAUCGACUUUCUGAGCCUCACGAAUUUGAGGAAUCAAUAAUGGUUUGGCUUUUAAUUCAGCUACUAACACAUUGUCGGGUAGAACAGACAAGUGUACAUUCGUCGCUCGUAAAGCGAACAGUGAUUUACGACUUAAGGCAUCCGCAACCACAUUAGCUUUUCCCGGGUGAUAGUCAAUGACAAGCUCAUAAUCCUUUAACAACUCGAGCCAACAUCUUUGUUCUAGAUUUAAGUCUCUUUGAGUCAUCAAAUAUUUGAGACUUUUGUGAUCCGAAAAUACAUGGCACUUUUCACCAAAUAAGUAAUGUCGCCAUAUUUUUAAAGCGAAUACGAUGGCAGCUAGUUCGAGAUCAUGGGUCGGAUAAUUUUUCUCAUGUGGCUUUAAUUGUCUCGACGCAUAGGCCACAACUCGACCUUCUUGCAUCAAUAUGCAACCUAACCCAAGUAGGGACGCAUCACUAUAAAUGACAAACUCUUUGCCUGAUUCGGGCUGCACUAGAAUUGGAGCUUCGGUCAAAUAAGUUUUCAGUUGAUCAAAACUUUUCUGACAUUUUUCCGUCCAUUCGAACUUAACAUAUUUUUGAAGUAGCUUCGUCAUCGGUGUGGCUAUCAUCGAGAAACCUUUUACAAACCGUCGGUAGUAACCGGCAAGCCCCAAAAAGGUCCAAACCUCAGUAAUAUUUCUCAGAGGCUUCCAGUUAAGUAUGACUGAAAUUUUGUUCGGGUCAACUCGAAUACCCGAUGCGGAUACCACGUGGCCCAAGAAGCUAACCUCUCUUAACCAGAACUCACACUUACUAAACUUAGCAUAUAACUGCUUAUCCCGUAAAAUUUGCAACACUAAUCUCAGGUGCUCAGCAUGUUCGGUCUCAUCUCUUGAAUAGACCAAGAUGUCAUCAAUAAACACAACUACGAACCGGCCCAAAUACUGUCUGAAGAUCCGAUUCAUCAGAUCCAUAACUACCGCAGGGGCAUUAGUGAGCCCAAACGGCAUCACUAAGAACUCGUAGUGGCCGUAUCUCAUUCUGAAAGCAGUUUUGGGUAUAUCCGAAUCUCGAAUUCGCAACUGAUAAUAACCCGAUCUCAAAUCUAUCUUUGAAAACACUGAGGCUCCCUUUAAUUGAUCAAACAAAUCAUCAAUACGCGGUAUCGGAUAUUUAUUCUUUAUUGUCACUUUAUUCAGCUGACGAUAGUCGAUGCACAACCACAUGGUUCCGUCCUUCUUCUUCAAGAACAAUACUGAUGCACCCCAAGGUGAGAAACUUGGUCGAGCGAAACCUCAUCAGUCAACUCUUGCAACUGAGCUUUCAACUCCUUUAACUCGGUUGGUGCCAUACGAUACAGAGCUAUCAAAAUCGGCGUAGUCCCCGGUACAAGCUCAAUACCAAACUUUACCUCCCGCACAGGUGGUAAACCCGGUAAUUCUUCGGGAAAAACAUCCGGGUAUUCACAAACCACCGGCACAGAUUCGGGUUUCUUUUCUAACUCUUUGUCAUCAAGUACAUACGCAAGGUAUGCUUCGCACCCUUUUUUUACAUAUUUCUGAGCCGACAUUGAUGAUAUUACAGCUGGCAACCCCUUUAAGUCCGUAGACUCAACUCGGAUUAUCUCGUUACUUGCGCACCUCAAAUCAAUAGUCUUACUUUUGCAAUUCACAACCGCAUCAUGCACGGUCAACCAAUCCAAACCAAGAAUAACAUCAACUUCAUCAAACGGCAAAAGCAUCAAGUCCGCCGGAAAACAGGAACCUCGAAUUACUAGGGGGCAUUUCUUACACACUUUGUCGACAAGCACGUAACGACCCAAGGGAUUUGAUACCCGAAUUACGAACUCAGUAGACUCAAUAGGUAAAGUCUUUCUGGAUGCUAAGGUUUCGCAUAUAUAAGAAUGAGUAGAACCAGGGUCAAUCAAAGCAAUCACUUUAGUAUCAAAGAGAGUAAAAGUACCCGUAAUAACAUCUGGCGAGGAAGCAUCUUCGCGUGCGCGUAUAGCAUAAGUCCUAGCAGGAGCACGAGCCUCAAAUCUGGUCGUAGCAUCUCUAGAUCCUCUCUGACCACCACUAGCAUUGCCCGUAUUUCUGGAUGGUCUACCUCGAGCAGUGGUAGCACCCGGUUUCCCGCUCUGAUUUAUAUUCUGUUCAGACAACCUCGGGCAAUCUUUAAUGAAGUGGUCAACUGAUCCGCACUUGUAACAGGAGCGAUCAUGGAAUCUACAACUCCCCGAAUGCCAUUUACCACAAACUGGCACUCCGCUCUGUCCCGACGAUCAUUUCCAACACUAGCGACCGAAGUGACUUGUGCACUCAUAGGGGGUCGAUCGCGAUCUCGUCUAGAAAAGCCUGAAGUGUCUCCAGACCGGCCUAAGCCAUCUCUAAAUUUCUUCGAUGACUGUGGGAAGGGCUUCCCCGAAGACCUCUUACGAAACUCCCUUGCUCCCACCUCAGCUUUUCUUUUCUCCAUACUGAGCUCCUCGGCUUUACAAGCUCGCUCGACAAGUACCACAAAUUCUCAGAUUUCUAACAUGCCAACAUACAGCUUUAUGUCAUCAUUCAGUCCAUCUUCGAAACGUUUACACAUCACAGCUUCUGAAGAAAUGCAUUCUCACGCAUACCGGCUAAGCCUCACGAAUUUUCGUUCAUAGUCGGUAACCGACAUGGAACCUUGUUUGAGUUCAAGAAAUUCCUUUCGUUUUUGGUCAAUGAAUCUCUGACUGAUAUACUUCUUUCGAAACUCAGUUUGGAAGAAUUCCCAAGUUACUUGCUCUCUAGGCACAACAGAAGUCAAUGUAUUCCACCAAUAGUAGGCAGAAUCACGUAGCAAAGAGAUAGUACACUUUAGGCACUCAUCGGGUGUGCAAGAUAGCUCGUCGAGUACCUGGAUAGUGUUGUCCAACCAAAAUUCAGCUUGCUCGGCAUCAUCGCUGUCCGUAGCUUUAAAUUCAGUAGCCCCGUGUUUUCGGAUUCUGUCAACUAGGGGCUUAUUUGACCUUAUUUGGUCCAUUACCGGAGGUAUUGUAGGUGCGGGGGUGGUAUUUGUCGGGAAUGGAGGUUGUGGAACAGCCGUAUUAGUUCGAAUGUAUUGGUUGAACCAAUCAUUCAUCACGCUAUAGAAAGCUUGUCUAGCCUCAUCAUUCGGAUUACUAGCAAUAGGAUGAGAGUCCGCCGGAGCUGUCCCUUGUGCGGGAGAAGGCGCUACACUCUCAAGAUCAUCAGCUACCGCUCGGUCAGGAUCGGGAUCCAUUACUAUAAAUAAACACAUUUGCAAAUGUCAGAAAUCACCACACUAUCAAAUAAUCACAUAAAAUGGCAUGUAUAGCUAGACCCAACGCAUUACAGUAGUCCUAGAAUCGACUAAACCGUAGCUCUGAUACCAAUAAAAUUGUAACACCCCGUACCCGAGUCCGUCGCCGGAGUCGGACACGAGGGGUUUGCAGACUUAAAUCACUUCUUUGCACAAUCCAUUUUAAACUUUCCAGGCAAGCUGGCUAACUGCGUCACUGUCACCUUAAAAAUCAUAUCUUGAGUUUCACAACUCGAAAAUCAGUUUCGUGAUUUUUUCCUGAAACUAGACUCAUAUAUGCAUCUACAAAUUUUUUCCUAGAAUUUUUUGUCUGGUCAAUUAGUACAGUUUAUUAGUCAAAGUCUCCCAUGUAACAGGGAUCGACUACACUGACCUUUGCGCAUUACGACUUGGAUAUCUCCCUGUACAGGGCUUCAAUACUGAUGCCGUUUAUUUCUAUAGAAACUAGACUAAAAAAUGAAUCUAUUCAUAUAUGGCAUGACUUCUAAUUAUCUCUGGUUAAUUUAUAAUGAGUUUCCAAAGUUGGAACAGGGAAUCCAGAAACCGUUCUGGCCCUAUCUCACGAGAACCUGAAUAUCUGUUAACAUACUGUUUAUAUGAUCGUUUCAUUACUUUCCUAUGAAAAUAGAUUCAUCAAGGUUCGUUUAAAUAAUUUAUUCACUAUUUAAUUCCAUUCCUACUAUUUUUAGUGAUUUUCCAAAUCUACAUCACUGCUGCUGUCAGCAUCUGCCUUUAAGGUAGACUUUCCCUAUUUCUUAGUUUCCAUGAUUCAACUAGCCCUUUUAGCAUAAAUAGCACAAAUUAUGAUAGUGAUUAACCAUUCCCAUGGCCAAUCCUUGUUAAGCAUAUCCACACCUCUCAAUAACCAUAUCCAUACCAAAUGAUUAUAACAUUAUGCUCAAACAUAUAUAAGCCAUUUUCGCAUAGCUAUCAAAAUUAUACAAAUCCAAAGGGUCCAUGACCCACAACAAAAAGGGUAGUCCUAUACAUGCCAUUUCAAAGUUCAACCAAAAGUGUACCAAAAGGGGCUUUGAUAGUGUGGGCGACUUCGACUUCAAAAUUCCUGAGUCCGAUAGCUGACGAACCAAAAUCUAUAAAACAGAGAAUCAAAGAAACGGAGUAAACAUUUAGUGCUUAGUAAGUUUGAGCAAAGAAAUUAAGCACAACUGAAAUAUAGCAUUCAUAUAACUAAACGGAUAAUUUCAUAUGCACAAAUUCUCAAUAUCAUAAUUACUUCACAUUACCAACCCUUAUAUUCACACACAAAAGAUCAACUUAGCCAAGGCCGGAAACUCAUAAAUUUACUAAGCGAAUAUUAUUCGAAGGGAAUCAACUAUUCCAAUGCACACACGAAACAUACCUCAUUGUUGGGAUUUUACAAGCGUAUUAACUGAAACUUUUACAUCAAGAUCGCUCAUUCCCAAAUCACGUACCUUCGGAAUUUAACCGGAUAUAGCAACUCGUUCAAAUGCCUUCGGGACAUAGCCCGGUUAUAGUAACUCGCACAAAUGCCUUCGAGACUUAACCCGGAUUUAGUAACUCGCACCAAUGCCUUCGGGCUUAGCCCGGAAUUAGUAACUCGCACAAAUGCCUUCGGAUCUUAGUCCGGAUAUAGUCACUUAGCACAAAGCCUUCAGGACUUAGCCCGGACAUCAUUUGAAUAACCAUGCACAUUUAUCAAUAAAUCAUGACACAUCCGUAUUUCAUUUUCAUUACCAAAGCUCAAACACAAGACACUUAUCACACUUGCAAUUUCGGCUCAAUAGCCACAUACAAAGAGCACGAUUUUGAUUCGCUUAAAAUAUGAUCUAAUCAAAUCAUAAUCUAAGUUCCAUUACUCGAAAACUUACCUCGGAUGUUGUCGAACGAUUUCGAUGGCUAUUCGACCACUUUUUCCUUCCCUUUAUCGGAUUUAGUUCCCCUUUGGUCUUGAGCUUAAUUUAACAAAUAAAUUGAUUUAAUCAUUUGAGCAUCGAAAAGAGGAACUCAAGGUACUUAGCCCAUAUAUAAUUCAUUAGACAUCAAAGUCACAUAUGUACGGAAUCAUGAAUCAAACUCAACACAUUAGUUAGUAUUCUCCUUAGCCGAAUUUUCUAAGUCAAGAUAAAUCCUUAAUAUGCUUACCUAUGGCCGAACAAACACAUCAACCUAUGUACUCAUUCAUGUGGCCGAAUAUGCAUGUUUAUGUUGAGGCCAAUUAUAUACUUAAUACCACACACAAAUGGCAUACAUUUUACUAACUAAUGCAUUACAUAUUAUAACUCAAUACGCAUCCAUCAUUUACUCCAUAACUGAAACACCAUCAUAUGAAAAUAUAUACCUUGAGAUAUUAUAUAUGUCAUGCCAAUACAUCAUGUGCAAACAUAUAUAUAUGUGUAAGAGCCGAAUCACAAGGUUGAUUAUAACCAAACAUAAACAUAAAUCCAAAACACAAAUCUUACCUACCAUGCAAUAAGCAUAACUCAUACUUAUGGAUAUACCAUGGCCGUAUACAUCACAACACCUUACCAUUUCAAUUUUGAUCAUGGUUAAACAAAGAACUUAAUGUCUCACUCAAAAAUGCUAAAAAGAAAAUCCAAGAGUUAAUCAAUCCACCAUCACAUGUAUCAUUAACAAGCUUCACAUUUAGCAUGCAAUGACAUUAACACAAAAUCCACCUUGGCUGAAUAUCAUCCCCAUGACAUAGCAAAGAUUUGAACCAUGACUAAUUAGAACUCAAGCUAGCAACUAAAAACAUGCAUGAAUCUCAUGGCACAACAUCAACAUACCUUAAUCUAGAUACAAGUAUGGCCGAACCUCCUCCUGAUCCUCUUCCAAACCAAACAUGAAGCAAGAACUCCUUCCUUCUUCCUUAGAAUUUUCAGCCAAGGAUGAACCAAAGGAUGAACACUUUUUUUUUGUUUUCUUUUCUUCCACUCACGGCAAUAGGGGGGACAAUCACACACAUUCUUUCCUUUUUUUUUCCAUUUCUUUAUUACCCAUACUCCUUAUUUUAUUUUUCCUAACAUACAUCACUAACAUAACAUGUUUGUGACAUGUUUCCACUCAUAGCAUGGCCGGCCACUAAGCUUAAAUUUGGGUAAAUUGACAUGCAAACCCAUCAUUUUCACAACAUGCAUUAAUAGGCCAUUUCACAUUUUCCUAGCACAUUUCUAAAUUUUCUCACAUAAGUCCUAUUUGAUAAAAUUCACUUACAAUUUACAAAAUUCAAACAUGAAAUUUUCACACAUGCAUAUAUACAUAUAAUAAGCAUCAAAUAUGACAGCUAAUUAUUUUUAUGACUCGGUUUUGUGGCCCCGAAACCACUUCCCGACUAGGGUCACUUUAGGGCUGUCACAAUAACUCACGAAGAUCACGAUACAUCUUAUUACCACCGGGAUGUAUAGCAUAAGAGCUAUUAUGUGCCUCCCUCAAAAUAGACUGCCUCAACUCCACAUCGUUUGGAACACAAAUCUGACCAUGGAAACAGAGUACCCCAUCAUUAUUCAGUCCAAAAUUAGAAGUGUUGGCACUCUCAACAUGACGGAACUGCAAACCCAAUGACUCAUUCCCAACCUAUUUAUCUCGAAUCUGAUUAAUCCAAGUAGGCUUAACUUGCAACUCGGCCAACAGACUCCCAUCAUCAAACAAACUGAGACGAGCAAACAUCACCCUUAAAUCAGUCAUCGCUCUAUGGCUUAGAGUAUCGGCCACCACAUUGGCCUUUCUAGGAUGGUACUAAAUGGUGCAGUCAUAAUCCUUCAGCAGCUCAAUCCAACAAUGCUGCCUAAGAUUCAGCUCCGUCUGAGUGAGGAGAUACUUAAGGCUCGUAUGAUCAGUAUUGAUGAUACACCUCUCACCAUACAAAUAGUGCCUCCAAAUUUUCAGUGCAAAGACCACAGCAACCAACUUGAGAUCAUGUGUCGGAUAGUUCCCCAGACUAACAUGUGAAGCAUCACUAUACACUACAAACUCCUUUCCAAACUCAGGCUGUAUCAGAACUGGAGCCUGAGUAAGAAUAGACUUGAGCUUCUCAAAGCUCGGUUGCUACACAUCAGUCCAAACAAAUGGUACAGCCUUACGCAGAAGCUUAGUCAAGAAAGCUGCAAUCAGAGAGAAUCCCUCAACAAACCGUUGAUAAUAAUCGGUAAAACCUAGAAAGCUGCGGAUCUCAGACACAUCCUUAGGCUGUUUCCAAUCCAGAAUAGCUUCAAUCUUUUGAGGAUCAACUUGAAUCCCUGUAACACCCCGUACCCGAGACCGUUGCUGGAGUCGGACACGAGGGGGUUCACAGACUAAUUUCGCUUACUAUCGUAGUCCAUUUUAAAAAUUUCCAGGCAGUUGGCUAACUGCGUCACUGUCACCUUAAAAAUCAUAUCUUGAUUUUCACAACUCGAAAAUCAGUUUUGUAAUUUUUUCCUGAAACUAGACUCAUAUACCCAUCUACAUAUUUUUUUCUAUAAUUUUUGGUCAGGCCAAUUAGUACAGUUUAUUAGUAAAAUUCUCCCAUGUUACAGGGAUCGACUACACUGACCUUUCUGCAUUACGACUUGGAUAUCUCCCUUCACAAAGCUUCAAUACUGAUUCUGUUUGUUUCUAUAGAAAAUAGACUCAGAGAGGAAUCUAUACAUAUAUGGAAUGACUCCUAACUAUCUCUGGUUAAUUUAUAAUGAAUUUCCAAAGUCGGAACAUGGAAUCCAGAAACCGUUCUGGCCGUGUCUCACGAGAACCUGAAUAUCUCUUAACAUACUGUCCAUAUGAUCAUUUCGUUACUUUCCUAUGAAAAUAGAUUCAUCAAGGUUCGUUUACAUAAUUUAUUCACUAUUUAAUUCCAUUCCUACUAAUUUUAGUGAUUUUCCAAAUCUACAUCACUGCUGCUGUCAGCAUCUGCCUUUAAGGUAGACUUUACCUAUUUCAUAGUUUCCAUGAUUCAACUAGCCCUUUUAGCAUAAAUAGCACAAAUUAUGAUAGUGAUUAACCAUUCCCAUGGCCAAUCCUUGUUAAGCAUAUCCACACCUCUCAAUAACCAUAUCCAUACCAAAUGAUUAUAACAUUAUGCUCAAACAUAUAUAAGCCAUUUUCGCAUGGCUAUCCAAAAUUAUACAAAUCCAAAGGGUCCAUGACCCACAACAAAAAGGGUAGUCCUAUACAUGCCAUUUCGAAGUUCAACCAAAAUUGUACCAAAAAGGGGGGGGCUUUGAUAGUGUGGGCGACUUCGACUUCAAAAUCCCGAGUCCGAUAGCUGAAGAACCAAAAUCUAUAAAACAGAGAAUCAAAGAAACGGAGUAAGCAAUUUAUGCUUAGUAAGUUUUGAGCAAGAGAUUCCAGCACAACAAAAGUAUAGCAUUCAUAUAGCUAAACGGAUAAUUUCAUAUACACAAAUUUUCGAUAUCAUACUUACUUUACAUUACCAACCCUUAUGUUCAUACAUAAAAGAUCAACUUAGCCAAAGGCCGGUAGCUCAUUUAUCAAUUGAGCGAAUACUUAUUUGUAAGGGCUCAACGAAUUCAAAACACAUACGAAACAUACCUCAAUGUUGGGAUGUUACAAGCGUAUUAACUGAAAUUUUUACAGCAAGAUCAUUCAUUCCCAAAUCACGUACCUUCAGAAUUUAACCGGAUAUAGCUACUCGUUCAAAUGCCUUCGGGACAUAGCCCUGUUAUAGUAACUCGCACAAAUGCCUUCGGAUCUUAGUCCGGUUAUAGUAACUCGCACAAAUGCCCUCGGAUCUUAGUCUGGAUAUGUAACUCGCAAAAAUGCCUUCGGAUCUUAGUCCGGAUAUGGUCACUUAGCACAAAGCCUUCGGGACUUAGCCCGGACAUCAUUCAAAUAACCAUGCACAUUUAACAAUAAAUCAUGGCACAUUCGUAUUUCAUUUACGUCAGCAAAACUCAAACACAAGACACUUAUCAUUCUUGCAAUUUCGGCUCAAUAGCCACACACAAAGAGCAUGAUUUUGAUUUGCUUAAAACAUGAUCUAAUCAAAUCAUAAUUUAAGCUCUAUUACUCAAGAACUUACCUCGGAUGUUGUCGAACGAUUCCGAUGGCUAUUCGACCACUUUUUCCUUCCCUUUAUCGGAUUUAGAUCCCCUUUGCUCUUGAGCUUAAUUAAACAAAUAAAUUGAUUUAAUCAUUUGAGCAUCGAAAAGAGGAACACAAGGCACUUAGCCCAUAUUUAUACAUUAGACAUUAAAGUCACAUACAUGUGAAAUCAUGCAUCAACUCAACAUAUUAUCCCACACUUCCUUUUAGCCGAUUGUCUAAGCCAAGAUAAAAACAUCAAUAUGCUUGCCUCUAACCGAAUACAUGCAACGCCAAUCCAUCUCAUGUGGCCGAAUAUGCAUGUCUACGUUGAGGCCAAUUAUAUACUUAGUACCACAUAUAAAUGACAUACAUUUUACUAACUAAUGCAUUACAUAUUAUAACUCAAUAUGCAACCAUCAUUUACUCCAUAACUAAACCACCACCAUAUAUAAACAUAUACCUUGGGAUGAUAUAUAUAUGUAUCAUACCAAUACAUCAUGUGCAAAUAUAUAUAUAUAUAUAUGCAAGAGCCGAAUCACAAGGCUGAUUAUAGCCAUCUCAUAUAUUUUCAUCCCAUACCCGAAUGCACAAGUACAUUAUAAUAGCUUCCAACUUAAUUCAUCAUAAAUUUCCCUUUUUUUUUUCAUGGCCGAGUGCUUCUUCUACACCAUUUACCUUCACAAAGCAUGAAUUUCAUCAUCCAACUUACAAGCUUACAAUCUCAUGAAGUUUAACCUCAUAGUACCUAUCAAACUCUCACUCAUUAGCUUCUAUCAUAAACCUCCAACAACACCAAAUAAACAUAUACUUCGUGGGUCUAUGGUAGAACCAAGAAAGGAACUCAUAGAUAUCAAGAUGUAAGCAACUACCAUUAUUCAUCUAAGUUUAGCAUGAAACACAAUCAUCACCCUUAUUAAUCUUUUAUAGCCGAAAACCAUACUCACCCCCAAAAUCAAAAUUUCAACAUGGUUUACAAAAAUCACUUGAUAACUCACUCAAUAUCAACUAAAAUUUCAAAAGCUAGUACAAACUUCCUUACCUUAAUAGUGACCUAAGAUGACCGAUUGCUUCACUCCCUUCUUCUUCCUUUCAAUUCGGCCAAGAAGAACCAAAGAACACAACUUGUUUUUCUUUCUUCCUUAGAACAUUCGGCCAAGAGAAAUGAAGAAAGAUGGACACUUUUUUUUUGUUUUCUUUCUUACAUUCACGGCAAUGGGGAGGGGAAGAAACAAUCACACAUUCUUUCCCUUUUCCAUUUCUUUAUUACCCAUACUCCUUAUUUUAUUGUUCCUAACAUACAUCACUAACAUAACAUGUUUGUGACAUGUUUCCACUCAUAGCAUGGCCGGCCACUAGCUCAAAUAUUGGGCAAUUUGACAUGCAAACCCACCAUUUCUAUAACAUGCAUUAAUAAGCCACUUUACAUUUGCCUAGCACAUUUCUAAAUUUUUUCACAUAAGUCCCAUUUACUAAAAUUCACCUACAAUUAAACAAAAUUCAAAUAUGAAGUUUUCACACAUGCAUAUAUACAUACAAUAAGCAUCAAAUGUGACAGCUAAUUAUUUUUAUGACUCGGUUUAGCGGUCCCGAAACCACUUCCUGACUAGGGUCAAUUUUGGGCUAUCACAACUCUCCCCCACUUAAGAAAUUUUCGUCCCCGAAAAUCUUACCGAUAAAUAAGUUUGGGUAUCAUUCUUUCAUGGCAUUCUCGGUUUCCCAAGUAGCUUCUUCGACUCCGUGUUUGAGCCAUAAUACCUUUACUAACGGAACCCUUUUGUUUCGCAACUCCUUCACUUCACGAGCUAGGAUACGCAUCGGUUCUUCUUCAUAACUCAUAUCGGCUUGAAUUUCAACCUCUGAAGGGCUAAUUAUGUGCGAUGGAUCAAAUCUAUAGCGUCGAAGCAUCGAAACUUGAAAGACGUCGUGAAUCUUUUCAAGUUCAGGGGGCAAAAUCAAUCGAUACGCAACUGGACCAACUCGUUCGGAGAUUUCGUACGGCCCAAUGAAUCUCGGACUCAACUUGCCCUUACGGCCAAAUCUGAGUACCUUUUUCCAAGGCAAAACUUUAAGAAACACUUUAUCUCCCACCUGAUAUUAAUGUCUUUUCGUUUCAAAUCCGCAUACGAUUUCUGACGAUCUGUGGCUGCCUUCAGACUUUCACGGAUUACCUUUACUUUCUGUUCGGCAUCUUUAAUCAAAUCAACUCCGAAAAUUUUACUUUCACCGAGCUCGGUCCAAAACAAUGGUGUACGGCAUUUACGACCGUACAAAGCCUCGUAAGGUGCCAUCUUAAUACUUGAUUGAAAACUAUUGUUGUAAGUGAAUUCAAUCAAAGGUAAAUACCGUUCCCAUGAACUACUGAACUCGAGGAUGCAACAUCUCAACAUAUCCUCAAGUAUUUGAAUUAUCUGCUCGGAUUGACCAUCGGUUUGGGGGUGAAAAGCAGUGCUAAAAUGUAGCUUGGUACCCAAAGCUUCUUGCAAUUUCUUCCAAAAUCGUGAGGUGAAUCUCGGAUCUCUAUCCGACACGAUAGAAAUAGGUACCCCGUGUAAUCUCACAAUCUGAGAAACGUACAAUUCAGCUAGUUUAUCCAAUGAAAAAUCCGUACGCACGGGGAUAAAGUGAGCCGACUUAGUCAGUCUAUCAACAACAACCCAAAUCGCAUCCUUCUUACUUGCUGACAAUGGCAGUCUGGACACAAGGUCCAUUGUGACUCGAUCCCAUUUUCACUCAGGUAUCAUGAUCGGCUGAAGUAAUCCUGAAGGCACUUGAUGUUCCGCUUUCACUUGUUGACAUAUUAAACAUCUCGAAACAAAGUCGGAGAUGUCUCGUUUCAUACAAUGCCACCAAAAUCGACGUUUCAAAUCGUUGUACAUUUUCGUACUCCCCGGGUGAAUUGACAUUCGGCUACAAUGGGCUUCGUUCAGAAUCAUCGAAAUGAGUUCUGAAUUUCUUGGAACACACAACCGACUUCUGAACCUCAAACAAUCGUCAUCAUCAAUUUGAAAUUCAGAUUCCAUAUUCGAAACACAUUCAGCCCGUUUUGCAACCAAUUCAUCGUCGACUUUCUGAGCUUCACGAAUUUGACGAAUCAAUAAUGGUUUGGCCUUUAAUUUAGCUACUAACACAUUGUCGGGUAGAACAGACAAGUGCACAUUCAUCGCUCGUAAAGCAAACAAUGAUUUCUGGCUUAAGGCGUCCGCAACCACAUUAGCCUUUCCCAGGUGGUAAUCAAUGACAAGCUCGUAAUCUUUCAACAACUCAAGCCAACGUCUUUGUCGCAGAUUUAAGUCUUUUUGAGUCAUCAAAUAUUUGAGACUUUUGUGAUCCGAAAAUACAUGGCACUUUUCACCAAAUAAGUAAUGUCGCCAUAUUUUUAAAGCGAAUACGAUGGCAGCUAGUUCGAGAUCAUGGGUUGGAUAAUUUUUCUCAUGUGGCUUUAAUUGUCUCGACGCAUAGGCCACCACUCGACCUUCUUGCAUCAAUACGCAACCUAACCCAAGUAGGGAUGCGUCACUAUAAAUGACAAACUCUUUGCCUGAUUCGGGUUGCACAAAAAUUGGAGCUUCAGUCAAAUAAGUUUUCAGUUGAUCGAAACUUUUCUGACAUUUCUCCGUCCAUUCGAACUUAACAUCCUUUUGAAGUAGCUUCGUCAUUGGUGUGGCUAUCAUCGAGAAACCUUUGACAAAUCGUCGGUAAUAACCGGUGAGUCCCAAAAAGCUCCGAACCUCAGUAAUAUUUCUCGGAGGCUUCCAGUUAAGUAUGGCUGAAAUUUUGUUCGGGUCAACUCGAAUACCCGAUGAGGAUACCACAUGACCCAAGAAGCUAACCUCUCUUAACCAGAACUCACACUUACUGAACUUAGCAUAUAACUGCUUAUCCCGCAAAAUUUGCAACACUAGUCUCAGGUGCUCAGCAUGUUCGGUCUCAUCUCUUGAAUAGACCAAGAUGUCAUCAAUGAACACAACUACAAACCGAUCCAAAUAUGGUCUGAAGAUCUGAUUCAUCAAAUCCAUAAAUACCGCAGGGGCAUUAGUGAGUCCAAACGGCAUCACUAAGAACUCGUAGUGACCAUAUCUCAUUCUGAAGGCAGUUUUGGGUAUGUCUGAAUCUCGAAUUCGCAACUGAUAAUAGCCCGAUCUCAAAUCUAUUUUUGAGAACACUAAGGCUCCCUUCAGUUGGUCGAACAAAUCAUCGAUACGCGGUAACGGAUAUUUGUUCUUUAUUGUCACUUUAUUCAGCUGACGAUAGUCAAUGCACAACCUCAUGGUUCCGUCCUUCUUUUUCACGAACAAUACUGGUGCACCCCAAGGUGAUAAACUUGGUCGAGCGAAACCUCUAUCCGUCAAUUCUUGCAACUGAGCUUUCAACUCUUUUAACUCGGUUGGUCCCAUACGAUACGGAGCUAUCGAAAUCGGCGUAGUCCCAGGUACAAGCUCAAUACCAAACUCUAUCUCCCGAACAGGUGGUAAACCCGGUAAAUCUUCAGGAAAAACAUCCGGGUAUUCACAAACCACCGGCACAGAUUCGGGUUUCUUUUCUAAUUCUUUGUCAUCAAGUACAUACGCAAGGUAUGCUUCGCACCCUUUUCUUAGAUAUUUCUGGGCCAACAUUGAGGAUAUUACAACUGGCAACCCCUUUAAGUCCGUAGACUCAACUCGGAUUAUCUCGUUAUUUGUGCACCUCAAAUCAAUAGUUUUGCUUUUGCAAUUCACAACCGCAUCAUGCGCGGUCAACCAAUCCAAACCAAGAAUAACAUCAAAUUCAUCAAAUGGCAAAAGCAUCAAGUCCGCCGAAAAAUAGGAACCUCGAAUUACUAGGGGACAUUUCUUACACACUUUGUCGACAAGCACGUAACGACCCAAGGGAUUUGACACCCGAAUUAUGAACUCAGUAGACUCAAUAGGUAAAGUCUUACUGGAUGCUAAGGUUUCACAUAUGUAAGAAUGAGUAGAACCGAGGUCAAUCAAAGCAAUUACAUUAGUAUCAAAGAGAGUAAAAGUACCGAUAAUAACAUCAGGCGAAGAAGCAUCCUCGCGGGCACGUAUAGCAAAAGCUCUAGCAGGCGCACAAGCCUCGGAUCUGGUCGUAGCAUCUCUAGAUCCUCUCUGACCACCACUAGCAUUGCCCGUAUUUCUAGAUGGUCUACCUCGAGCAGUGGUAGCACCCGGUUUCCCACUCUGAUUUACAUUCUGUUCAGACGACCUCGGGCAAUCUUUAAUGAAGUGGUCAACUGAUCCGCAGUUGUUACAGGAGCGGUCAUGGAAUCUACAACUCCCUGAAUGCCAUUUACCGCAAUAUCGACAUUCCGUUCUGUCUCGACGUUCAUUCCCAACACUGGCGACCGAAGUGCCUCGUGUACCCACAGGGGGUCGAUCACGAUCUCGUCUAAAAAGGCCCGAAGUGCCUCUAGACUGGCCCACAUCAUCUCGAAAUUUCUUCGAUGCCUGUUGAAGAGACUUUCCCGAGGAUCUUUUACGAAACUCUCCAGUUCCCACAUCAACUUUUUGUUUUUCUUUUCUAAGCUCUUCGGCUUUACAAGCUCGCUCGAUAAGUACUACGAACUCUCGUAUUUCAAGAAUGCCAACGAACAUUUUUAUAUCUUCAUUCAGCCCAUCCUCGAACCGUUUACACAUGAUAGCCUCGGACGAAACACAUUCCCGAGCGUAUCUACUAAGUCUAACAAAUUUUUGCUCGUAAUCAGUAACCGACAUAGAACCUUGCUUAAGCUCAAGAAAUUCCUUCCGUUUUUGAUCAACAAAUCUCUGACUGAUAUACUUUUUCCGAAACUCAGUUUGGAAAAACUCCCAAGUUACUUGUUCUCGGGGCACAAAAGAAGUCAGAGUACUCCACCAAUAGUAGGCAGAAUCACGUAGCAAGGAGAUAGUACACUUUAGGCACUCAUCAGGUGUGCAGGAUAGCUCGUUGAGUACCCGGAUAGUGUUGUCCAACCAAAAUUCAGCUUGCUCGGCAUCAUCGCUGUCCGUAGCUUUAAAUUCAGUAGCCCCAUGUUUUCGGAUUCUGUCAACUGGGGGCUUAUUUGACCUUAUUUGGUCAGUUUCCGGAGGUAUUGUAGGUGCGGGGGUUGUAUUAGUCGGGAGUGGAGGUUGUGGAACAGCCGUAUUAGUUCGAAUGUAUUGGUUGAGCCAAUCAUUCAUCACGCUAUAGAAAGCUUGUCUAGCUUCAUCAUUCGGAUUACUAGCAUUAGGUUGAGAGUCCGCCGGCGCUGUCCCUUGUGCGGGAGCAGGCGCUACACUCUCCAGAUCAUCAGCUACCGCUCGGUCGGGAUCGGGAUCCAUUACUAUAAAUAAACACAUUUGCAAAUGUCAGAAAUCACCACACUAUCAAAUAAUCACAUAAAAUGGCAUGUAUAGCUAGACCCAACGCAUUACGGUAGUCCUAGAAUCGACUAAACCGUAGCUCUGAUACCAAUAAAAUUGUAACACCCCGUACCCGAGACCGUUGCCGGAGUCGGACACGAGGGGGUUCACAGACUAAUUUCGCUUACUAUCGCAGUCCAUUUUAAAAAUUUCCAGGCAGUUGGCUAACUGCAUCACUGUCACCUUAAAAAUCCUAUCUUGAGUUUCACAACUCGAAAAUCAGUUUCGUGAUUUUUCCCUGAAACUAGACUCAUAUGCCCAUCUACUUCUUUUUUCCUAGAAUUUUUGGUCAAGCCAAUUAAUACAAUUUAUUAGUAAAAGUCUCCCAUGUUACAGGGAUCGACUACACUGACCUUUGCGCAUUACGACUUGGAUAUCUCCCUUCACAGAGUUUCAAUACUGAUGCCGUUUGUUUCUAUAGAAACUAGACUCAGAGAGGAAUCUAUAAAUAUAUGGCAUGACUCCUAACUAUCUCUGGUUAAUUUAUAAUGAAUUUCCAAAGUCAGAACAGGGAAUCCAGAAACCGUUCUGGCCCUGUCUCACGAGAACCUGAAUAUCUCUUAACAUACUGUCAAUAUGAUCGUUUCGUUACUUUCCUAUGAAAGUAGAUUCAUCAAGGUUCGUUUACAUAAUUUAUUCACUAUUUAAUUCCAUUCCUACUAUUUUUACUAAUUUUCCAAAUCUACAUCACUGCUGCUGUCAGCAUCUGCCUUUAAGGUAGACUUUACCUAUUUCAUAGUUUCCAUGAUUCAACUAGCCCUUUUAGCAUAAAUAGCACAAAUUAUGAUAGUGAUUAACCAUUCCCAUGGCCAAUCCUUGUUAAGCAUAUCCACACCUCUCAAUAACCAUAUCCAUACCAAAUGAUUAUAACAUUAUGCUCAAACAUAUAUAAGCCAUUUUCGCAUGGCUAUCCAAAAUUAUACAAAUCCAAAGGGUCCAUGACCCGCAACAAAAAGGGUAGUCCUAUACAUGCCAUUUCGAAGUUCAACCAAAAUUGUACCAAAAAGGGGGGGGCUUUGAUAGUGUGGGCGACUUCGACUUCAAAAUCCCGAGUCCGAUAGCUGAAGAACCAAAAUCUAUAAAACAGAGAAUCAAAGAAACGGAGUAAGCAAUUUAUGCUUAGUAAGUUUUGAGCAAGGGAUUCCAGCACAACAAAAGUAUAGCAUUCAUAUAGCUAAACGGAUAAUUUCAUAUACACAAAUUUUCGAUAUCAUACUUACUUCACAUUACCAACCCUUAUGUUCAUACACAAAAGAUCAACUUAGCCAAAGGCCGGUAGCUCAUUUAUCAACUGAGCAAAUACUUAUUUGUAAGGGCUCAACGAAUUCAAAACACAUACGAAACAUACCUCAUUGUUUGGAUGUUACAAGCGUAUUAACUGAAAUUUUUACAGCAAGAUCAUUCAUUCCCAAAUCACGUACCUUCGGAAUUUAACCGGAUAUAGCUACUCGUUCAAAUGCCUUCGGGACAUAGCCCGGUUAUAGUAACUCGCACAAAUGCCUUCGGAUCUUAGUCCGGUUAUAGUAACUCGCACAAAUGCCUUUGGAUCUUAGUCCGGAUAUGUAACUCGCACAAAUGCCUUCGGAUCUUAGUCCGGAUAUGGUCACUUAGCACAAAGCCUUCGGGAAUAAGCCCGGACAUUAUUCAAAUAACCAUGCACAUUUAACAAUAAAUCUUGGCACAUUCAUAUUUAAUUUUCGUCAGCAAAACUCAAACACAAGACACUUAUCAUUCUUGCAAUUUCGGCUCAAUAGCCACACACAAAGAGCAUGAUUUUGAUUUGCUUAAAACAUGAUCUAAUCAAAUCAUAAUUUAAGCUUUAUUACUAAAGAACUUACCUCGGAUGUUGUCGAACGAUUCCGAUGGCUAUUCGACCACUUUUUCCUUCCCUUUAUCGGAUUUAGAUCCCCUUUGCUCUUGAGCUUAAUUAAACAAAUAAAUUGAUUUAAUCAUUUGAGCAUCGAAAAGAGGAACACAAGGAACUUAGCCCAUAUUUAUACAUUAGACAUUAAAGUCACAUACAUGUGAAAUCAUGCAUCAACUCAACAUAUUAUCCCACACUUCCUUUUAGCCGAUUGUUUAAGCCAAGAUAAAAGCAUCAAUAUGCUUGCCUCUAACCAAAUACAUGCAACGCCAAUCCAUCUCAUGUGGCCGAAUAUGCAUGUCUACGUUGAGGCCAAUUAUAUACUUAGUACCACAUAUAAAUGACAUACAUUUUACUAACUAAUGCAUUACAUAUUAUAACUCAAUAUGCAUCCAUCAUUUACUCCAUAACUAAACCACCACCAUAUAUAAACAUAUACCUUGGGAUGAUAUAUAUGUAUCAUACCAAUACAUCAUGUGCAAAUAUAUAUAUAUGCAAGAGCCGAAUCACAAGGCUGAUUAUAGCCAUCUCAUAUAUUUUCAUCCCAUACCCGAAUGCACAAGUACAUUAUAAUAGCUUCCAACUUAAUUCAUCAUAAAUUUCCUUUUUUUUUUCAUGGCCGAAUGCUCCUUCUACACCAUUUACCUUCACAAAGCUUGAAUUUCAUCAUCCAACUUACAAGCUUACAAUCUCAUGAAGUUUAACCUCAUAGUACCUAUCAAACUCUCACUCAUUAGCUUCUAUCAUAAACCUCCAACAACACCAAAUAAACAUAUACUUCGUGGGUCUAUGGUAGAACCAAGAAAGGAACUCAUAGAUAUCAAGAUGUAAGCAACUACCAUUAUUCAUCUAAGUUUAGCAUGAAACACAAUCAUCACCCUUAUUAAUCUUUUAUAGCCGAAAACCAUACUCACCCCCAAAAUCAAAAUUUCAACAUGGUUUACAAAAAUCACUUGAUAACUCACUCAAUAUCAACUAAAAUUUCAAAAGCUAGUACAAACUUCAUUACCUUAAUAGUGACCUAAGAUGACCGAUUGCUUCACUCCCUUCUUCUUCCUUUCAAUUCGGCCAAGAAGAACCAAAGAACACAACUUGUUUUUCUUUCUUCCUUAGAACAUUCGGCCAAGAGAAAUGAAGAAAGAUGGACACUUUUUUUUUGUUUUCUUUCUUACAUUCACGGCAAUGGGGAGGGGAAGAAACAAUCACACACAUUCUUUCCUUUUUCCAUUUCUUUAUUACCCAUACUCCUUAUUUUAUUGUUCCUAACAUACAUCACUAACAUAACAUGUUUGUGACAUGUUUCCACUCAUAGCAUGGCCGGCCACUAGCUCAAAUAUUGGGCAAUUUGACAUGCAAACCCACCAUUUCUAUAACAUGCAUUAAUAAGCCACUUUACAUUUGCCUAGCACAUUUCUAAAUUUUUUCACAUAAGUCCCAUUUACUAAAAUUCACCUACAAUUAAACAAAAUUCAAAUAUGAAGUUUUCACACAUGCAUAUAUACAUACAAUAAGCAUCAAAUAUGACAGCUAUUUAUUUUUAUGACUCGGUUUAGAGGUCCCGAAACCACUUCCCGACUAGGGUCAAUUUUGGGCUGUCACAAUCCCCUUACCAGAAACCACAUGCCCUAGAAAAGUUACUUCAUGGAACCAAAAUUCACACUUACUUAGCUUAGUGUAAUGCUGCUUCUCACGCAAAAUCUGAAGCACUACUCUAAGAUGCUCAUCUUGAUCAUCCUCAGUCUUAAAAAGUAAACCAAAAUGUCGUCGAUGAUGACCAUGAUGAACUGAUCCAGAUAGGGCUAAAAUACUCGGUUCAUCGGAUUCAUAAAUGCAGCUGGUGCAUUUGUUAACUCAAAAGGCAUAACUAGGAACUCGUAAUGUCCAUAACGAGCCUAAACAUUGUCUUAUGCACAUCCACCUCCGUAACCCUUAAUUGAUGAUACCCAGAACGUAGAUCAAUUUUUGAAAACACAACAGUCCCUCUGAACUGAUCAAACAAGUCAUCAAUCUUUGGAAGCAGAUACUUGUUCUUCACAGUUAACUUAUUCAACUGUCGAUAAUCAAUGCACAUACUCAUUGUCACAUCCUUCUUCUUAACAAAUAGAACUGGUGCUUCCCACGGAGACACACCAGGACGAAUGAAACCACGAUCCAACAACUCUUGUAGUUGAGACUUAAGCUCUAUAAACUUUUUCAGUGCCAUACAAUAGGGAGCGAUUGACACCGGAGUUGGACUCGAAAAAAGUUCAAUCCAAAACUCAACCUCUCGAUUAAGGGGUAAUCCCGGUAGCUCUUCAGGAAAGACAUCUGGAAACUCCCUUACAUUUCUGAUAUCCCCAAUCGAAGAGUCCUAGAAGCAAAAACACUAACAUACGCCAAGUACGCCUCACACCCUUUUCGAACCAAUUUCUUAGCCACAAGCGCGGAGACCACAUUAGACAAAUAAACCCGACGCUCUUCGAUCACAACCACCUCAUCAUCCAUCUUAGUUCUCAGAACGACCCUCUUAGUCGCGCAAUCCAGACUAACCCAGUGCUUGACCAACCAGUCCAUUCCCAGAAUUAUAUCAAACUCCUCAAAGCCAGAAAAAUAAUUCCUUGCACCACUAGAGGUACAUCCUUAUAGAGUUUACUAACCCAAAUCGAUUGCCCCAAUGGACUCAGUACAGUGACCUCACUUGUAGUGCUCUCCACAAAAAUCCCCAAAGUCUUAGAUCCAUUACUAGCUAUGUAUGAGCGAAUACACCCUAUGUCUAUCAAAGCAAGGUAAGGUACAUCAAAAUAGAUAACGUACCGAUGAUAACGUCAAGAGUAUCUCUGUCCUCUCGGCGACGUGCAGCUUAAACCAAAGUAGGCUGUCUCACCUUAGUCUGACCAGCACCUCUGCCUAGUGUUUUCUGUCCAUGGCCUAUACCAUUACCACCCCUAGCCUCACCACGGCCCUGAGGUGGCUGUUGAACUACACUCUGCGACUGCACAGAACCUGAUAUCAGAGCUUGCACCUGAUUAGUCCUCAAUGGACACUUCUGAAUGCAAUGCUCAAGAGACCCACAUCUUAGACAGGCCUCAAUCCUCAUUCAACAGUUUCUCGGAUGGCGUCUACCACAACCAUUACACGAUUGUAACCCAAUUAGAGGAACAAAAAAAAUGGGCACCACUCUAACUAGCCCGUUAGGUCUAACCUUGUUUUUGGCCUCUGUAGAGAACUUGAGGGCUCCGAACCCUCUUGUUCUUGCCUCUCUUACUGUCUCUAUUUUGGUGCUCAACACACUUAACAUCCUCAGCAAUCUUUGCCUUCUCUACCAGAAUCGCGAACUCACUCUCCCUCUGUGGAACUAUUAGAACCCUCUUAUUAUCCCCUAAGUCAUCCUCAAACCUAACACGUCUCUCAUACUCCUGUGCCACCAUACCUCGAGCAUAGCGGCUCAGCCUCAAAAAUUCAGCCUCAUAUUCAGCUACAAAUCGAUCACCUUGCGUGAGGUUCAGAAACUCACGCCUAUGAGCAUCAACAUAGCUGGAUCCCACAUAUUUACCCUAAAAUGUAGUCUUAAAGAACUCCUAAGUCAAACAGUCAAGCUGAGUGCCCUCUUUAACAGUAAACCACCACUGAUAUGCUACGUUGAAACGCAAGGAGACUACACCCUUCAACUUCUACUGAGGGGUACAGUCCAAGUCAUCCAUAAUUCUCUCAGUGGCCUUGAACCAAUACUCAGCCACAUUAGGGGUGACUCCUAUGACACCCCUAAAUAGCUUAGCUCCAUUAACCGGAGUCGCUCAGUUACCGACCUUCGGACCUCAGAUCCAAAAUUGGGCCCACGACCCUCUCUAAUAUCCUUAGUAUAGCUUGAGAAAGUACGUCGUCUCCAGCCGAUCGACUUUGAGACCCAAUCUCAGUAGCAGGUGACACAGGUGUCUCACUAGUGUCUAGAUUUUGCAUGCUACCCAAAGAUGAGGACUCUACUCGAGCCUCCUAUGGCCUCUAUCUCGGCCUCUAGUACCAUGUCCACGGAUACCUCAUGCGCUCAUUGUGAUUUAGAAGUUUUAUCUGCAUUAGAAAUUUUAUGCAUCAGUUUCGAUAUUUAUUAACAGAUGUUUUAUGCAUAAAGUAUCAAAAGUUUAGAGUUGUUUUCAAAAUUUUUAGUUUCUGUUAGUUUCACUUACAGUUUCAGAGUGUACUAACUAUAGUGUUUUCAAGUAGACUAUCAAUAAUGUUUCCAGACUUUUCUAUCAGAAAUCAGAAAUACUUACAGGAUCGGCGUCAGAGACUCAGUGUACCACAUACUUAGUUUAGAAUGUUUAAAAUCUGUUGAAAACAAAUUUUGAACCCAAAAUUCAAAACUAGUUUUACAACUUGGGUCUGAUACCAUUAAAUGUAACACCCCAAACCUGACCUAGACGUUAUGGCCGAAUCCGGAGGUGUCACAUGAAAUGGGUUGGAAAACCGUUGUCAUUAAGUUAAAAUCUUUCUAGUUCAUUAGCCUUUCUCACUCUUAUUAAUUUCAAAGCUCUUUUUCAUUUGAUCAUUUAGAGAUAAAAAUGUUUUAUAGCAUAAGCUUAUAAAAUCGUUAAGUUUGGGAAAAACCAUUCGAUAUUUUUAGAAAACAUGUUUUAGAUAAAAACUGUUAUGGUGAAAAGUAAGUUAAGUCCAAACCUAAAAACCCAACCAAGUAGUUUUAAACAGUCCAGAGAGUCCCAAAAAAUAAACUCUCAAAUCUCAAAGCCAAGAUUAAAUAAAAACUAUAAACAUAAUAAAAUAAGACAGUUAUGGCGAGUGGUCACCGUCGAGUCCUCCGUUGCACCGAUCCACCUAACUCUGUGGAUUAUCUGAACAAAAUAAAUAGAAAGGAGUGAUUUUACAUAAACUCAGUGUGUAACCCCACAGAACUAAGCACGCACACAACAGUGAGUCAGAUUCAAUUAGAUACAAAUUCGGGCCUGAGCCCAUCACAAAUACAUAUGCAUAUUCGGGCCUAAGCCUAUUUUAGAUACGUAUACAUAUUUGUGCCUAAGCCUAUCUCAAAUACAAAUAUAGAUAUACACAUCAGAAUCAGAAAUAAAUAUCCUACCCCCAUCCUCCACACACCAUCUUUGAGCAUCCCUACACACCAUGUGAGGGUUAAAACACCCACCCAACCCUACACACCAUGAUGUACCGAUGCAGCACAUAUCAGAAAUAACAGAUAUGUUGUAGCCAUGUUGCCAGAUAUUAGGCAUAAUCUUUCUUUCAGAGUCUUCCUUCAAAAAUAUAUCAUCCUAACCCCCAAAAUCAGAUUUCAGAACAUACAUACAUAAUUUAUAGGUAGUCAUGCUUUCAAUAACAGAUAACAGACAAUCAUACCAGUCAAUCAUCAAACAUGUUCAGAAUAGCAAAACAGUCAAUCAAAUCAUACAAUUUAGGGUUUAGUCAACCCUUACCAAGCCUACAGUAGGUUCACAGUCAUUUGGGAUGACCCGUUCAACCCUGGGGAAAAACUCAGAUAAAUGGGCCCACAUGCCUAUGUGGGCCCACACGUCCAGAUUGGCCUUACCCGUGUGGCCCAUAUGGCCUGGCCCAACAAGCGACACGUCCGUAUAGGCCUACACACUCGUGUGGGCCUACACACUCAUGUGGCUCACACGGCCUAUCUUGGCCUAGCCUGUAUGGCCCACACGUCCACACUCGAGCCACCGCACUAUUCUGUACUGUACACAGCCAUGCCUUCAUUGAUCACACAGUCGUGUCCUCUUACACGUCCUACCAUACGAGUGACCACUCGCCCUUGUGGCAUUGAAAAUGGCCUUUUUUGGCUUUUGAUGAAACCUCAUUUUUUACGUUUCGGGUACACAUCUGGUUCAUUUAAGAUGCUACAGUAACCUCGAGCCCACCAGAACCUAAACAUCAACAUACCAACGCUCAGAAUCAGAUUAACACAUGAUUAAUGUGUAAAUACAAAGUCAAUAUUAACACCAAAACUUACUCUAACACUCUAAAUGAUUCGAUUACGAUUCUAAACGAAGAGAGCCCAUUUUCUCUCAAUUUGCUACUACCAAAAUAGACAGUGAGGUUCCACACAGAUUCUUUCAAAAUGUAAACAAAAACGGAUUUAAAGAACCUCUAAUCAAGCUAUUCAUUCUAUGCCUACAUACCUUAACCGAGCGAAGAAUCCCCAAAAUUCCAAGAACAACAGUGAAAACUUAAAAGUGAUUAGCAAAAUUGAAGAAACAAUAAAAGUUGAAACUUUACCAAGAAAGGGAAAAUAAUGUUAAAAAGAAAAAGGUAAAGAGAUUUUUAGAGAAGAAAUAAAAAGAAAUAAACAAAUAUGAUAGCAUAUCCCUAGAUUCUCUCCCUACUAACUCAAAUUUCUCAGACUUCCCACUCAAUUGAAACUCUAUUAGAUUACGGAGAAAAAUAUCACCCACACUCACGCAGGGAUUUGAACUCAGGACCUUCAACACAACAACAAACUCCAUUACCAUUGGUACCAGCUGGCUCAUUCUGAUAUGGUUUUACAAAAAAAUUAAUAUAAGCCCACUCCCCAAAUGCAAGGCUUAAAUCAGAAAAAUAUCAAAUUUUUCCAAAGGUAGGGCUUGAACUUGGGACCUCCCGCACACACCCAAAACACUUAACCAUUGAAGUAGAUACACAUUUGUGUCACAUUUUCACAAAAGCAGAAAUAAGAAUUUUGGAAAGUUACAUAUCAUGUGGUUAAUUCCAAAAUAGCUAUGUUUAAAUGCACUAGCUUGUGGCUAUGAUUGAUGAUAUGCUUAUGUCUUAUGUGUUAUGCAUAUGAAAUUGGUGUUGAAAGGUAAUGAAAAAAGAAGUUCAUACUUGAAGUGUAAAAUGAUGAAAAAGGGAAUAAUGAGUUGAAUUAAUGUUGUUUUUUAAGCUAAAGAAAGUAAAUGUAAUGGAAAGUAAUGAAAUGCAAAUGAAAAUAAGAAAAUUUGAAAAGGUUUAAAGUUUUAUAAAAUUCUAUGUUAUGGAUGAUAAGUUUAUGUGAUGCUGUGGUUUUAUUCACUUUGUGAGUUGUUGAUUAUGGUUUCAUGAAUCUUGUGGUACUUAUAUAGGAUUAUUCUUGAUAUGUAUAAAUUUCAUAUUUGAAAUGGAUUGAUAUGAUUAAAGUUAUACAAGCUUACUAAGCAUUCAUUGCUUAUGUAGUUGUUUUUCUUUACUUUUUAAAUUAUUGAAAGCUUGAUCAGGUUGGAAGCUAGCCGGAGAUCCAUCACACUAUCCAUCGAUUAUAUCGAUAGAUUUUGAUGACUUGGUUAAGGUUAUAAUGGCAUGUAUAGGUGGACUUAUGGUUGAUGGUUAGUUGAAUGUUAGUUGAUGAGUUUCGCAUGUAUAGGUCAUUUUGGGUGAUGAAGCCUUGGUACAUUUGGUGCCUUGUCGAUAUGUGUUAACUUUAUAAUGUGUUAAAGUAUGUUUGAAUGACCAAAGUGACAUAAUGAAUUCACCUCAACAUGGUCAAGAUAUGGUAUGCUUUAUGUAAUAGCUUAUUUUUAGUCAAAUCAAAAUAGUGAUUUUGAGACCACAAAUCUGAGGUCAAAAAAUUUAUUUUAUUAUUAUUUCAAUCUCUACAUCAUGAUAGUAUAAUUGUGUGAAUUUUUCGUUAAGAAAUCUUAUCAUUUAAAUGCUUAAUUUGAUAAAAAUGACUAAAUCGCGUAAAGUGCAAAAGUGUUGUUCUAAUAGCUAAAGGUAUUAAAUAGCUAUAGAACUUUAAAGUAAGAGUCCUUAAGUGGUAAUUAUACCAUUUGAAUUGUGUGUGGAAAAUUAUGGGCAUAUAUUAAGUGUUAUUAAUAGUUUAUAAUUAAGAUUAAAUAAGUAAAUGAAUAAAUAAGUUUGUAAAUAAUAAAGGAAACAAAGAAAACAUCUUUAUUUUCUCAUCUCCCCCAAUUGAAUAUUGACAAAGAAAACACCAUUGGAGAACUCUGAAGUUUCAGCCAAGCACUCCCUUGCCUGUAGUUCAUUUUCGUCCCGUUUUUAAUAAUUUCUACGUUUUAAGAUCGUUGCAGCUUAGUCUAGCUAGCUAAGGGAUUAAUUUGCAAAAAUUCAAAGAUUUAGGGUUAUGCCAUUGUUGAAUCUGUGUGUUUUAAGGUUUCUUGAUAUAUUAUGAAUGGUUGAUGUGAAUUAUACAAGUUUUGUUAAGUGAUUUUUAGUGAAAAUGCAAAUUAGGGAUUAAAUUAAGAAAUGUGGAAAGUUUGUGGGUAAAUUGCAAAAUAAAUGAAAAAUAUGGGCUGAUAUGUGUACUAAGAAAAUUUGGCUAACAUGGAUUGGUAUCAAAUUGCAUUAAUUUGUGUUUUUAUGAAAUAAGGACGAAUAUGUAAAAGUUGUGAAAUACUUGGGGCAAAAGUGUAAAUAUGAUUUAAUGAGUUUGUUUGGAUUAAAUUGAAUAGAGUGAUAAUUAAAUAAGCCAAAUUUGAUUACAUAUAGAUCAAGAAAAGCAAAAUUAGGAUUUAGAUUUGGGGAAAAACAAAGCACUCGACCAAUCAACCUGUUUAGUCAUUUUUACGAUCGAGGUAAGUCUGUAUGAUUAAUAAGCUUAAUGUUAUAUGUGUUUAUAUGCUUAACUAUUAUAAUUGUGAUAUUACAGUAUUGCGGUAUCUUUCGACAAAGCAUUGAGACAGUGAGAAUCCUGGUUGAACCUUAGAAAUAGAUAGGAUACUAGUGGCAUGUAAUUAGGGCUUAUUGUGAUUAUGUGAUCCGAGUGCUGGUCUUGUACAUCCUACCGGUGGCUAAGUAUACCGGCAUGUGUUGCGGUUACUUGAUAGCUUGUGUGAGCAGCACCGUGUAGCUACGUCUUGACUAACAGCUUGUGUGAGUAGGCUCGUUGAUAGCUCGAGAGUGAGCAUAUAUGUGAUAUGAGAUUGAGAUAGCUUUGGCUAUAUAUGUGGCACUUUGGUGCGAGGUUCCUGAGUAUCCGAUAUUAUUCCAAAUGUUUCAAUGGGAAAAGAUGACAGUAUGAGGAUGUAAGCAAUGAUACAGAUCAGUUUAGGUACUCGUGUUAAGUUUGGCAAGUAAGUGAUAAUUGAUAAGUUUAUAUGAAAAGUAAAUGAAAGUUGGUGAAACAAUACAUGAUACAUAGAAUUACAGUAAUGUGUAAAUUGUUGAAUUGAAUGUAUUACUUAUAUUUGCUUAUGUUCUUUAAAUUGUGAAUGAGUUGGCAAAUUAUACUUAUUAAUCAUAUGAGCUUACUAAGCUAUAAAGCUUACUCUACUUAUUUUUACGUGUUUAAUAGUGAUUUCAAGGCUAGCUCGGAUUUGGGGAUCAUCGGAGACUUCAUCACACUAUCAAGCUAUUGUUUUGGUAUUCUUGAAUCUAUGUUUUUGGAAUAAAUGGCAUGUAUAGGAACUUUGGUAAUUUUGGUAUAUAAUUUGAUGAUCAAUUUAGCCUUUUGAAUUGGCUUAUAAAUGUUUAAAGUUUGGUCUUAUGUAUAUAUAGCCAUAAAAGUUGGCUUAAUUUGGUUAGUUUGGUUGUGUAUAUUUAUAUGUGUGCAUAUGGCUUAUGUUAUGUGAUGGAGGUUGGCUUUGUGAUGCUUAUUGAUAGUAGGUAUUUUGGUUUUCAAAUGGUUGAUAUUUGAGAAGAUAUAUGCUUGUAAAAUUGAGUAUAAUGAUGCAUGAUUGAGAUUGUCUAAUUAGUUGGAUUGUAUAUGUGAAUUUGGUGUAAAUGGAUUGGCUGCUUUUGUGGCUUGUGUGUAUUGUGGAUAAUGAUAUUGAGUUAGCAUGAUUUAGGCCUGAUUUAUUUGGUUUGAAUGCCUAUAAAUGCUAUGUUUUGGUACCAUUUGGUUUGAAGUAGGUGCAUACAAAUUUGGGUGGCAAAAUGGCUUAGUAAAAAGCCUAUUUUUUUCCACACAGGCAGAGACACAGGUGUGUGUCUCAGCCGUGUAUGAUACACGGUCAGGUUGCACGACUGUGUGUCAUUUGGUGUUGAAAUUAAAAUAAACUUAGUAUGCUUAACACGGCCUCACACACAGGUGUGUGACUUUGUAACAGCCCGAUUUUGGCCCUAUCGGAAUGGUGGUUUUGGGACCACGAAUCCAAGUCAGAAUUUUUUUUAAAAUUUUUUUUUGGUGUUUAUAAUGUGUGAAUUUGUGUGUGCUAAAUUUGUAUUUUAAAAUUUUAUCUUUUGGAUGCCCGGUUUAAAAAAAGGGCUUAAACACGUAAAAUGAAAAUUUGAUGGUUUAAUAGAAAAUGGCCGAAUGGAAUAUGUCUUUUUAAUAUGGAGUAUUUAUGUCGCAAAUUUACCAUGGCUAUUAAUAAUGGACGGCAUUAACCUUGUUUUAUAAUGAUUUCAAAUUAUUAUAUAAAGUUUAUUUAGGUAAUUUAAUAAAAUAAUAUAAGUUAUAAUAUAAUAAAACAUUAAAAAAAACAUGCAUGUGUUCAUCAUUUUUUACCAAAACUAGUAAAAGAAAAGAAAAAGAGAAAGCAAAUGACAUUCAGCCAUUGUUGAUUCAAAUUCAAUGUUAGUUUGGUUUCGAUUUUUGAUAAUUUUUACGUUUUUGAGAUCGUUGUUUCAAAUACUAUCUGACCCAUGCUAGAAUUUCUGAUUUUGAUGAAUAUUUUGAGUUAUGCCAUUGAUGAAUAUUUGUGUUUUAUGAUGUUUGAUGAUGAAUUAUGAAAUAUAUGUUUUGGAUUAAUAUGUUCUGCAUUGGAAUUUUUUAUGAAUUCGAGUAAGUAGGGCUAAAUUGAAAAAAUUAUAAAUUGAGGGACUAAAAUGUGAAAUAAAUGAAAUGUAUGGACUUUUAUGAGCAUAAGGAAGAUUUAGCCUAGGCACAGUGUGAUCAAAUUUUGUAUAUUUUGUGUUUUGUGCAAUUUGGACUAAAAUGUAAAAAGUGUAAAAUGUUAGGGGCAAAAUGAUAAUUUUCCCAUUUAUGUGUUUUUGGAAUAAAUUGAAUGAAAUUAUAUUGAAUUAUUUUAUUUUGAAUAUAUUUAGAUCAAGAACCAAAGAAAUCAGACUUGGAUCGAGGGAAAACAAAAAUAGUUGAAUAGUCGUUUUAUACCGUUCGCAGAUAUUCGAGGUAAGUUUAUAAGCAUAUAAACAUCGUUAAUUUUGACUGUAAAUUAACUUGCUAUGCUGAUUUGAAUAUUAUUGAUUUAUAAUUGAGAUUGCCGAAUGUGAUUAUGCAUAGAAAUUAUGUGUUCAAGUCCGAUUCGAUAGAGUUACGACAUCCAAAAAGCCCCGUACGAACCUUAGGAAUAGCUAGGAUACAUAUGUCAUGACAUAGGAUUUACGAUAUGUGAUUACGUGUAAGACCAUGUCUGGGACAUCGGCAUCGUAUAUGUGAUUACAUGUAAGACCACGUCUGGGAUGUUGGCAUUGUAUGAUAUGUGUGAUUAUUCGAGUAUCCUAUUCAAUUCCAAACGGCUCAACAAGCAAUGAUAAAUUAUGAACGAGUGUGUUUAACGAGCUAAAACGAUCAAGUAUGUGAUGUUUGGUUACCUGUUUGACAAUAAGAUAAGUUAGUUAAUUUAUAUGUAAUAAAAAUAAUUCAAAAUGCUAUUAUAAGUAUAUGUGUGAAUAUGAAAUACAUAUUCAGCCUUAUGAUAGGUAUAAGUGUGUGAUUUAAAAGCUUGAUCUAUGAGUACUUGUUUAGAUGAAUACAUGUGAAUAAUCGGAUAUAUAUGCCAACAUGACUUUGAAAUUGGAGAAUGUAUUUGUAAUGUAUAUACAAGUGUAUAUUCAGCUAUGUUAAGUUGUUUAUGAAAGUAUAUGUUAUUUAUAAAAUUAUAAGUGAUUACAAUUGCAUAAAUUGGUUUGGUUAAUUAAGUUGAUUAUUUUAUUAAAUCUUUUAUUUGCUUAUGACUUACUAAGCUUUGAUAGCUUACUGUGUGUAUGUUUAUUUUCUAUUUCAUAGAUUUUAGAAGCUAGUUAGAAGCUCGGGGAUCGUCAGUGAAGUCUAUCACACCAUCGUUUGUUUUCGGUACUUAUAUAAAGUUGAACUUUAACCUCUGGCAUGUAUAGGCUGGUUUGUGUUUUGUUUGAUUUUGGAGUAUAUAUAUGAUAGCCAUGUAAAAAUGGCUUAAUUAUGAAAUUGUUGUGUAUAUCUGGUUGUGUUUUAACUCAUUUUAAAGGUAUGUUUUAUAAUGAUCAUGCUUGUGAUGUUUGGUGAUGAAGAUAGCUUAAUUGAAUAGAUAAUUAUAAAGUUAUGCUUGGUGUUAUGUAUAGAUUUAUAAUUUGGCUUGGAAACGAGUUAAAAUUUGGAUGUAUGUUAGGUAUUUGGUAUGCGUUAAAUGGGUUAAGUGAUACUUGUAUCAUUGUUAAAAUUUGACCAAUAGGUACAGCUAGAGAUAGAUAAUUUGAACUUAGUUAUAAAAAUGCAUUUGAUAUGUUUAUAUGAAGUAUGGUUUGAAAUGGCUAAGUUAAUGGUUGUGUAUGUGUUUAUUAAAUUAUGGCUUAUGUUAUGUUUAGAAGUAAUUAUUUAUAAAAUGUAAUGAGUUGAUAUAUUAAGUAUGUUUUGAAGAUGAAUUUUAAUUUCAUAAACUUGGUUGAUGAGAGCUACUUGUGGUAAUGUAUUGAUUUAAUUAUUAUAGCCAAACAUGUAUUGAAUAGAUUGGUUUAGGGUAUAACAUUUUGGUACAUUACAAAUAGGUGAAAUAAACAUGUAUUGAUUCGGCAGUUGUAAUUUAUAUUAAGAUAGAUUUGUUGAUUUAUAUGAUUAUAAAAUGAGUUUGAGAUUCGGUGUUAUGAUUUUUGAUAGGCCAUUUGAUUUAGCUUUGAAGUUAUACAUAUUUGGAUAUAAUAUAUAUAUGAAUGAUGCAUUUUUUUAUAUAAAGUGCAAAUUAUAUUAUGUUUAUGUAUGCUUCCAUGUGUAAUUGAAUAUUGUUUAGUAAUAAAAUAAGUUAGAAAUGAUAUGAUAAUAAGUAAUUGCAUAUUCGGCUAAAGCAAUUAAAAAUUACCAUUUGAAUAGUAGUUUUGCUUAUGUUGAAAUGGUUAAUUGCAUUCUGCAAAUAGUAAUUAACAUGUCGAUUUAUGUUGUUUAAAAUGUCAUGUAUAUGAAUUUGUAUAUUUAAUAGGCUUCAUGGAUGAAAUAUUUGAUUGAGUUAUUUACAUUAAAUUUGACAUGCACUCAUAUUAUGUGUAAUUGAUAUAUGCGGCAAUAUUGUUUGUGAACCUUUUGCUUGGCCGAGUUUUUAAAAUGGCUUAUGAUAUGAAAUGAAAAGCUAAUAGUUAUAUUAGCCUUUUGUUUUAAAAUAUGGUUGGUUUAAGAGUUUGAAAAUGUGUAUGACUAUGUUUUGUUCGGUAAUGCUUCAUAACCCUAAUCUGGCGACGAAUACGAGUAGGGGUGUUACAUUUUAUUGGUAUCAGAGCUACGGUUUAGUUGAUUCUAGGACUAACGUAACGAGUGUAAGUCUAGCUAUACAUGCCUAUUUUAUACUGUGAUAGUGUGAUGACUCCUAACAUUUGGAAAUGUGUUUUCGUAUAGUAAAUGGAUCUCGAUCGAGCCGUAGCUGACAAUGUUAAGAGUAUAGUGCUUGCUCCUAUGCAAGGGACAGUGUCGGUUGAUUCUCGAUUGACUUUGAGUAACCAAGAGGGAGAGGCUAAACAAGCCUUUUACCAAAUGAUGAAUGACUGGUUUACUCAGUAUAUCCGGAUGAAUCUGACUGCACAACAACCUCCACCGCUGACUAAUCCUCCUACGAUACGUGUUAUACCUUAAGUGAGCAAUCUGUUGAGAUUACAUAAGCCUCCUGUUGAUAAAAUUAGAAAACACAGGGCUGAAGAAUUCAGAGCUAUUGAUGAUGAUGAUGCUGAGCGAGCUGAAUUCUGACUUGAUAAUACUAUCUGUGUGUUUGAUGUGUUAUCUUGUACCCCGGAUGAGUGCUUAAAAUGUGCCAUAUCUUUACUACGAGACACUACAUAUCACUGGUGGAAUACACUAGUAUUGGUGGUUCUAAAAGAACGAGUGACUUAGGACUUCUUUUAGAUUGAGUUCCGUAAGAAAUACAUCAGCCAAAGAUUUAUCGAUCAGAAACACAAAGAAUUUCUGGAAUUAAAACAAGGUCGCAUGACUGUGAUAGAAUAUGAGCGGAAAUUUGUGAGACUCAGUCGAUAUGCCCGCGAGUGUGUUUCGACCGAAGCUAUCAUGUGUAAAAGAUUUAAAGACGAGUUGAGCGAAGAUAUUAAACUGCUAGUUGGCAUACUUGAAAUAAAAGAGUUCGUACUACUGGUUGAGCGAGAGUGUAAAGCCGAAAAGCUCGCAAAAGAGAAAAGAAAAACUGACUUUGAUACUAGAGACUCACGAAAGAGAUCAUCGAGUAAGUCAUUUCAAUUAGCAUCAAAGAGGUUCUGAGAUGAUUUUAGCUGUUCUAAGGCUACUUCAGGUUAUUCUAGACGGAAUCAGGAUAGACCACUUGUGAGCUUGAGAGCUACCUCAGUAGCUAGUGUUGGUAAUAUUAGAUCGAAUCAACCCAAGUGUAAACAUUGUGGUAAAUGACAUCCUGGUAGUUGUAGAUUUCAUGAUCGGGCUUGUUUUAAAUGCGGAUCGACGGAUCAUUUUGUUUGUGAAUGCCCUGAGUUAGCUGAACAAAAUCUAGUACAAAAUGCGAGACCGGGUAGUGUGUCAGUGCGAGGCAGACCGCCCAGACAUACGGGUAAUGUGAAUGGCUGUCAUAGAGGGACAAAAGAUAUAGUACUCAUAUCUGAGGCUCGUGCACCAGUAGAACCUAUGCUAUUUGCGUACGAGAGGUGCCUUCAUCUCCAGAUGUUAUUACCGGUACAUUUACUCUUUAUGGUACUAGUGUUAUUACAUUGAUUGAUCUUGGUUCGACUCAUUCUUAAGUGUGUGAGACCUUAGUAUCCAGUAAGACUAUACUUGUUGAGUCUACUGAAUUUGUAAUUAAAGUAUCAAACCCUUUGGGCUGGUGUGUUCUGGUUGACAAAGUGUGUAAGAAUUGUUCAUUGAUGAUUCGAGAUUCGUGUUUCCCAGCUGAUUUAAUGUUUCUACCUUUCGACGAGUUUGAUAUAAUUCUGGGUAUAGAAUGAUUGACUUUGCACGACAUUGUAGUUAACUGUAAAAGAAAGACUAUUGAUUUACAGUGCCAGAAUGAUGAAGUUAUUCAGAUUGAAUCUAAUGAUCUAAAUGGUUUACUGGCAGUGAUAUCCUCAAUGUUAGCUCAGAAAUAUGUGAGAAAAGGUUGUGAAGCUUACUUAGCAUAUGUGCUUGAUAGUAAAGUGACCGAAAAGAAGAUUGAAUUAGUACAAGUUGUGUGUGAGUACCCGGAUGUGUUUCCAGAAGAAUUGUUGGGUUUGUCACCUGUUCGAGAGGUAGAGUUUUGUAUUGAAUUAGUGCCUGGGAUGACUCUGAUUUUGAUAGCUCCAUACAGAAUGGCACCUAUUGAAUUAAAAGAAUUGACAACACAAUUAACAGAUAGAGGCUUUGCGCGACCUAGUUUCUGUCCUUGGGGUGCGCCAGUUCUAUUUGUGAAAAAGAAAGACGGAACUAUGAGAAUAUACAUUGACUACUGUCAGCUGAAUAAGGUGACUAUAAAGAAUAAAUACCCGUUGCCAUGUAUUGAUGACCUGUUUGAUCAGCUGAAAGGGGCUACAGUGUUUUCGAAAAUAGAUUUGAGAUCAGGCUACUAUCAGUUGCGAGUUAAAGACUCUGAUGUGCUGAAAACUGUCUUUCGAAUGAGGUACGGACAUUAUGAGUUUCUGGUUAUGCCUUUCGGACUUACUAAUGCACCUGUUGUUUUCAUGGACUUGGUGAAUCGGAUCUUCAGACAGUAUUUGGAUCGGUUUGUGGUUGUGUUCAUUAAUGAUAUAUUGAUCUACUCCCGUGAUGAAACCGAACAUGCCGAGCAU